This 140604-nucleotide long non-coding RNA is filed under the name Citrus maxima (pomelo). The record is from RNAcentral. Lineage: Eukaryota; Viridiplantae; Streptophyta; Magnoliopsida; Sapindales; Rutaceae.
UACCAUGAAGCUAUCGCUAUUCAGUUUAUUCAAGACAAAUUGCCUUCAACAAACUAGCUUCAACAACUUCAACGGAUAAUGAUGAUCCAGCUUUUAUUGAGAUACCAAGAGCAUAAAGUGGAUCUGUCAAGUUGCUGUGACGCCAAGAUCAUAAAAGCUUUGUCCUCCAUCAACUCUAUUAUAAGUUUAGAACAGAGGAUUCAAGCAAGGAGUUACACCAUCAGCAUCUACCAUCUGAGGUGCAUAAGCAACCAAGACAACUUUUAAGAAGAAAUAAAGCUCGACACUUUGAAAGCAAAGAAGAUAAAGUGUUAAAGGAUUGUCAUUAUCAAAACAGACCAAGAUUCCGAAUGAAAAAGUACUUCAAGACUAGUUGUUGUUGAAAACCAUUGUGCACGUAAAUCAAGCAAAGGUAGAAGCAACCACAGUAACCACAAGAGAGAAAGGAAAAAUAAUAUGAGAAUAACGAAGAGGAACACAGAAAGCUAGCUGAAGAUACAUCUUAUACAGAGAAAAGAAUAACAGCAAGCACAAGAUCUUCUUCAAAUCCUAAAGCAAUCAAGUUAAAUUAAACAACCGGCUCAUUUAGUGUUCCAACAAACCCAAAGUUAUGAGGCUACAACUUUUUAUAACCAGAGGCAAUAAGCUUUCAACUUCAGAAAUAUGUUUACACUAAAGAAACAACUCGAGGAAAAUCAAAGUACUCCAAUAAAAUUCUCAUCUGAGGAGACAAUAAAGAUAAAAUCUUGAAAAAUUGAUAUUCAUGGGAAAGGACAGAGAAGGUGCAAAAACAGUCGAAGAGUUUACAAGUGAUCUUCGGAAAAAGAGUAUAAAUACAAGCUAAAAAGUCGCUCUAAGAUUUGAGAUGAUUGAAGUUUAUCUGCAUACAAGUUUGAAGAAUUGUUUUAAAAAAAUAAAUAAAUAAAUAAAGAGACAGAUCAGCAUUUAUUUAGCCAGAUGGUGACUCUUAAAACUACUACAAACAAGAAGAUCAAGCUCUCAGUCAAGGUCCUACUAGAAGGAAAUAAUCCAUUCAACACAGAAAAAGGGGCAAGGACACUAUACAGUCAAUAUUGCAGGUUGUCAAACGGCUUUCGGUAAUAUGCUCUUGUUCCGCAUAAUCAAUCUUCAUUCGGAGGAAGCAAAGACAUUGCAUCACCAAAUCAUUAUGCAACUCUGAAUUUAAAAUGCAAUGGGAAAAAAUCAAAGACCAACAUAUGCUAUAUAAAAAUAAUAUUCCAUCAAUAGUUUAUUCAAACAAGCUGAGUAUAAUUGAAGACUAGGCCAGAAUUCAAUUCUUACUGUGACUUGAAUAGCAGCAUAGGCAGUGGGUUCUUAUAAAAAAGACAAGAUAUCAACUACAAAGCUUCAUCAGCAAAAGUAACUUCCAUCUUUGACAAAUAACAGAACUUUGAUGAGCGAAUUUCAACCUGAAGCAAAUUGGCCACAGAGAAUUUUCAAAUUCAAAAAUAGUGUUAUGCAUAACAUGAAUUGGCAUCAUUUCAAAGCAAUUACAGACCAAAAUCCUUUCAAAUUUUAGCUUCAAUGGAAACAGGAGGAUAGGAAAAAAAAAAAAAAACAAUUAUCAGCAAUAAAACUGAGUAAAAACACAUCAAGUCGACAUGAGCAUAGCUGAAGAUACAGUGGAAGCAGAACUAUUUUGCCCUUUUAACAAACUAGCAUGAAAAUAAUCCAUCCAGGCUAAAAGUUGUUGAGUAUGAGAAGAAUAACGAGAGGAACAACAUCCAGGGAAUAUCAAUUCGGACAUACAUAUCUAAUGAGAGACUACCGCCUAAUGCUUUUCCCCUCAAUUCAGAAUUUUUACAAACGAUUUUUUCAGGCAUGGAACGGCAAAUACUAUUCAACAGUUAACACACUAUUGACAGGUUAUCACUUCUUACACAAGCAAGAAGGGGCCUUGCUAAAUAAUUUCAGCUUCCAGUAUGCAAGUUACAGCUUGGAAUUAAGUUCCAAUUAACCAUAUCCUCACUGGAAAUCAUGAUAUCAAACUCAUAGGAUUGAAAAUACAAACUAAGCAGUUUCAGAAAUGAGGAUAAUUUUUAGCACAAUAGUCAGUUCAUCCAAAAAAGCAACAUGACUACAAGUGUGGGCGAAUCAAGUUUGCAGGACAAGUGUUUAAGAAAACAAAGAGAAGAAAAAAGCUUCGUAUAAUGCUUUAAAGAAAAUUUGGAGAAUAACAUCAGCUGCUACAAAGUUUUGCAGAUGUCUCUAAAGUGUGAAUCCACUGCUAUGAAGUCACAGCUAGCAUGGGACAAAGAAUCAACACUUGCCAUUCUAUUUGUGCACAAAAAGAAAUCAGGUAAGUAAAUCUAUCAUAUGAAGAUUGUUAAUACAUUUAUUCCCAGACCAAAAUAUUUCAUUUUGCCAUACAUUUACGCAUCACAAAAGAAUUGCAGCUUAUCUUGAAAGAACAUAACUAUUCAGUCAUUCAAUGAAAAAUCUUCUGUGCCCGAUAUCCUAUACUAGGAGACACAUGAAAAAAAUGAUAUCAAUUUGAUUCAACAAUUGUAGUUUGAAUCAACUUAUAAAGCUCCAGCUCAACUCAAAUAAACAACAUUGAUCUAUGAUCAACUUGUGGCGUAGGCCCCGAAAUGCUAACAAUCUGGUUUCAAAUCAUAUUUUGAAUCAAAUUUCAUGGCUCCGAUCUCAAAUAAAAUUAAAGAUUGAUCUGCGACGAAAUCCUAAAAAUUGUGCCUAUUAUUAUUGGGCAAAAGGCUAUUAUAACCUGUUAUUGUUAGACAAAAAAUAUUUGCUUCCUGAAAUAGGAAAGAAAGCUCUAUACGAGCAAAUCAAAUGAAUUCGCUCUCUAAAAGUUUCAAAUAAAAAUGAUGAAUGAAAUAAAAGUUGGGAAAGCUUCUUGAGCUACUAAAAUUCAUCGAUCAAUGCUCAAAUUUUGGAACAAAGAUUGAUCAAUGAAUCAAAAUACAAAAUCAAAUUAGUUAUCCUCGUUAGAGGAUAGACUUUGAUAAUCUGAGUCUGCUUUAUAUUACAUUCUAAUGUUCUAUAUCUUAUCAGGCUCAGCUAAACUAUUGCAUCAAAGAUCCAAUAACGGUAGCAUGGUCGCUCAUCAUACCUUAGUCCAAAAGCCAGGAAAAAGAAUAACGGAGAACAAGGCAUUGUUCGUAUUCAAUAACAGCAGAGUAAGUUGCAAACAGCAACUUUGGUCUUGCAACUGUUGCAACCUGCAACGUAGCUGAAUCCUUCCUUUUAUAUUCGGAAACAAAAUGAAAAAAAUAAUGGGGGUAAUUGUAUGGGCCAAAAUAAACAUAGGUCAGGUUACAAAAGGCGGUGCUAUUGGCACCUCCCUUGAACUCAUUUAAGACCCCAUUUUCAUGUUUAUAUCUUCAAUCGGGGUUAAAAUUACAUAAAAGGACGAAAUAAAUUUAUUAAAAUCAAAUUUUAAUUUCUUUUUGUUAGUAAUUCUUCAAACCUAAUCAAAUACUUUAUCGGAAUUUUUUUUAUUUUACCUUUAAUUUCUUAUUAUAUUUUUUUUUUGUAAAUAAAAUAAUUGCCCACUUGGUGUAGAAAGUUUAGUAGAUUUGAUAAAUUUAUUGUUUUUGUUUAUUAUUGUUUUUAUAAAGAUUUGAUAAACUACUUGCACAUUUUCUCCUAAUUACUUCAAAAUCAUUUUGGAAUUGUAAAAAUAAAAAUAAAAAUGAAUCCACUAUAUAUUAAAUACUGAAAAUAAAGAGUUUACGAUGUGUGGGUGUGAAUUAUAUGAAAAAGAAAAUAUAUGGAUUUGGGUUUAAUUAAUUUUGUAUUUGUAGUUUUAUGUAAUUUCAUCUUAUAAAAAUGCUGUUAAUGUGAAAAAUGGGGUUGUAUAAGGAUCUUAAGGGGGUGCUAAUAGUAUUACUCGAAUAUAAAAAUGUAGAGAACAAGCCCAAAAUCCAAAUAAUUAACAUGUGAAAAAGUGACACGUGGUGUCAAACUAAGAUCAAAGCUCAAAAACUAUAUAAACGGGUUAAUAGGGGUGGGCAAAAAAACCGUAGUCUUAAAAAAACCGAACCGAACCGACGGUUUUUUCUAAUUCGGUACGGUUUUUUUUUUUUACAAAAAACCGAACGGUACAAUUUAUAAAAAAACCGAAAUGUCGGUUCGGUAUUCGGUUCAUUUAACUGAACCGAAAAAUCGAACCGAAAAACCGAAUUAUUUUUAAAUUUUAUUAAAUUAAAUAUGUGUUAAUUUUUAACUGAUUGUGUAAGAUAGCUAACAUAAACUUGCAUACACACAAUCAGAGUAUAUAUAUAUGUUAGUGUUACAAUUUCGUAAAUUUUUAUUUCCCAAAAUAAACCCUAAAAUCAAAUAUAAAAAAAUUUCGUAAAUUUCGUAAAUUUCAAUUUCUUGAAGAAUUUUUUAGGCUAAUGCAAUCUUAAAAACAACAGCAAGUAGCUGAGGAGUAAAUGAUAGUUGAUUGAUGUUGCUUACCAGUAAGUUUUCUUUAUUUUUUUUUAAACUAGCAUCUUAUUAUAUAGAUUUUUUAUUUAAUUAUUUAUUAAUAGUUAGUAAGAUAUUAUUGAUAAAAUGUGUUUUGAAUACUUUGUAUUUAUUGUUAAUAUUUGUAAUGAAAUUAGGAUGAACUUGUUGAAAAAAAUUAUUACAUUUAUGAAGCCCAAUGGGCUAAAAAUUUGAAAAUUCAAAAUAGGCCAAGAACCGAAAAAACCGAACCGAACCGAACCGAACCGAAAAGAACCGUUUGAAUUCGGUUCUUUUUUAGUUCGGUUCUUAUUCGGUUCUUUUUAUAAAAUAACCGAUUUAAAUCGGUUCUACUUAAUUUCGAACCGAACCGAACCGAACCGAACCGUGCCCACCCCUAAACGGGUACAUUCUUCUUAAAGAGGAGAGGCGAAGGCGAACUGAAGUAAACAAUGAGCUUCCAGCAGCUAAAGCCAGCAGAUCUUCGAGUAACAGUUACGCAAGUCUUCAGCAAGUCAACUCAACCAAGUUAUACUUAAGUAGCCAGCACAAUGAUUGUCCAUUACAAUAAAGGCCAAAGUUAUGUUGCAACAGUAGUACGGUACCACUGUUACUUUUAGUCAUUGAAUUUAUAAUUGUACAGUUGUAUUAACAAGAUUCAAUGGCUGAAAGCAACAGUGGUACCGUACCACUGUUGAAACAUAGCUGGACCCUACAAUAAAUAUAUUUUUUGUAAUUAAAUUAUAAUCAUAAUCUGUUUUUGCCAUUGUUUUAAAAAAUUUCAAGUUAUAUAGGCACAUGACUAAUCCAAUUUGAAGUAUCUCAGCCUGAAAUACGAUAAAAUCUCCAUAGGUUAAAAUCUUAUUUAAUAAUAAUUUUUUUUUAAAUCCCCACUUGAGUUGAGGUCAAUAAUGUUAAAUUAUAAUUCGAUUAAUUAUCAUUGUCUUUGUUAAUAAGCAUUUCUUGAACCGAAUACUAUUAAUUUAUCGAGAUUUUACUUUUAACAUAGAACAAAAGUCUUAUCCCUAUUAAUUUCUUCAAUACUUUAAACCACGAAAACUCUAUAAAACAUCAUGAAAUUACUUUAAGUCAUGAAAACUAUUUAUUUAUUAUUUUGUUAACUCUCACUUUUUUUUUUUUAUAAUCACAACCCAAUUUUUUCUCACCUACAUGCGUGGAAUUCAAACCUCAAAUAUCGUGUUUUCAACCUAAAAAAUUUUCCCAAAUCAACUAGUAAUUUACUAAAUUCAUUUUAUAAGGUAGGUUGUUGUAUCAACCUGUUUCUUUUUUUUUUUACCUUUUAAGAAAUUAAAAAAUUUUGAAAAAUCCAGGCCGCCCAAGUUGGUCCUGGGCUUCUCAUAUAGGCCGGAGCUCCAGCUGGGCCGAGUGGAUCCUGACCCAUUUACCUGUCCUGUGUCACUAAGGUUCAAUCACCUACACUGUUGUUUUUAUUGAAUGUUACAUUCAAAUGAUCGCUAACCGUUUGACAAAGACAAAUAGCAGCAAUUCGCAGGUGAGGUCUUCAUAAAUAAACCAAUCAUUGCUGAUUGCUGCCUGCUGGCAUCCUGCAACGAGCUCAUAGUUCACCAGGAGGAGGUAGAUGAAAAUUAUCCAUGGUUGAACAUGCCUUAAAUUUCAACAGUCAAUCCACCGAAAAACUUUACCAUUAAUUAAUUAACUGAUGAAAUAAACAAAAAAAUUAAGAGUUCGAAAAUUUUUUCUCCCUUGCGACUGGAAUUUGAUUCUUUUUCGUCAUUGUAAUUUUUCCUGUUUUGUUCCUGCAAUUUUUCUUUUGACCUGUUGUCCUUCUCCUCGCCUCUACAUGUUUUGCUUCUUAAAUCUGAUCUUCAAAGCUCAGAUGUUGCAUCUCUUACUCAACUUGGGCGGAUGGGAUAUGUGCUUCGUGUAUAUCACAUGCAUCAAACUCGUCCGAACGAUAUUUCUCAUAUUGACCGGUUCUAUUUCGCAGAAGCAAUAAUUAAGUGCACUACAUAUUCUAAAUUAAAUCCAUCAGGCAAAGAAAUUUAAUCAAAGACCAUUUUGGUCUUGGGCAUGUGAGCUACCACAAUCCUCCUUAAAUUGCUGCAUUUUUCUGUUCUCCACAAACACUCAUGCUAUUGGUUCGUUUCCUAAGAGUAUGGUCUAUAGCUCUAAUUUGCUAACCCACAAUUCGUAAAACGUCUUGUCCAUUUUUUCUUCCUAAUUUUCCAUAAUAAUUAACAUGAAAGCAUGCAUGGUAAAACUACAGUACUCAAGAGUCAAGAUAUCACAAAGGUAUAGUAUAGACAACUAAGCAUACCGUAUAAGCAAGCAGGACAAUUUUGUGCUGCAACAAUUAGUGCUUCAGCGAGAGAAGAACCUGGAUAAAUUUGAUAAAGAGGAUUUUUGAAGCAUAAAUGCAAUAGGGAAAAAAAUAAAAGGUUAAAUUAAUUUCCAUCUUCUGCAAUGAUGGUUCCAAGAUGACAUGAAUUAGAGAAGUUGGAUGUUCGAUCAGCUAUCCACCCUGUUAGAGCAGGCAAUACUUCUUGAAAGUGUGAAUUCAUGGUUGUAGAAUACUUAUGGUAAAUCAUUAGCUAGUGUCACCAACAGUUUCAUCUUUCAUCUACCUUAACAAAAUCUAAUGCUUAUAUAGAUAACGAGAUUAAAAUAUCUAACUAUAUAUUCAACUGAGAAGAUAGGAUUGAAAAAACAAAAAUGUGAUUGGGAAAGGAUAUUUAGGGAUCACAUUUAGCAAUUUCUGUCAUUUGUCAACUUCAACCACCAAGGAGGAACAAAUGGUUCCAAGACAUUCAAUGCUGCUCAGGAGGGCUUGGCACAUUAAAAAUGAACAGAGUAAAGGAACACCUUUUCAAUUCUAUACUUUCGGAGGUAGAGCGAUGGUGAUAUAACAUGAUAUAUCAAAAUCAGGUUAUAUAUAGUUUCUAUCACAUCAAUAAAUUAUACUUUCUAUCACAGUAGAUUAUACUUCCAUGUCACCAAAUUCAAAAGGCGGUCAAGCAAAUAAUAUGAGACCAAAGGAUAAAAAUGAUUCACAUACUGUUUUCCUAAUGUUUGUGCAAAUGUGCCGGGUUGGUUGAUAAGAAACUAGAGACUAUUGGAUGUAUAUUAGUUGAGAAGGGGCAACUUAAUUAAAACACACCUUCUGGUUCCUAUAUGGCUCUCCUCCCAUGUUAGAUGAUCGAGUUUUCACUUGUCAACAGUCAAUGCACCUUGCAAGCAAGCAGUAAGCACUAAAGCAGCACCCUAGAUCUUGAGACCAGCAUCUCAAGAAGCAAGCUUCCUGACACUAAUUAGGCCGUGACAGAAAAAUUGUUUUUGAAUAUGUUAUAAGAUAUUACACAAAUAGUAAAUGAGAAAAGCUCCAAAAUCUCAACUUUGGUAACCUGAUCAGCAAACAGUCAUUAUAUUAUAUAACAGCGUAAGCCUACAUAAUUCAACAAACCUUGCAAGCAACCAGUAAGCAGCACUCCAGAGAUUGACCACAGCAUCUCAAGAAGUCCUGACACUAUAUUUAUCUUCCAAGAGCGACAACUAACAACAAUCCAAAAAUGUCAGCAACAACUCCAAAUGCUGUCAGCAGUUUAGCAGCUAUGUUGGCUUGUCCUAUCAUAUAAGCAAGCAAGCAAAAAAUAAAUCCCACCAAACCAAAUAGCUUGGUGCCAAACAAGAGCGUUUUGUCAUUGUCCGAUAAAGAGUUGCCUCCGCUCUGAACGAUUUGUGGCGGAGCAAUGACUAAUGUUGCGCUGAUAGCGAGGAAUAUCUUGGCCAAAUCAGUGACAUUGAAAUUGAACCAUCCAGUGAAAUUGAAAGUGAACCAUCCAGCAAAAUUGAAAUUGAACCACCCUCUUGGCGGUGGGGGUGGGGGUGGUGCUGGUGCUGGUGUUGAUGUUGGUGAUGGUGAUGGAGGUUGAACUUGAGGUGUUGACGUUGGUGGUUGAUAUUGAGGUGCUGGUGUUGGUGGUUGAACUUGAGGUGUUGCUCUCAGUGUUGAUGAUGGAGGUGUUUGUGGUGGUGGUGGUGUUGGCGGUGGCUGUGUUUGUGGUGUUGUUUUUCGUGGUGGUGAAGUCAUCUGAACGGAACUAUUAACAGUAGUGUCAGGGCUCCCCCAACAAUCUUGGAUUGUCCACUCCUCACCACUGCCGUCUCCGCCCUGCGCCCAGAUGCUAAAAUCAGUUGAUCCAACAUUAUGACCGUAUUUACCCUGAUGUGUUGUUCUUGACUUCUUAUAUGCCUUCAGUUCAGUCCCUCCGUUACCAAUAUGCGCCUGCGCCCAACGUUUAGCGAAAAAUUUAACGAUUUCUAACUUUUGAGGCAAAUUGCUUAUUGAAUUCCCAGGCCUGCUUCUUGAAUAAUUAUUCCUUUCGACGGAACCCUUAAACAAAACGCGGGGUGCUAAUGAUGACAAAUAAUAUUUUACCCCCUUCUCUGCGAAAACACAUCCAGAUCCACCAUCAGUCCAGAUCAAACCUUUCUUUCUGAGACAGAAGCGCAAACUUGGUAGCGCUUCUUCACGCAGUAGACAUCCACCAUCAGUCCAGAUCAAACCUUUCUUUCUGAGACAGAAGCGCAAACUUGGUAGCGCUUCUUCACGCAGUAGACACGGCUCAACCCAUUGAUACCGCUUUUGUCUCCCUAGACCUGCGAAGUCUAUUAUUCUUCCUGAAAAGUGGAUGAGGAAGGCAUUCAAGAUCUGGAAAAUACAGAAAAGGGACACAAGAACUAGAGCUUCAUAUAGUAUAUUUGAAGAAGUUAUCUCUUUGAUUAUCAAAAGCGUGGGGAUCGGGAGGGGGACCCCCGUGGCCCGUGAGGUGGUUGCCAUUCACCGAUCGUAAAGAGCCAAGGCCUGUUGUGGACAGAUUAAUGAAUCUUACUCGGAGAAGAAGCUGAGGGAAAAAUAUUGAGAGAAAAUAUUUGUGAAAUUAAAAGUCAUAGAGACACUUGUUUUUUACUCUGUGUAAAAUGAUGAACAAGACAACAACAACGGAUGACGUAGGGCAUGACCGAUGCCCUUUGAAAUUUGAGCGCUGAUGUUUUGCCCCGGGUCAAACCCUGGGUCAAACUCCGAACUUGAGAAAACGACGCCGUUUUAAGGAUUAAUUUUUGCUAAGAUAGACAAGCUACUUUCUCUGAAUCGGAAAAUUGAAGAUAAGCCUUUCUGGAUUUAAUGUUAUUGGAGAUUCCAUCUUCUCUCAGAUUGGAAUUUUGGAGUUUAACGUUAAAAAGGUUCAGAUUUUUUUGUCUGUUUGGGUCAGCCCAGCGUUUUGAGGAAGAUGAAGGUUUAAAAGAAACGGAUUCUUGCUCUUGAGGCCUAGGAUUAGAGAGAAUAGAAAUGGACUUUAAAAAAUUUUUGAUAACUAACCUUGUUAGGCCCACUUUGUAUUCUCUUAGGUUGAUUGCAAUAAUAUGGGUUUUGGACUCAACACCCAACUCAAACCCAUGCCCUUUAUUUUUUUCAAUCACCUAUGAGCAUUUUAAAAUUUGAAAAUUCUGACAUAGAUCAGAACCAGUGGAUUUUCCAGCUUCAUCCACUUUAUCAGAGGAUAAUUGUACAAAAGGAGCUUCAUACUCAUCUCUAAUUUCACCCACACUAUAUGCACUCUGCUGUUUCUUGCUGCCACGUGUAGGAAUCGACCUUUUCUUGCCUUCUUCAACCUUGCAAUCACUAGAGGACAGAUAUGAAUUGUUUUUUCUUUUUCUGAUUACUCUUAGCUUGACUUUCCACUUGGACCCAUUUUCUUCAACAUAAAAAAAUGCUGGAAUAAAACCAUGCUCACCCUUCUUAACUUUGAUCCUUAGCCUCUCUAAGAUAAGCAAGUCUUUUUGUUUCUCUAUCAACCAUAACCAGCCCUCCACAUUGCUGACCAAUUUUCUCAAACACUUCAUGUUUCCAUAAAUGAAAAGGAAGUCCUUCAAUGCCCAACCAUCCUCCCCAGAAUAACAAUCUAUCUUCUCUUGGAUUAAUAGACGUGCUCCAUUUUUCCAGCUUUAUUCUGAUGUGCCCCUCCAGCGUUAGCCUACCAAUUCUCCCCAAGUCUUCUGCUUCCUUCACAGACUGACAAAAGAAGAUGGCUUUAUCAGACUGAUAAGGUUUAAGAACAAUCUUUAAAUUCACCAUCAUGCUCAAACUCUUUUGGAUCUUCCACCACGGGUCCCAACCCUGCUCCCUAAAGCACACGACAGCAUGACUCCAUAGUCCAUACUCCAUGUACAAGCUGUUCUGAAUAUUUGUUGCCUUCACCAAAAGCAAAAGCCUUCCUUUCUUCUGGUUUGAUAAGCCUAUUUGACCAUGCUUCUGGAUUAUCUCUUCUAUGCCCUGCACUUUUGUUAACAGAUCUGCCAGAAUCACCCCCACUCAGCUUAUCUACUGCCUCUGCCAAAAUCUUCCAGCCUUCUACUUUUCUUCCUUGAGGAACUAAAAUGGACCUUACAAACCCAGACUCAUUAUGAGAAAUCCGUAGGAAACUUCCAAAGGAAUUGCUAAAUUUCUCGACCCAAACUUGAUAGAAGCUCCCUCUGAACAUUCUGAAAAACUUGUUAACAUGGCUAUCAUAAUGAGCCUCAUAUAAACACCUACUCAGCCACAAUGCACAGCCAAUCUCAAACUUCAGCACAAACUUCCUUUGUCUAUUGCACUCCGUAAUCUUCAGGACAUCUAAAUUUGGAUUAUCUAAGGUUUCCAGCAAGAAGUAUUUAUGAUCAAUCCUGACCUCUAAAGAGAAAUGAGACCAGGAUGACAGACAUUUGAAAGACUCUCUCACAUUCUCUCUCAUGACUUGGCACAUUUCUAACACAAAAUAUCAUCUGAACUACUGAGCGUCGAAGUUAUUUGUGCUCGGAAUUCAUAGCAAAUAAACUAAGAGAUUGAGGUGGUGGAAAGAGAGAGAUGUAAGUGUACAGUGAAUACUUGUUAACAGGAAUAUAGAAAUAUUAUAUGUUCUUUCUGCAACUCGGCUACAGUUUGAUUGCUUGCCAGGUCUUAUCACAAGGCUGCAAGGCUGUGCUCAGUGGGUUAUAAAAGUGAGGCAUUCAACAUCAGCCCAUCCACGCACGAAAACAAUGUUGCUCAUCAGAAUUCUGUCUCAAAGGUGCACCUGGCAAUCCCUUUUCUAAAAUUAAUUACAGAAUGUAAAAUUAACAACCCUCCCAGGCUCCCACAGCCCUUAAAAAAAAAAAAAAGAAUGGAUAAAGAAGAAGAAAAUAUGUGAGGUGAAAUAUACUCGUAACAUGAAAACUGCAGAAAUUUGCAUUUCUAGAUCAAGAAAUAUUUUUUCCCCCCAAGUUAAUAGCAACAGGAAGAGAAUCUAACCUGAUUGUUGGAUAAAUUCUGAACAGCAACCACUCAAAUCUGACGAGGGGCGAGACAACCCCAGAAAGUGGCAAGGCAAUGCAUAUGUUGUGGAGUGUACUGCAGCAUGCAGUACCACACAUUACAGUCUUCUUAUGGCAUAAACAGGCAUAGUUUGGAAAAGCCUCCAUCCCAUAGAAACAAUAGUGGCAUCUCUAGUCUUGAGAAUGUCAUGCCAUCUGUGUCACUUUAACCUAAACUGGAAGAAGCAAUGAAAUUGAAACAUCUUAUGACCUAGAGAUAUUGUUAAACUAGAUAAUAACGUUAACUAUCAAAAUUACAAUGAAACAGUGAAUCUGGUUAUUCUACCCAAGUUAAACCAACAUAUUUAGCUGUGAACUUGUAAGCCAUCAUUUUUAAUAUGAUAAAAGGAUAAAAUCUUAUUAACAAGAGAAGAACCAUGAAAAGUUCUGUAGUGCAGCAGCAGUCCACUCAUUACAUCAUACUGAAAUCGAAAGCAAAACUAUAAGACCAUAAAAAUGAAACUAUAACAACUUCAAAUCUCUAAGAAUGAAGAACAAAGAUAUAUACUGAAAUUGUUUAGUGAAAGAAACCCAAAAAGAUGCCAAAAAAAAACUUUGUCCCAUCAUCUGGAUAUGGUUUCAGGCAUCAAGGAAACUAAACUAAACAACAGAAAAAAGCAUUAUUUAAUAAUUCAAGAGGCAGUUUUCUUUUCCAAGAUGACUGAGUCUGAUGUUUGACUUCAGCAGUUAGUAAUUACCAAUACCUAAAUAUAUUUAAUCCAAAAAAAUCCAUAUAGUUUUGAGUGGUAACUUAGAAAAGACAAAAUGAAAUGACAACCCAAGUGAAGGGAAAGUGGGGGAAAAAGAAAAAAAAAUUCACCACUGCACAUCAAAAUGUUAUUUGAGUAUUCUUACCUGUAUGUAUCCAAAUUUUCCUCACCAAGACUAAUUCCUCCAGCCAAAACAUAAUGGCAGGGGUAAAAAUGUUCGACCAUCUCAAAAGGAAGAUCAUGUAUCCCCAAUCUUAGAUACAUCCCCAUUCAAAAGCUCUCAUAUCUCUAAUUGAGUGACCUCAUCAAAAUCAUUGAGCUCACCUAUAUUCAUUUUUUUGCCAGCCCUCUGUAAUGCAGACUCAGCAUCAGGCAUAGAUGUCAGGAGAUUAGUCAGAGGAAAUCUUGACUUGUUGAGAGGAAAUACCAAAUGAUGGUGCUCGAGCAAACAGAGAGUUGUAGCUACAUCAAAUACUGAAUCUGAGUAUGAAGCUUUAGCUCAGGGAGCUUCUGAGUUGAAAUGCUCAACCAAUGUGCCAUGAAAGCAAACCAUAUUGUAAUUGAUGUGCAAUUUAUAAAUUCAGUGAGAAAGUAGCAAAUAAAGAGACUGAUGUUGGGUUUUUUCCAAGCCAAAAGAAAUGGGUCUGUUGUUGAUACUUCCAUUAAACCAUUGAGAGGAGGGAGGUCCAACCAUCUUGAAAGCAGGCUCAAUGUUGGCAACAGACAAUAUUGCUUGAUGUGAAAUUUUAGACAAAAGACAGAAUACAACAUGAACGAAGCUGGUAACACCCUAUAUUUGCAGACCGAUACAGAAGUUCAGUUAUGCCGAUGAUAUAAUCAGCUUAUUGUAGUAGAUUAAUCAAACUGCACAGGGUUCUCAAAACAUUGUUGCAAUAUGAUUUAUCUUUUAGUUAGAAUAGAUUAGAUGAUGCUUCUUGUACAUAUAGGAAAUUGUACUGAUGAUAUGUAUGUAAUUUAGGUAUACAAGUAUUAAGCGAUAGUUAGAGCAUUACACCAAUUGUCUCUGGAUAAGUAGCAGAGCAUGGCCGUGCUUGUUUGCUCUUUGAGCAUUUUUGAACAAAACAAAUGACACAACUGUAAUUUUUAUUCAUGACACAAUCAUAACCUCACAUAAAAGUUUAAGGUAAAACAGAAAUGGGAUUAUGGAAGCAUGCAAAUAGCACAAGUAACGGAAAGACAUCCACUCAAACAGAUCGCUUAAAUGAAAAAGGUAUGGCGGAAAUAGGCAACACACAAAGAGCACCAAUAAGCCAUAGCAUGAGCUUUUCCGGAAAUAGCGUCCCCGAGAUGGACAAGAAUCCACAAACGGUGGCAGCACAUCCCAUUGCAGUCAUCAGUCGAGAAGCUCUGCGGCUACGCUGCACAAUACAAGCACCAAAGCACAAAAGAAAUCCAACAAAACCUAAAAGCUUGGCCGCAAACAAGAGAGUUCUGGCAUCUUCCGAUAAAGACGUGCCAGUGUUAUACCGAAUUAGUGGCGCGGCUACACAGACUUCAGCACCGAGAAAGAGGCAUAUCUUGGCCAAACUAGGGAAACAGAGCUGUCCUUCAGGCCGAGAGGAUGCCACCCCAUACGGUGGUGAUCUAUUUGGCGGUGGCUGUUUGUCCCCGUCUCCAUCUUCAGAUGAUGCAUUGCUGUGAGACGGUGGGGCCAGCCGGACUGAAUUAGGAGAAAUAACAGAGUAGUCAUGGCUCAGAUCAUCGACUUGGAGUAUAUGCUUCUCACCACCAUUGUCUCCCCAGUGCGGCUGACUUCUAAAAGCAGUUGUUCCAAACAUGUUAUAUGGCUUCAGAUCAGGCCAACCAUUAACAUGUACCAAGAGUUUAUCCACUUGAGGCAGCGUAUCAGGCCACUUUCUUGAAUUCUUGCGUUCGACGGCCAGAAGUUUACCCAACUCUAACUCCAGACGUUCAGUACAGAGAUUUACCCGAGGUUCAGUUGGAAGGUUCAUUUCAGAUAAAGACGGCCUCUUCCAAUCGUACCAAACUCGUGAAACAUGGGUUUGUCCUAAUGACAAAGAAGGUAUUUCCACUUGCAGAAACAACAACUCCAAGCGCGGAUCAGCUGGGUCUUGGAAUUGGAACUCGGGAAUGGGAUUAAUAUAUGCCAUUCUGAUUUUUUCAUCUUGAGCAUGACAGGAAUCAGAGACCGUCUCCCUGUCCAUAGUCGACAACACAGGCAAAUUUUCAAAUGAAGAUUCCUUACAAUUAGCUUUGUGUGAAGACCCGUUUCUUGAAUUCUUCAAAUUGACGAGAUCCGUAUGCAAUUUCUCUGCCCUAGUUCGACUAUCAAUCAACUUCGACCAUGACAGAAAUCCUAUACGAACAACUUUGCGUUUGAGGUCGGAAAUAGAUCCCUUCCUGAUUUCAUCUUUUUCGGUACAAUUGGGAUUUCCAUCAUCUUCAGCGUAAUCGGUCGUCGCUCCGAUUAUUCUUGUCGUCGCCAGCGAAGAAUAACGAAAAAGCCAAGAUCCUACUUCCUCUCUCGAGAUAUCUUCAAGCGCCGUUGCCAAUUGAUCGGAAAGAGCCAUUUCAAACUCCGAAAGAGCCAUAUGGUGUGUUUGGCAAAAUCUUUCAGGGCACACGAAGAGGAUGAAGGAAAAGCUGUUUGAAAGAAAAUAUUUGUCUAAUUCAACCGUGAUUGUGAUUUUAUUAUUUUUGAAUUUUUUAUUCUUAUGCCAAGGGAGAAUUUAUAGAGAUUUUAUUAUUUAUUUAAAGGAUUAUAUUAAUAUUUAUAAAAUUUUAAAAAAUAUUUUAAUUAAAAUUUUUUAAAUAAAAAUUAAUUCUCUCAUUAAAUUUGAAAAGUUAUUUUUUUUUAAUUUAUAUUUUAUUAUUUUUUAUUAAAAAAAAAGAAAAGUAUUUUAAUUAUUAUUAAUUUUUUUUAAAAAUAAUUAUUUAAUUAAAAUAAUAUUAAUUUAUUUUUAUUUAAAAAAUAUCAUAUUUUUUUAUUAUUUUAUUUAUCACAUAAAUAAAUAAAUAAAUAUUUAAAUAAUAAAAUUUAUGAGGGCUUUUGAAAAUGGUCUAAGGUAACCAAAACAACAAUGAAUGACGUAGGACGUGACGCAUGCUCCUUUCAAAAGUUAUAGCAAAGGUUAUUUUUACAUACCUCCCCUGAGGUUUUAAGUAAUAACAAUUUAAUAAAAAAUAUGACAAUAUUUUUAUAUUUCUCCCCGCCAUUAGUAUUUCCGUCGGUUGACCGUUUGUGGACCGAAAAAAUGACAAAAAUACCUUUUCAAGUUUCAAGGCUGAAAAAGUAAUUCCAAUUAGAAAAGGGAAAAAAAAAAAGAGUUGUUCAUGUUGGUCAUGUGAAGGGAAGAGAUUCCCAUUCUCUUCUAAAUCUCUCGCUCAUUGUCUAUUGCACAUGAGAAUGGGAGUGCAGAAGCCAUGGAGUAAACGUGUCAGCUGUACCUUGCCUCUUGGACUUUUUUGUUUGGGGAAAAUACGAAUUACUGUUUGAAAGUGUAUUACUUUUACUUUUCAUCGAUUCUUGUGGGAAAUAUAUUUCUUCCUUUUUUGUCCGGUGAUUCCAGUGAAAUAAAAUUAAAUUAAUUAAUAUAAAAAUUAAUUUUUCUACAAAUUCGACAUACAUCGAAACCCAUAAUCUUUUACAACAAACAUCCACAACAUGGCAUCACCAAUUUUUCCAAUCUUUCGGGCAUGACUACAAGUGAAUUUCAAGUACAAACACCCACACCCUAUUUUCUUUGACUUUUGCCCAGCCCUUUACUGGGAAAUCACUUAUUCCAAACUAGGGGUGGGCAAUUUAUCCGAUCCGACCCGAUCUUAUCCAAAAAAUCGGGUUAGGAUCGGAUCGGAUAGGGAUAAUAUCCAAUUAGUUGAGUUAUUGCCAACCCGAUCAGGUUGGCCAAAAAAAAAAAAAAAGCACGCAUGACACUCACUGAUAAGUGCAUAUUUUUCCUAUAUUUUACUAACUAAUUUCUCCAUCUUUUUCUUGUUUUGGUAUUAAAUAUUCUAGUUAUUUCAGUUAAUUUUUAAUUUAGUUAUUUUGUUAAAAUUAUAUUUUAUUGUGUUAAUUUUUAUCUUAGUUUUUUUAUUUUGUUAUUUUAGGUGUAUUUUGGAAAUAAAGUGGAAUUAAAUCAGAAUAUUCAAGUGAGAAGAGCUUAAAGAAGAAAUUAAUUAGAAAUUGAAGGAAAGUAAUGAAGUUAAAAUGGAAGAAAAUCAAAGCAGCCAAGGCCUAAUUGAAGUUCACGUGAAGAUGAUAAGAAUUAGCAUUGGAAAGAACUUAAUUAAUAAGGCAAUUGACGUGAAGAAUAAAGGGGAGAAGAAAAGGUCAAUUGGCUUUCUAUUUUGAGUUAUUAACGUGAAGAGCACUUUGACAAUUUAAAUGACAUUCUUGUCAUGGGCUUUGGCCAAAUCGUUAUUGAAUUAUUAAUUGAACAAGUCACGUGCAUGCAUGAAAGUGGUGGUUGGCUUUGGAUUUGAUUCUUUCCAUGCAACGAUUUAAAAGCCACAAUUGAAGCAUUAUAAAAGGACCAAGCGGAAGCAACACAAGGGGAAUUUUCGGCAGCCAAGAGGAAAAAUUUGCAGCCGCAAAGAAGAAGAAAAAAAAAAUCAGCAGCAAAAAGAAAUUGAAGAAAAGACAACCACUUGAAUUAAUUUUCAUGAUUGAUUUUAUCAAUUCUCUUAUUUUCAAUUUAAUUAUGCUAGGUUAAAUUUUCUAUUUGGUUGAGAGUAAAUUCAAAACCCCAAAUAUGUCAUAUGAUUAAUUUUUAAUUUAUAUCAUUCAAUUUAUUUAAUUGAGAUUGUUUAUGUUCUUCUAUAAUUAAUGUUCAUGGUUUAUUCUUAUUUUAUUUAAGUGACCAAUUAGAUAGGAUUUGAAUAAAUUCUAUUGCUAGAUUAAAUUCUUGAUCUGUAAUUGUCUUGAUAUUUUAAUCAUUAGUAGCAGGUUGAAAUAAGUGAUUUCAAUUGGAUAACAUAACCUAGGUUAAAUAAUCUGAUCUUGUAUGUUUAUUGCCUAGAUCAACCUAAUAUUUUUCUAUGCUUAAUGCUUCCAUUAUCUUAAAUUUAAAGAGUUUGUUUUAAAUUUGUUUUAAAUUAUUUAAUGGUUAGAGAUUAGGUGAAGAGCUUAUUUUGCCUAAUGACACAUUAAGGAAAGAUUGAGACUAACAAAGUUUAUUGUUGUCUACGCUUGAUAGUUUCAAUAUAAAUUGAUGAUAGAAUUGAUAUAUUAUGUGCAUGUUUGGUGGUGGCGAAUGAUCCCUUAACCAAAGUUUUCAUUAUUAUUAUUUCUUUUUCCUUUAAUUCGAUUUUUUAUUAAAUUAUUGUUUUCAUAGUUUUAAUUUCUUUAUUUCUUGCUAUUUAGUUAAAAAAUUCAAAAACCCCCUUUUUUCUAUUUUUAGUUGGCAUUUUUUUUAAUUAGAUUAAUUUAUAUUAUUAUUACUACUAUUAUUUUAUUUUAAGUCCUGCUUUAGAGUUGAUAAUAAAUACAAUUAGCAUAGUCUCUGUGGGAUCGAUCCUUACUCACUCUGUACUAAUUAUUUAUACUAGUAGUAAGGUUUUAAAUUUGGUGCACCCUAACGACACUACCACUCACACACCACACAACAUACGUGUAUACACACACUACACACUACACCACUUUCAGCCCACUUAAACUCAAACCUACAACAAUGAGCAACCUGCAACCAAGACUCUCGUCUCUCUCAACUCUCAACUCAACUUCACUAGUUUAGUUCUCAUCUCACUCUCAUCUCUCUCUCAAGUCUCAACUCUCAAGAUUCAAGAAGAUAAGAAACAGAAUAGUGACACGGACACGGUUGGACUCAUGCACAUGCAUUGGAGAAGAAACUCAAGAAAAUAGCUGUGAUGCCACCAGACGCAGCAAACCCAUUCUACUCGCAGUCACCACCACCGAUGCCAACCGGAUAUGCUGCUACCGCCUACAGAUCUACUGCUCCAUGCCUCCAUAUCGCCAAGUUCCUCCAAGCUUCAUUUGAACCCGGCAACCGGCAAUUUGAACCCGAAUUUUCCUUUUAAAAUUUGAAGCUUCCAAUUCCAUGGUAUAUAUAUAGUUGAUUAGUUGUAAUGUGUUUUACUGUAUGGGUAAUAUAUUAUAUAUUAUAUGUUAAAUUGGUAAUUACUUAAUUAGUUUAAUAAAAUGUAAUAUGUAUUGCUAAAUUGGUAAUUUCCCAAUCCAAACCUUAUGUUAUCCAAACCGAACUCAACUCGAGAUUUGACCUGAUUCGAUCCGAUCAUAAUUUAGUUCGGAUCGGGUUAAGGGUUCGGGUUAAAUUCGGAUGAAAUUUUCAGCAACUCGAUUGACCCGAAAUCUGAUUGGGUUGACCCGAAUCCAAUCCGAACUCGAAAAUGCCCAACCUUAUUCCAAACCUAAACCAAAUGGAUUUGGUUGGGUAAAUAAUGAAAACGGGUUGGAUUUGGGUUUUAUGUGAGAAACUAUUUCGUUAUGGUUUGGGUAUGGCAAAAUUCAAAGUCACGUGUUAGUUGAAAAUAAAAUAAACAAAAUAAAUGAAAAUAAACUAAUUCCAGCUUCUAUGCCACUUUUGCUUUAAUUCUCCUUUAGCUAGUUUUCAAAAGCAUUAACUCUUUGAAACUUAGGCUUGUCAUGAAGGAAAAUAUACAUCUUAUAUGCCAGUUCUGCUUCUGAAAAUUCUUGAUUGAUAAAGCUAUUUCAUACUCUGAGCCUUUUAAUUGCCCAAAAAAAAGAGGAAAAAAUUAGUUUAUCUAACUAUUUGAUUUGAAUUUGAUAUUGUUUGUGUUUGAAUUAUAUGAAAAAAUUUUAUGAAACCAUGAUUUCAGGUAACUGUUUGUCAUAACAAGGACAAAAAAUUAUAUUUUUGUUUAUCGCUAGUCUUUUUUUAUUAAUUUAUUUUUAUUUAAUCUAGAGUUUGGAUUAAGUGUAACAACGAAGAUGAUAACUUGAAUUGAUGUUAUUCUUACGAUUUUGGUAUGAAUCUUUUUGUCUUCCAAAUUUACUCAUCUUUAUAACUAUUCAAUAUUAUAAUUUUUUUUUAUUUAUUUGUUAGGGAAGGAGCAAGUUGAUGUGGAAGCUCUUGAUCUAGGUACUACGGAUGGGAAUGAUUAUGAUGGAUUGCUUUGAUAAUUGACUUGGGUUGUCUUAUCUUGUUUUGAUUUGUAUAGACAUUACUAGAGUUUGUAUUGUAAUUGGGUUAAUACUACUAGUUUUUUGUUUUCUUUCUUUCAAUUUACCUGUUGAUGUCAUGUUUGUGGAAGUUUAUUAUUAGAGUUUAUGUUCUCAUUUAUUGAGAAAUAAUGAUUUUCGUGAUUAAACUUUAUUUUAAUUUUUUAGUAUUCUUUUAUUUAAGGAUGAAGUUAUCGUAAAAUUUAUUAUUUUUAAUUUUUUUAUCCACUAUAUUUUUUCAUAUUUUAAUAUUAAUUUAAUAAUUAAUAAAAAUUAAUAAUUAUUACAAUUUUAAUAUAAUUAAAUUUAUCAAAAUAAAAUAUAUUUUGAUAAUAAAAUUCGAACCAAACUCAAAUGAGUUGGUUUAGGUUGGGUUAAAAAUAUUUGGGUUGGUUUCGGUUGGGUCUAAACUUUUAUGACCUGAUUUGAGUUGACUUAAAACCAAAUCCAAACCUACCCAUGCCCACCCUUAGGAAUAACUAUUUUCAUCAUUAUCUAAUCAUAAAUAGGGGUGGCCAUUGGUUUGGUUCGUUUUGGUUUCAAGAUAAACUUUUGAUUUCGGUUCGGUUCAGUUUGGGUCCUAAAUUCAAAAAAUUUGUUCAAAUUUUAAGUAAAAUAAAAACCGAACUGGAAUUGACAGUUUGGUUCGGCAUCGAUUUUUCGGUUCAGUUUCAGUUUUCGGCAACGGUUCACUUAACGGUUUGAAUUAACAAAUCGAUUUUUCGGUUCACCUUAAUUUGCACACAAGGCCUACUAUAAUCAAUAUAUAAUAUAUAAAAAUAAAAUAAUUUACAUAUUUGUAUUUGCAAAAUAAUAAUAAUAAUAAUAAUAAUAAUAAUAAUAAUAAUAAUAAUAAUAAUUAUUAUUAUUAUUGCAAGAUUUUUGGACUAAAAUGAAGAAUUUUCAUAAUCAUCAUCAUUGUUUUUAAUAUCAAAACUUUUGGUCCAAAAUCAUAAAUAAAAUAAAAUAAGUUUCCGCACUAUAAUAUAUUUUAUUGAAACAUAGGGAUCAAAAUGAUAUCUUGUCCUGUUGACUUUCGGUCAAGGACUCUUUUGAAAAGUUUGCACAAAAUAUUAGGCCAUAACAGAAUUUUUAUAUGCAAACAUUCCCUAAACAUUGGGCCAUACUGUAAUUUUAUAAAGGAUAGGGAUCCAAAUAAUAUUAUCAAUUCAAAUUUUGUGAUAUUUGAUUCGAAAACCGAACCAAACUGAAUGGUUCAAUUUGAUAUUUCUAUAUUUGAUUUUUUAGCUUUAAAAAAACCGAACCGAAACCCAAAAAAAGAACCAAAUUAGAUUUUUUUGGGUUUCGGUUCGAUUUUUCCUACCCGUAAUCAUAAGUAUAAGUAUUAUUAAUUCAUCUCAAUUCAUGAAUGUAAGCCACAUUAAGUACAUGUAUAUGGCACAUGUUUUUAGAUUAAUGCACGUAUUAAUUUAAUUAUAAUCCUUAGAACAUAUUCAUGAACCAUAUUAAAAAUACGCAUGUAGCAUUUAAGAAUAUGCAUGUAACAUUCUCCCACCUAGCUCACAUAACUAAGAAUAUGCAUGCAACAUUCUCCCAAUUGGCUCACGUAAAUUUAUCCUUAUGAGAUAAAUUAAACCUUAUUAUUAUGGCCAUAAAAAAAAAGUAACCACUCAAACUACAUGAUAACGGUACUUUAUUUACUUUAUUCUAACAAACAUUUCCUUCCUUGUAUCACAAAUACAUGAUUUUUCUUAAAACUUCAUAUAAGUCAUUCAAGCCCCAAACAAAAAAAUUCUCAAUAAAUAUAACAAAUUUUAUGUACACAAACUUAAUAUUAUUAAAAAGUCGCGUAUACAUAAUUAGAAAUGAAUGUAGCAAACAAACAUUAAUUAAUUUAAGAAGCCCUAUAUGUUCAACAUGACUAUUAUACAAUGUGGCUGGCAAUCCUUUAGAAUAAAUAUAUUCAGUAUUUAUAUACUCAAUAGUUAUUCAUGCUUCUUAUAUGAUCUUUGACAACUAAGAACUUUAUAUCAAUAUAUUUGUUAUGACUCCCCUUUUUAUUAUUCUUUGAAAAGAAUACUACAGCAGAAUUAUCACAAUAGAUUUCCAUUAAACUUUUUAUAAAAUCAACAAUUUUUAGGUUUGUGAUAAAAUUUCUCAACCAUAAUGCUUGUGUUGUAGCUUCAUAGCAUCUAAUAAAUUCUACUUUCAUGGUAGAUGAAGCAAUUAUAGUUUGCUUACCACUCUUCCAAGAUAUAGCCCCUCUAGUAGGAGCGAAAAUAUAUCCUGAAGUGGACUUUCUAGUAUCCGCACAUCUAGCAAAAUCUGAAUCUGAAUAUCUAAUUACCUCAAGAUUAUUAGAAUGCUUAUAUGUGAGUUUAUAGUCUUUAGUUCCUUGUCGAUACUGCAUCACCUUUUUAGUAGCUUGAUAACUCUAUGAAAUGAGAGUUAUCAUGGCACUUUUAGACUUAAAUCAAUAAUGCUUAGAGAGUAAAUGAUAGGUUUCUAUUGCAUUUUUGUUACAUUUUUCAUAAAUAUUCAUUUUAAGUUAGUCUUAAUAAGUUUUCUUUAAUUUUAAGUAACUGUGUGCAUAAUUGUAGGUUUCCAGAAGUUUAUAAUUUAUGGAAGGAAUGCUGAUGCAAUAGACUUGCAAAAGAUGGAAAAGAACUUGGCUACAAAAGAAUUGAAACAAAUCUGGAACAGUGCAGUUGCUGUAGCCGUUGCUAUAGCAAUAUUGCUGUAGCCGUUGCUGUAGCAAUAUUGUUGUAGCCAUUGCUGUAGCAAUCCUGGAACACGACAGAGAAAAUUCUGCGCGGGAUACCUGCAGAAUUGCGAUCUGCAGUUUCCUAAUCUGACUAAUGCGCAGCCUAGGCUUCUGUUUACCCUAAUUUUCAACUAUAAAAGGAGCACACAUCAUAAGGAAUAAGGAGAGCCGUCACCCAAGGGGAAAAACAUAAAGAAACAAAAGAAAAACAAGAUUAAAGAGAGAGAUUGAAAGCUACACAAGAGGAAAAAUUACAGAUAGGGGUGGGCGCGGUUCGGUUCGGUUCGGUUCGGUUUUUUACUAAAUUUUUCAUAAUCGUUCGAUUACGAUUAUUUUAAAAUCAUAAUCGCGAUUAAUCAAAUUACUGAAAAAAUCAAAUACUCGAUUAAUUGAAAUAAUUCGAUUCGAUUCGGUUCGAUUAUUUUGAUUAUAGGCCUAUUGGGCCUAUUUUGGGAUUUUUUAAAUUUAAAACCUUCAAUUAAUAAAUCUACCACAAAUAUAAAAAAUUAACAAACAAAAAAUUAAAAUAUGUCACAAACACAUGCAAUAACAUAGACAUAAAUAUCUAAGCAGCCAAAUGACAGUCGUGAAUGACUCACGAGUUCAGAAGAUAUUUAUAUUUUUAUACUAUAUCACGAGGUAAGUGGCCACCUAGAAAAGCCGAGAACAAAUUAUAAAUAUUGAAUAUCUAAUAAAAAGAUUAUAAUUAUUGAAUAACCACGCACAUUUUACAAAAUUAAAGAGACUUUAAGUGGCAUGUAUUGAGAGCAUAACAACUAGAAUGGUUGGUAAACACCAACUUUUACCUAGCAGCUAACUCUUUGCUUCUACCUAACUCUGGAAGUACAUUAGUAAAUCACUUUCAUUUCAUAUUUGUUCAUUUUGUUUAACAUAGAGGCCAGAGAGGAAUGAGUCAAUUUAACUUAGCAUUUUACCACGCCUCAUGAGACUUAAUCAAUUUAUCCAGGAGAAGAGGAGAAGGUUAUUAUGAUUAUCCAAAUCAAAGAGUAAUUAAAGCUUGGUUGUAAAGGCAGCUUCUCUGAGAGAGUUUUAACCUUAUUCGAGCUUUAUUGGGAAAAGGUUUUCAAACAUGCAUUAAGAUAACGAGAAUUAAUAUAAUCACAUGCACUUGUUACACAUGGCACACAUGCCUGAUUUUAAUAGCUUGAAACCGAAGGGUUAACGUGCGUAUCAAAUUAAAUCAAGCAACAAGCACUUUUGAUGGCCAGCUUUGAUCAAAUCGAUACGAAUAAACAAAUUUGAUAGGAAUGGUGAUUAUGACUUGUGAUGCCGUUAAGAUACAAGAAAAAUAGUUUUUAUAUGUGUUACUCACUUACUCUUGCAAUGGUAGCCAGGAAGUGUUAUGUAAUUAUAAUUACUUAAUUUAAUUUACGUUGUAUUUUAAUCAAUUAGUUAUGUCCUUCCUCGAAUUUAAUUUACAGAAUAAAUUAAGUACGCGCAAAAUUUAAAGACAAUCACAAAAAAUUCAUACACAGAACUUGCCUUCAAGCAACGUGCACCAUGUUGAUAUCUGUUUUUUUCUUUUUCUUUUCCCUUUCUUUUCUUUUAACCCAAUUUUUACUUCAAUCUUCGUUUUUCUUCUUCCCCCAAAAUUAAACAGCGAUUACAUUCCUCAACAGCUAUAGAGAAUAAAAGCCACGACACUUUCAGGAUACCGAAACAUACCCACAUUUACUAAACAAAGGAGAUUUAAUUUAAAAAAAAUUGCAGAGUGGAUUAAGCACUGACCAAGUGAAAAGCUGACCAAUCGAAGUAAGAGCAACAUAAUGAACUCCACCAAGAGCAAUACAACGAACAGGAUCGUCCAAAUAAGGAUUCAAAGUAGGCACAAACGCAGCAUCCUCAUGCCCAAAUCCAAGCCGCCCGCCAUCUCCUUUGCCCCAAAUCCACAACUUCCCGUUCACCACCAACCCAGAAUGAAACAACCCACAUGAUGAAGAAUUUGAAAAGCGCUCUUACCCGGAUUGCUGCGACUCGGUUGGUGGCUGGAGUCACUCUGAGCGCUUAGCUUAUACGUCAGCGAGUUUCCUAACCUUUUGUGAGUCGCUGCUGAGAAAGGAACUCGCCGAGCUGGAGAUGAUAAAAUCGAGGGAGGCACUGAGGUGCGAGGCGGAGAAAAGGAGAAUGGAAUCAGAGGCUGAGAUGACUCGGAUGAUGAUGCAGACUCAAUUGCAGAUCGCGUCGUUUGUUGAGGGGAUGAAUGCAGGCUUUUAGGUUUUAGCUUUCAAAACAAUCGGUUUAUUUGAGAUUUCGGUUCGGUUUUGCAGUUUUUUUUUUUUUAAACCGAAAACCGAACCGAUUGAUUUUACUAUUUUUUUAUAUUACUAUUUCGAUUUUUUGAAGGUAAAAAAACCUUACAAAAAUCGAACCGAACCGUCGGUUCGGUUCUGUUUUUAAUUAAUCAGCUUUUUUUGCCCACCCCUAAUUGCAGAGAUCAAUUGGGAGCUCAAUCCUUCUUAUCCUUCUCUUGUUUUCAUGUUUUUUUAUUUAUUUAUGGAGAUGUGUUUCAUGGCCGAAACCUUGUUCUUUAUUUUUCUUUUGCAAAUCAUGAACUAAAUUUAUUUGUGAUUGAGUGAUAAACAAUAUUGAUGGUUUAUUGACUGAAUAUAUGUGUUGCUGCAUGUUUGCUGUAGCAUUUUGUUUUGAUAGUAUUUAUUUUAUUCGUUAUUUCGGUUGAUCACCCAUUUAAUUAUACUAGCUAAUGAAGAGCCGCAAAAGGGUCUAUUUUAGUGGAACAUAUUAAAACAAUACUUGAUUUUAAAUUGAGUUUCCCAUGUUGAGUUUUACUUGAAUCCCAAAAGGGCCAUGCUUGAUUUAAGAUUAGUGAUGAACUAGACAUAAGGAUUCACCUUGUACGGUAAAUAGAACCUAAGCGUGUAAUGCUAUAUCUUAUGUUGGCAUAGCAACUGAUCACUGUUAGGUUGCAUAUAAUUAUAAGAUAUUGAACAUGUGACGGCUGAGGAUACAUAAGGAUUCUGCCCAGUGCUGUAGCAAAUGCUGUAGCAACCGAGCCAAACAUUAGAAAAAUAGUCAAGACCAUUAAGAGAGUUUAUUCACUCAACUACUCUAUAUUCUCAUUGUUUUUAUCCUUGAGUUUGACGUGAUAAUCUACUUUGUUACAUUUUAUUUAUUCUGUUUUUAUUUUAAUUAGUAAAUUAGUUUCAUCAAUUGUUUAUCUUAAUUUAGACACAAAAUCUGCACUGUUAUGAUUGCUGUAGCAAGUCUAUUAACAUCAAUCCCUGUGGAGACGAUCUUGAAUACUCAUCACUUUAUUACUUGUUGUGUACACUUGCACAUUGACACCAAUAGCAUUAGUAUUUAUACACCAACAUAGCUCCUUGUUGAUAUUGCAUCACCUUUGUAGUAGCUUUUCAGUGUUCCAAUCCGAGAUUGCUUUGAUAUUUAUAGAGCAUGCUUACUACCUAGGCAAGAUCAGGCUUAGUACACACUUAUGCAUACAUUCGGCUAUCUAAGACAGAAGCAUAAUGAGUAUUCUUCAUUUGUUCUUUUUCAAAUUACUUUUGGACAUUAUUUCUGAUUGAAUUUGUCCUCUUUAAAAAUAGGCGCAACAGUAAGAGCACAGUCUUUCAUUUUAAUUUUUUCCAAAACUUUUUUAAUAUAUGCCUUUUGAGACAAUCUUAAUCUCCUUUUAAUCCUAAUUCUGUGAAUUUCUAUACCUAGAAUAUAUGAGGCUUCGCUUAUAUCGUUCCUGUCAAAGUUUUGGUUAAGAAAAUAUAUAGUAUCAUACAACAAACCCAAGUCGUUUCAAGCAAGCAAAAUAUCAUCUAUAUAUAAGACUAAAAAGAUAAAUUUGUUCCUACUAACCUUAAGGUAACUAAAUUGAUCAACAAUAUUUUCUAUGAAACCAUACAAAGUAACAACAUUGUGAAACUUUAAGACCAUUGGCAAAAAGCUUAUUUUAGUCUAUAUAUUUAUUUAAUUUGCAAGCUAAAUGAUUGUCUUUGUUAGCACAAAAACCUUCAGGCUGCUUCAUGUAUACUUCUUCUUCAAGAUUCCCAUUUAAGAAAGCGAUUUUCACAUCUAUUUGAUGUAGCUCUAAAUUAAAAUAAGCUACCAAAGCCAUGAUAAUUCUAAAGAAUUCUUUUUUGAAACUGGAGAAAAUGUUCCUUGAUAAUUUAUGCAUUCUUUUUGAGUGAAUUCCUUAACCACGGGUUUAGCUUUAUUUCGUUCUAUAUUAUCAAAAGCAUUCUUUUUGAUUUUGUAAAUCCAUUUACAACCUACAAUUAAAUUGCCAAAAGAUAAUUGAACAUAUCCCAGACUUAAUUUUUAGCCAUAGAUUCUAUUUUUUCCAUCAUUGCACCAUGUCAUAGUUUAGAAUUCUCUCCAUUUAUGGCUUGUAAAUGGAAGUUGGAUCUUAAUUGAGUUCAUACUUAAACUCAGACUCUUGAAAGAAUACUUUAUAAUCACUAAAAAUUAUAGAUUUCUUAUUCUUAAAGACUUUCUUAAUCCUAUUAUUUCACUUUUAUUUUGUGAAUUUUGAGUGAUAGAAUCUCCUUUGAACAAUCUGCCACUGGGUGUAUGUAAUGCUUAACCAUGUGUCCAUUAACUUUAAAUUCUUGACCUGUUUGUUCAUCUAAAAGAUCAACAGCCCCAUGAGGAUAAAAUUUCAACAACUUAAAAUGUCCAAACCAUCGUGAUUUUAGCUUUCCCGGAAAUAAUCUUAGUCUUGUAUUAUGGAGCAGCACUAAUUGACCAGGGCUGAAUUACCUGUUUUGAAUAUACUUGUCGUGCCAGUGUUUUGUCCUCUCUUUAUAGAUUCUUGCAUUUUCAUAUGAGAAUAGCCGUAAUUCAUCAAGCUCACAAAGUUGAAGAUUCCUUUGCUCUGCUGCAGCAUGAAUAUCCCAAUUUAAUUGCUUCAGUGCCCAGUGUGCUUUAUACUCUAGCUCUAGUAGCAAGUGACAAGCCUUCCUAUAAACAAUUUGGUAAGGAGACAUGCCAAGUGGAGUUUUGUAUGUUAUUCUGGAGGCCCAUAGGGAGUCAUGUAACUGCAAAUACCAAUCCUUCAUUGUUGAGUUCACCACUUUUUCUAAGAUCUUUUUAAUUUCUCUGUUGGACACUUCAACCUGACCAUUGGAUUGUGGGUGAUAUGUUGUUGCUACCUUGUGUCUGACUCCAUAGUUUACUAUAGCUGCAGCAAAGACUUUGUUGCAAAAAUGAGUACCCUCAUCACUAAUAAUUACUCUAGGAGUGCCAAACCUGGAAAAAAUAUUUUUUUGAAGAAAAGCCACUACUGUUUUAACAUCAUUGGUAGGUAAUACUUCAGCUUCUACCCACUUGAAGACAUAAUCCACAACAACAAUGAUAUAUAUGUUCCCAAAGAAUGGUGGAAAAUGUCACAUGAAAUCUAUUCCCCAUACAUAAAAAACUUCCACUUUCAGAAUGUUGGUCAAUGGCAUUUCAUGUCUUUUAGUGAUGUUCCCUGUCCUUUAACACUUGUCACAAUAUUUAACAAAUUUAUAAGCAUCUUUAAAAGUAGAAGGCCAGUAAUAACCUGAUUGUAGAACUUUAGCAGCUAUUCUGUGACCACCAAAAUGUCCUCCAUAUGCUGCAACAUGGCAUGACUCCAUUAUGUGGGGAAUUUCUCCUUCUGAAGCACAUCUUCGUAUUACUUGAUCUGAGCAUAACUUAUAUAACUGUGGGUCAUCCCACUGAUAACUUCUAACAUCAUGAAGAAAUUUAUUUUUCUCUUGAAAUUUUAGCUCAGGUGGUAGCAACCCACUUACUAAGUAGUUAGCAAAAUCUGCAUACCAUGGAGAUCCUGACUGCUGCAGCAUCUGUGCUUGCUGUACUACCAAUCGCUGUUCAUCAGGAAAAGUUUCAGUGAUGUCCCUCCUUGCAAUGUACUUGUGUCUGCUUCCAGCCGUGACAUGUGGUCUACUACUUGAUUCUCAGUCCCCUUUCUAUCUUUAAUUUCCUGAUCAAAUUCUUGAAGCAAUAAGAUCCAUCUGAUUAAUCUUGGUUUGACAUCCUUAUUUGAAAUUAAGUAUUUGAUGGCUGCAUGGCCUGUGUAUACAGUCACUUUAAUACCUACCAAGUAAGUUCUGAAUUUAUCAAAAGCAAAUACUAAUGCUAGCAACUCUUUAUCUGUAGUGGUGUAAUUGAUUUGAGUUUGAGUAAGAGUUUUGCUUGCAUAGUAUAUGGAGUGAAAAACCUUAUCAUUUCUUUGCCCUAAUACUACUCCCACAUAAUGGUCACUAGCAUCACACAUCAGUUCAAAUGGUAGAGUCCAGUCUGGAGAUAUAACCAUUGGUGCAGUGAUCAGAGCUUUUUUUAAUUCUCCAAAUGCUUGCAGACAAUCUUUGUUAAAGUGAAAAGACUUGUCAUGUUCCAACAAUGAGCAUAAUGGUUUAGCUACCUUGAAAAAAUCCUUAAUGAAUCUUCUGUAAAAUCCAACAUGACCCAGAAAACUCUUAAUACCCUUUAUUGAAGUGGGAGAUGGCAGUUUAUCUAUUACCUCUAUCUUGGCUUUGUCUACCUCAAUGUCAUUCUUGGACACCUUAUGACCCAACACUAUUCCUUUUUGCACCAUGAAAUGAGACUUUUCCCAAUUGAGUACUAAGUUAGUUAUCUCACAUCUUUUAAGAACUUCUUCCAAGUUGUGUAAACAAUCAUUGUAUGUCUCUCCAAAAAAUGAGAAGUCAUCCAUGAAAACUUCUAAAGUCUGCUAUACCAUAUCAGAAAAAAUAGACAUCAUGCAUCUCUGAAAAGUUGCUAGAGUAUUGCACAAACCAAAGGGCAUUCUUCUGAAGGCAAAUGUUCCAUAAGGAUAGGUAAAUAUAAUAUUCUCCUGAUCUUCUGGAGCUAUAACAUUCUGGUUGUAGCCUGAAUACCCAUCUAGGAAGCAAUAGUAUUGUUUUCCAGUAAGUCUGUCCAAUAUUUGAUCUAUGAAUGAGAGUGAGAAGUGAUCUUUCCUUGUGGCUUUGUUGAGAUUCCUAUAAUCCAUACAUACUCUCCAUCCAGUCACUGUUCUUGUAGGAAUAAGUUCAUCCCUCUCAUUAGCUAUCAUUGUUAUCCCUCCAUUCUUUGGAACACAUUGAACUAGGCUCACUCACAAACUGUCUGAUAUUGGAUAGGGUUCAAUAUUCUCUGAUGCUCCACCAAAUUGUUGUAGCAAUCUUCUAACAGGAUUUUAUGCAUGCAUAUUGAUGGGCUUAUCCCCUUGAUGUCUGCCAUGGUCCAUCCAAUUGCUCUUCUAUAUCUUCCAAGCAAAUCUACUAGACUCUGUUCUUGACCUGCAUUUAAGGUAGAGGAAAUGAUUACAGAGAGUGUGUUGUUUUGACCAAGAUAAACAUAUUUCAAGUGUGAAGGUAACAAUUUUAAUUCAAGACUUGGAGGUGAUUCAAUAGAUGGUAAAAUUAUUUUUACUUCCCUGUCUGAAAGAUUCAGAUGCUCAAUAAACCUGUUACGCCUAUCAGAUUGCUUUUCUUCUAUCCAAUCUAUCUGGUUUGCUGCAACAUCUUCCUCUUCUAAAUCUUCAAAGGUGGUGACUCUGUUGAUCUCAUUACAGCAGCAUCUGUCCACUAUGUCUGCUACAACAAAAUCCACAACACUUAGAAAAUUACAAUAUUCUACUUCAUCAGGGUUCUUCCAUAGCCUAUAGUACAUUAAAUGUGACUUGCUGUUCAUUCACUCUCAUGGUGAGCUCUCCUUUUUGUACAUUUAUCAGAGUCUUUCCAGUUGCUAGGAAAGGUCUUCCAAGUAUAAUGAGUACCUCUUUAUCAGCUUCAAAGUCUAGUACAAUGAAGUCUACUGGAAAGAUGAAUUUGUCCACCUUCACCAGUACAUCCUCAAUUUUUCCUUCAGGAUAUGCAUGAGAUAUGUCAGCUAAUUGCAGAGUAACUGUUGCUGGUCUGCAUUCCCCUACUCCCAGCUGUUUAAAUACAGACAAUGGUAUCAGAUUAAUACUGGCUCCUAAGUCACAAAGUACUCUGCCAGUGUACCUAAUUCCUAUAGAGCAGGGUAUUGUAAAACUUCUUGGAUCCUUCACUUUUGUAGGAAUCUUACUUUGGAGCAUAUGACUGCUCUCCUGUGUUAAAGCAACAAUUUUAAAUUCUCCCAGCCUUCUCUUUCGUGCCAAGAUGUCUUUUAAAAAUUUCACAUAAUUAGGCAUUUGUUCCAAAGCUUCCACAAAACGUAUGUUGAUGUGUAAUUGCUUCAGCACUUCUAGGAAUUUGCUGAACUGCUUGUCUUGUUUUUGCUUCUAGAAUCUCCGUGGGAAAGGUGGUGGAUGUCUAAACUGCUGGGUAGCUUCUGGAGGUACCAAACUUUGCUUGUUUGGUUUGGUGUAGGUCCUGGCUACUGGUGUUGCAACUUUUUUUUCAGCCAGUUCUGGUUGAGUUCCCUCUGAAGUUGCUGUAGCUUGGCCCCUGUAACCAGUGUCUUGAUGGUUGGGUUGUUGUAACAUGCUUCCAUCUUGAGGUGGUUUUUGUGAGGAAUUAAAUUUCAUCCCCUUUUUAAUCACAUCAACUGGGACAUCAAUAUUCUUUCCAGAUCUCAAAUUAAUUACUUUGUAGUGUUCUUUGCCCUCUCUCCCAGGGUCUUCUGUGUUGCUAGGUAAGCUUCAUUGAGUCCUGCUACUCAUUGCUGUGGCAAGUUGUCCUAUUUGGUUUUCCAGGUUCCUCAAGGAUACAGCUUGACUCUGUACAAUUGCUUUAUUCUUUGCAAUGUAUUCCUUAAUCAGUGCUUCCAGUGAAGUGAUUGGAUCCCGACUGAUAUGUUUUUGCCCUUGACUCUGUUGAUGAAAACCAGGUGGUUGAGUGUUCCUAUUUUGUCCAUUUAAUGCUGAAACAUUUCGAUUCUGACUGCUCCAUGAAAAAUUUAGGUGUUGUUUCCAGCCAGGGUUGUAAGUAUUUGAAUAUAGGUUGUUCUGAAGCUGUCAAUUGAAAUUACCCACAUAGUUUACUGAAGCUGGAUUUCCAGGACAAUUAUCAAAGUCAUGUUCUUCACUAUAGUAUACACAAGAAAGUUCAGCAACUUGCUUCACUACUGCUGGAGCAGAUGUCAUGGCCUUUACCAUGUUAGUCAAUGAGGUUACUUGUGCUGAUAAGGCUGUAAUUGCAUCUAUGUUAUGUACCCUUGCUGUUCCUUUUGCUACUAGUUGCCUGGCUGAUGGCCACUGAUAAUUAUUAUUGGCAAUUCUCUCCAGAAUUUUAUAAGCUUCAGUGUACGAUUUGAAUAACAUGGCUCCAUUUGCUGAAGCAUCCACCAUUAAUCUUGUACUAGGAUUCAACCCAUUGUAGAAAGUUUCCAAGUGAAUGCAACAAGGAAUGCCAUGAUGAGGACACCUUCUGAGCAGUUAUUUGAAUAUUUCCCAAGCCUCAUACAAACUCUCAUCUUCAAGUUGAUAGAAAAAAGUAAUCUCAUUCUGCAAUUUUGUAUUUUUUGUCGGUGGGAAAUAUUUCAUUAGGAAUUUAUCAGCCAACUCAUUCCAUGUAGUGAUAGAAUCAGAUGGUAAAAAAUUUAACCAUGCUCUUGCUCAAUCUCUUAAGGAAUAAGGAAAAAGCCUCAGUCUUAAGGCAUCUUAUGUUGCUCCAGCAAUCUUGAAAGUAUCACUCACUUCCAAGAACAACUUAAGAUGGAGAUGAGGAUCUUCAUUUGGCAAUCCAUUGAAUUGACCAAUUGUUUGCAACAUUUGAAACAUCACUGGCUUCAACUCAAAGUUUACAGCUUCUACUUCAGGUCUGAUUAUCCCAAGGUGUACAACUUGAGGAGUUAACACAACAUAAUCUCUAAUAGCUCUAUCUCUGUCAUCAACCAUGUAAAUAAUAUUGUUAUUGCCUGGCUGUCUCUCGUUAGGAUGUUUAUUAUGCUCUUCUUGAAUGUUGACUGGUUGUAAGGGCCCGUGAGGGUCUAAAUUUCCCAUAUCCUGCAAAUUAUUCAUGCCUGAAACAAUUUUUGAAUUCCUUUGUUCUCUUCGCAGUCUCCUAACAGUCCUUUCAAUCUCAUAAUCGAAUUGGAAUACCACAUAUCCGUCUUUGCGCAUGCAAGUACUAAUCUGCCAAUAAAUAAAAUGAAUCAAAUCAAAUUGGCACUAUCAAGAUUUACUUCACACUUUAAAAAUAGACAAUCAAUCCCCGGCAAUGGCGUCAAAAACUUGUUGGUUAAUUUUAUAAUCAAAUGCUACUAAUGCCAAUGUGCAAGUAUACACAACAAGUAAUAAAGUAAUAAAUAUUCAAGAUCGUCUCCACAUGUAUUGAUGUUACUUGAAAUGUUAUAGUAAUCACAAUAGUGCAAACUACUUAAGUCCGAAGUUAACAAACAUAAAGUGGUUUCUAUCGUAAUUGAUGAUUGUAAGAGAAUAAAGUAAAACAAUACCGUGAUGAAAUAAACUAAAUUAAAUGUGUCUAAGAUUUAAUUGAGACUAUGGUAGUUGAAUGAUCAAACUCUCCUUAUGGGCUGACUGUUUUUCAUCAAGUUAACACCAGUUGUUACGGUAAGUGCUGCAGCACUGGGUAGAAUUAGUCUGCAUCCUUAGCUGUCGCAUAUUGGAACUCUCAUACCCUUAAAUCUAUUAAUAAUGACUAGUUGUUAAUCUAAUUAUGAUAUGACAUUAUGACACUUUAGUCUCUCCACCCUACAAGGUGAGCACCUAUGUCUAGUGUGUCACAAAUCUUAACUUUAAAUAUAGCCCUUAUGGGAUUCAAGAUAACUUAAUCCAGGAAACUUAAAUUAAGAUCAAGUAAUACUCUAAUAAUAUCUACUAAGACAUGCCAUUUUGCGGCUCUAUCUUAACUUGAACUAUUAAAUGGGUGGUCAAUCGAAAUAACAAUUAUAUUAAUAAUAACUACUAGAGUAAAAUACUACAGGAACGACAUAACAACACAUAAGAACAGUCAAGAACCCAUUGAAUUGUUUGUCACUCAACUACAAGCAAAUCUAGUUCAUAUUCUGAAUGAGAAAAACAAACAUAAAUAUAUUGUUCACGGGAUACAUCAGAACAAUCAAAUAAAGAAGAGAAGUAUAAGUUGAGAACGGUAAAAAGCAAAUCCAAAUAACUCUGCACGAUUCCUCAAUGCUGCCGAAACCGCAUUCUUCAAUUCUGAUCUUCUUCUCCUUUCUUCUCUAAUGAUUUCACGAUAAUUCACUUGCCGCCUUUCUUUGUGGUGCGCGCCCCCCUUUUAUACUGCAAACUAGGGUAAAUAAAAGUCUGUGGGCAUGCAUGAGUUAAAUUAGGAAACAUGCAUAUCGCGAUUCUGCAGCUAGCCCGCGCUUAAGUUUUUUCCCUCAUUGCUCCCAGAUUGCUACAACACCAGUUGCUCUAACAACAGUUACAACACUGCACUGUUCCUGAUUGUGCUUUACUUCUUUUGCGGCCAUCUUCUUUCCUCCUCUUACUAGUUUAAUGUCUCAGCAUCCCUUCAUGAAUUAAGAACUUCUGAAAACCUACAAUUAUGCACAUGUUUUGAGCAAAAAAUUAAUUUGAUUCAAGCAAAACUUAUUAAGACUUAACUAAAAUGAAUGUUUAUGCAAAAUAUAACCAAAAUGUAAUAAAAACACCUUAUUUGUUUUCUAAGUGAUCUUGAUUUAAGUCUAGAAUUGAUGUAAUAACUCUCAUUUCAUAGAGUUAUCAGCUACCAAAGCCAUAAUAAUUCUAAAGAAUUCUUUUUUGAAACUGGAGAAAAUGUUCCUUGAUAAUUUAUGCCUUCUUUUUGAGUGAAUUCCUUAACCACGGGUCUAGCUUUAUAUCGUUCUAUAUUACCAGAAGCAUUCCUUUUGAUUUUUUAAAUCCAUUUACAACCUACAAUUGAAUGGCCAAAAGAUAAUUGAACAAAUCCCAGACUUUAUUUUGAGCCAUGGAUUCUAUUUUUUCCAUCAUUGAACCAUGUCAUAGUUUAGAAUUCUCUCCAUUUAUGGCUUGUAAAUCGAAGUUGGAUCUUGAUUGAGUUCAUACUUAAACUCAGACUCUUGAAAAGAAUACUUUAUAAUCACUAAAAAUUAUAGAUUUCUUACUUUCUUAAUCCUAUUAUUUCACUUUUAUUUUGUGAAUUUUGAGUGAUAGAAUCUUCAUGAAGUGGUUGAAAUUCAAUUGGUUGUUUCUUAAUUAUUUCCAUAGGAAAUACACCAACAUAUUCUUUAAUUUCUUGAAAUUCAAUAAUACUCAGAAAUUUAUUUCCACUAAGUUCAAGAUCUUCAAGAAAUUUUGUAUAUUUAGCUUCAACAAUCUUUAUAGUGUGUGAAGGACAAUGAAACCUAUAGCCCUUAAAGUUUGCUGGAUAGCCUGAAAAAUAACCACUAACUGUACCUGAGUCCAAUUUCUUUAAUUGAAGAUUAUAAAUCCUUACCUCAACAGGACAACCCCAAAUGUAUACAUGUCUGAAAAUAGGUUUCCAUCUGUUCUAAAUUUCAAAAAGUGUUGUAGGAACAGCCUUGGAUGGAACUUUGUUUAAAAUAUACACAACGGUUUUUAAAGCUUCACUCCAGAAUUUCAAGGGAAGACCUAAAUCGCUAAUCAUACUUCUUAUCAUGUCUAUAAGUGUUCUAUAUUUCCUUUUAGUAACAUCAUUCUGCUAUGGUGUGCUAGGUAUUAUAUAUAUUAUGCAAUAAUGCCUUAUCUUUCGAGAAAUUUUACAAAUGGACUAGGCAUUUUUUUUUGUAUAUCUCCAUAAUAUUCUCCACCCUUAUAAGAUCUUACAAUUUUAAUUUUUCUUUCUUUUUGUCUCUCUACUUCUACUUUAUAAAUCUUAAAAGCAUCAAAUGCUCUUUCUUUAUGAUUUAGAAAAUAGUGAUACAUGUAUCUUGAAUGGUCAUUUAUAAAUGAGAUAAAAUAUCUCUGAUCAUUUAGACAAAGAGUGGAAAAGGUUGCACAACUAUCAGUAUAUAUAAUCUCAAGAAUUUCUAUGCUCCUCUUAGUACCUUCAAUAGUCUUGUUAUUUUAUUUUCUCUUAAUGCAAUUUAUACAAGAAUUAAAAUCAAUAAAAUCAAGACUAUGUAAAACUCCAUCAUUUGCUAUUCUUUUAAUUAUCUCUAUAGAGAUAUGUCAUAAUCUCACAUGCCAAAGUUUGAAGGCAUUCUCAUUAGUAAUACAACAGUUAAUGCCAAUAUUUGCAUCAUGCAAAGUAAAAAGAUUAAAAUCAAAUGUGGGAUCUAAAUUUAACUUAUAUAAACCAUUAAGUCAAACACAACCGCAAAUAAAAUUAUUAUUAUUAUUAUAUAUAUUAAUUACAACCAGUUAGUUCAAAACAAAUUUAAAUCCUAAUGAAACAAGAUGAAUAACAAAAAUUAAAUUUCUAGAAAAUGUGGGUACAUAAAAUAUGUUUUCAAGGUCUAAAUAAAAACCAAAUUUUAAAACCAAUUUAAAAGUUCUCACAACCUCAACACUUGAUUGCAUUCUGAUUCCCUUGCUCAUUUGCUCUCGGAAUCAACCCAUAAUGUAUUAUUAGGGACAUCAAUAAAACGAGAUUCAUGACAUACAUAAGAGAUAGAUUUACCUUUCUUUUCUAGCCAUUUUAUAUUUUUGGCAAUUCUUGUUUAUGUGUCCUUUUUUCUUACAAAAGAAGUACUGAUCAUUCUUAUUAAAUUUCUUUAUUGGCACUUGCUUCUCCUUAUCCUUGGGAACACUUUUACUCUUUUGGUUAUUUCUUUUCACAUGAGUAGUUAAAUGGGCACUUUUUAACUUCUCAUGCUUCAAUUUCUCUUCUUCUUGAACACACAUGGUCAAAAGUUUAUUAAGAGACCAUUUUUCUUUAUGUGUGUUAUAUGAUAUUUUGAAUGGAACAUAUUUGUUAGGAAGAGAAUUAAGAAUGAAAUAAACCAAAAAUGACUCAAACAUCUUUAUCCCAAGUGACUUAAGUUGAACAACAAUAUCAUUCAUUUCCAUUAUAUGCUGACCUUUAGUAUUAUCAAGCUUCAUGCUUGAAAGUUCUUGCAUUAGAGUGCUUGCUAAUGCCUUAUCAGGACUUACAAAUUGUUCCUCAACAAUUUUUAUAAAAUCCUUAACUUUAGCGCAUUGUGGGAUGAAAUCUCUAAUGCUUUUGUUGACAUGAGAUUGCAUGACUAUCAAACUUAAGCAAUUAGAUCGCUCCCACUUUUCAUAUGCAUCUUUCUCACUUUGCGUACUUGAUUCCAUGGGAAUAGGCGGUUAAUCCUCACAAAGCGGCAAGUCAAUAUCCAUGUACCCUGAAGAGAACUCUCUCUUUCCAGAUAGAAAAGUUAUCGCCAUACAACAUUGGAACACGAGUAGAAUCACUGAAAUAAUUAGGAACCACUGUAUUGGAGAACAAAAAAAAUACAUUAAUGCUAUGAAAAUUUUAAUCUCAAUACGGAAUUUACCAAUGUAAAAAUUUAGUUGUAAAUUCAAACCUUCCUAUGGGCAGAGGUUACAUAAUGUAUUGAAUUUACAUUAAUCUUUAAUAACAAGAAUAGCAAAUUAAAUUCUAAUUUUGAUGCUCAAAUUAUCAUCUUAUUCCAAUUAUAUCUGUAUAAUAAUUUUUUCCCUUUGGGGCCAAAUAAUUAUAAAUUAAUUGCAACAUGUUCAACGCCUUUCAUGUCUAAAAUAACAUAUGAACAUGUGCUAUACAAAUAUCAUUAUAUAUUUCGAAUGUUGUGGCUUCUUUGAAAAAUGUGAUGAUGUUUCAAUAAAGGCAUUAGUAGAACAUGAUAUAAAAAUUCAAUAAAUUUAUGUAGAUUGUAUAAUUAUUCUUUCGUAGAUCUAUCAUAUUUUAAGUAGAAGGCUAAAUAACACAAAAUGUAUUGCAAUCAUGAUUACGAUGAUUUCCACAAUAAUAUAUAUUCAUUAUUAACACUUAGUCAUAUAUUAGUGAAUUCAAGCAUUAAAAUCUUCAUCAUGUGACAUGGUUUAAUACAUGUAUUCAUCGUAGCAUAUAAAGUCACAACCAUAUAAGAUCAAAACCAUAAACCGAAUGCAAACAAUAUUAUAUAACUAAACAACAAGAUCUAAAGGGAGGCUUUGAUACUAGGUGUAGUCUUAAUAAUAAUAUAUAUAGAAUAUAUUAUUGAUAUAAAUUUAAAUAAUUUACAUACUUUCACCUCCAGUCAUUAUUGUUCAAGUUAAUUUUGAAGAAUACUUAGAAUCUUCUGGUCUAUUCAUCUAGUCUUUAUUUGGUGGGUAAUUCACAAGCAAAGUUGUUAUUGGCUAGGUUAGGAACUCUUAUUAUAUAUAAUGGACUUCAUUCACUUUCCUCCAUUAAGAAAGUGAGUAAUUAUCCUUAUCUUAAUUUUAGAAAUAUAGAAUAAUUAUUCUCAUCAUUAUUUAACGAUAAAUAUGAUUAGUUUUAGUUUAUCUUAAAGUUAUGAAUGUGAGCCACAUUAGGGUGCUUGCAUGUAACACAUAUUUUGAGAUUAAUGCAAGUAUUAAUUUAAUUAUAAUGCUUGUAAUAUAUUCACGAACAAUAUUCAGAAUAUGCAUCUAACACAAGGGACAAGAUUUGAAGUCAACUUGGCUAACGGCUUCUUGUGAGCAAGUUAAGGUUGAUUUUUCAUCAAGCUUGACCACAGGGAGUACGGGGGGUGGUUCAGGACAUGCAUUACUUUAUUAGGAAGACUCUAAAGAUUAAUUAAUUAUUUAUUCUUAGUGUCGGUUUUUUUUUUUUGGGGUUUAAUCAUCUGGAAGAAUAUUAAAUUGUAGAAACAUUAUAGAAAGUUUAUUGGAUUGUUAAUUUUACUCUUAUUUAUUUUUUUCAAAGUGGUAUCUUGCAUAGUUUUCUUCUUUUUCCUUAACUCACAUUAAUUAACUAGAAAAUAGAACCGCGCUUCACGUGGUUCUUUAAAAAAAAAAUUAGUAUUAUCAUUUUUUCUUACUUUACACUUGAUGAAACUAAUAAAAAAUAUGAAUAGAUUUUUUUUGUAAGAUGAGGCAGCCUUAUAAAAAACAAAAGAACUAUUACCCAGCAAUACAAAUAAAGAAGCAACGCAAGAUAAAGAAUAAAAUGAGAGAAUAUAUUAUAAAGUGAUUUUAUUCAUUCCAAUUGUGUGUGUACAAAACAAAAAGAUGAGCUCUCAUUUUAUAGUUACAUAAUCACUCUAUGAAAUUAAUGAAAAUUAUAUUAUAAUUCCUUGUGAGAUAGUGGGAGUUAUAGGGAAGCUAAAGGUUGCUAAUGAGAGUAGGGGUGGGCAAAAUAUCCGAUCCGACCCGACCCGAUCCGAUCCGAUCCGAUCCAAAAAAUAUCGGGUUCGGAUCGGAUCGGAUUGUUGAUAUAACCCGAUCGGAUGUAUUCUUGCUAACUCGAUCGGAUCAUGAUCGGAUCGGAUGAAACCCGAUCCGAUCCGAAAAACCGAUCGGGUUGCCAAAGAAAAAAAAGAAAUUAAAGGUAAAAAAAGGAAACCUAAACUAAAGAGCACAUGCACGUGAAGAACACCCAACACUCUUUAAUAGCUAAAGACAAAAUCACAUUUUAGCCAAGCCAAUAACAUUCUUCAGUUGCAUCAAAACGGAAAAAAAAAAGAAAAAAAACAGAGAACACUCUUCCUCCCUUCCUCAACUUCUCAAUCUCAUCUCAAGAACACUAUUCACGAUUUCAUGCACACAACCACGCACACAUAUGGGAAAAGCAAGGGGCAGCCGGAUCGAUUUUUCCCGCAGUCACCGCCGACGCUAACUGCUCCGCAAGGACCGCAAAUGGAUCUGCUGCUACCGGAUCUGCUGCUACCGGAUCUGCUGCUCCACGCCGCCAGUCCUCCACCAUCACCUGAUCUGAUCCAAGAUCCAUUCAACCCGGUAAUUGCAAGGCUGCAACCCGAGUUUCCUUUUCCUCUUUUGAAGCUCUGUUGGUAUAAUAGUACUAUACCAGAUUGUUCGCCAUUUAGCAGUAAUAUAUCAUAUAUUAUUAUAUUACAUGUGAAAUUGUUAAUUUGUAAUUAUGUAUUGUUAAAUGUUAAUAAAAAAAAUAAGAAAAUUGUAAAUCCGAACCCAAUCCGAACCGAAUUUAACCCGAUUUAUUGACCCGAUCUGAUCCGAUCCGAAUAUAUAUCGGAUCGGAUCGGAUCGGGUUAUAAGUUCGGGUUGUGUUCGGAUGAAUUUGUGUUCAACCCGAUCAAUCCGAAAUCCGAUCGGGUUGAUCCGAAUCCGACCCGAACCCGUAUUUGCCCACCCCUAAAUGAGAGAUAGUGGGGAGACUAAGAGAUACAUAUUAUGAACAUCUACAUUUAUUUUAAUAAAUUCAUAACACUCCCCCUUGGAUGUUCAUUACAAAGAAUAUGCCUCAUUAAAAUCUUUACAUAAUUGUUAUUGUGUAAUAACAAUCAAAUUAAUUAUGAGAAGAUAAAAAGCCAAAUCUAAAAGAAAAUUUCUCUAUUUAUUAGAUAAUAUAGAAUAAACAAAGAUGAGAAAUGGUGAUGCCACAUCACCUCCUCAAGUUCCAGCUUUAUAUAUAUAUAUAGAUAUAUAGAUUUGUUUCCAUGAGUACCCUAAUUAUAAGCCACAUGCACGUUACAACAACUUAUGUUAAAAAAAAAUAUCAAGUUUUUGGGUGAAAACUUCAUGCAUAAUAUUAUUUUUAUUAUUUUUUUUUAUCAAAAUUACAAUUUAAAAAUUAUAUUCCAAAACAUUAUAACACAAUUUUGUUUUUCGCUUUACUAUCAAUCAGUGCCUAACCCCUCGAAACCAAAUUCAAUUUAAGUAUUACACCAAAAAAGAGGAAGAUUGCUAUUUAAAGUCGGAGAAAUUCUAGAAUACCUCUGAUGUUUUACAACCAAUUGAUGCAUGCAUAACAUGUGUGGUUGAAUUUAAUAUAACCACCACUUACAUUAUGAUUUUUCAAAGCCGAAAAGGAAGAUGGCUAGCUAAAGUUGAGGUCAAACUUUUUACACAAUAACAGAGUUCAUAAGCACCAUUCAUCAAAGUCGUCAAAGUCAAGGGAGCUAUGUAAUAAUCUCUAAUUUAAGUAAUUUUUUUCACUUUUAAUUUUAUUAAAAAUCUAUUUAAAAUUUAAUAAAAGCCCAAACCGCCUAAAAUGCCCUACAAUUUGCCAAAUUUGCCGAAUUUGCCAACCCUAAAUCUAAUUCAACCACUGUUGACUUUCCGCAUGGGGCAUGCAUCCAUUGAAGACUUUUGAGAAAGAAUACGUGAGAGGAAGGAAUAGCAUCACUUCAGAUUGGAUCCUGAGAAGAAAAAGAAGACGAUGAAGAUGGCGUCCAAAACCUAUGAAAAUAACCAAGAAUCACAUAUUCAAUAUUCACUCAUUAAUUUUUCAUUUUGUAUUCAACAUAUUAGUUUAUUCCAAAUCACGUGAGCAGUCAUUGUGAAGGUCCCUUUUAUUAAUUUGAAUUGAAUUAGGAGAAAAAUAUAUCUUCUACCAUAUUCCAGUAUGUUUCUUAGAAAGAAUGUAAUCAAAUUCCUUUGAUUGUUUCUUACUGGAAAAAUCUUCUUUUUAUAUUCUAUUAAUAGUGCUAAUAGAUAAUUAAUUUUUAAUUAUACCGAAAGAAAAUAGAUAUCAAAUUUUUAAAAAUAAAAUUCUAAAUAAAUGAACAAAUAGAGUUUUUUUUUUUUUCAAUUCAAAACGUCCCGUGAUCGUCAAUCAAUUUGGUGCUUGAAUAUAUUAACUAGGGGUAAGGGCAAUAACUUAUUUCCAAUACUCAGUAGCUUGAUUGAACCAAGUCUCCAUAAUUUUAGAAUCUCUUUGUUUAAUGACUCGAUUCCUGUGGUCGAAAUAGGAGAGUUUUUUUUUUUUUUGUCUCAUAUAGCUUAGCAGUCAAUUCUUUUGGUAUCUGGGGUUUUUGAAUUUAGUAUAUCAAAUUGAAUGAGAUUUCUCGUAGCUUAGCAAAACGUUUGGCUGCAUUCCUUUUCUUCUUCCCUAUUAAUUUUAUAUUUUUAUCGAAAGCAUUUUUUUUUUAGAAAAGAUAGAGGGGCAUGUAAAGCAUAAAAUUACUAUUUUAACUCCUCUACUUAAGAUUUGAAUUCAAAUAACCAAUUGAUUAAAAUUGUUUUGACAUCAAUCUUUUUUGUCUUAGUUGAUUUGGCUUUGCUGCACCCUAAAUCGAUGCAAAAGCUUAUUCGUCAAUUCCUUUUGCUCAAUUGUAAUUAUAGAGAUAAAUUUUUUUAGUGAAUUUAAGAAAAAGAAAUUAAAAAGAAAAGAGUUUUGAAAGAGUGCACAAUGACUCACUGAUUGAGCGCUCUAGCACGGAAGAUGAACGGGACUAAGCGAUCUGCCGAAGCUGUGGGAUAUAAAGAUGCUAAAUCACUAAACAAAUACUAGCUAACGGACCGAACCCACCACCAGUAACUAAAGAUUGCUCGGGGGUGGAUCCAGUCGGUGGGGCCUAGGGACAAGUUACUUAAACGGAACAUGUGCCUUGUCCUAAUUCAUGCAUGUUCGGAUCUUUCUAUACUGCUUUACUAGAUUCCAACAAAGGGCCAAAAAAAAAGGUGUCACUCCAAUUUUUUUUCUUCCUUCGUAAAGCUCUCUCUCUUCUAGAGAGGCUUGAAUGGAAGUGUUGAGGGGUCGUAAGGACUCAGGUGGUCACUCCCUAUGAGUGGGAUAUAACCCUAAAAAGUCAGCUAUUGGGGUUGGUGAGCUGGAUGAGAAAGCUGUGAGAGCAAAGUUAGUGUAGGGCGUUAAGGCACGAAUUUAAGUUAGUGAGCCUAAAUACCUUAUUCUCUAUCCAAGCAUUAACUACCAUGGAUACUGAAGAGCUAAUUCGCAAAUGUAAAGCAAUAACUAUCAGAGAGGAAGAUAAAGGCAGAAUAACGUUGGAAGUGAAUCUAAAAAACAAGAAAGAACAAAUGAUGGCAGGAUGCUUAGUGGGCAAAGUACUUUUCACGAAGGGAGUAAACAAAGAAGGGCUUAAGGCUGUGUUACAGCAAGUGUGGAGGACUUUCAAAGAAGUCAAGAUCGAAAGCGUGGGGAAUAAUAUUUUCAUGUUCAAAUAUGUUGAAGAAGCAGACAAAAAAAGAGUGCUAAAAGGGGAACCGUGGCACUUCGAUACGGUUUUGAUUGUUCUCGCUGAGCCAAGGGGGAUUGGGGAAGUCGCAAAACAAUCUUUUACCCAUACAUCUUUUUGGGUACAGAUUCGUAAUGUCCUACUAGCUUGUAUGGAUAAAGAAUUUCUCCAAGACUUGGGCAGGAAGAUUGGGUCAGUAGAGGAGGUCCAAAUAGAUGAUAAUGGAGAUUGCAUUGGGGAAUUUGCCAGAAUAAGAGUCUCAAUUAAUAUAACACAGUCGCUAGAGAAGAUUUUAUUCCUAAAACAGGAAGGUGAAACUGAUAUCCUAAUGCCGGUGGUCUAUGAACGCUUGCCGAAUUUUUGUUAUUGUUGCGGAGUUAUUGGACAUCAAUACAAGGAGUGUGGCAAGUAUUAAGGCCAACAAAGAGAAGAUCUACUGUAUGGGAGUUGGAUGAAGGCGAUUACAGUAGGGGGUUUCACAAAAAGGAAUUGAAACAAGGAUAAGUGGAACUAUGGGGCUGGUAAAUCGGAAGAAAAAUCGACAAGCUCAGAAAACCAAAGCUCCUAGCAACAGCAAAGGCAAAACCAAGAUAACCCGAUAGGGCAAACGGGUCGGAACCCAUUGAGAAAGAAACGAGGCAAACCAAGGAGCAUGCCAAGAUGGAUGAGAUGGAAGGAGUAGUUGAGCAACAAUUAAUGCGAGGAGUGAUAGAAUCAGAGACAAAAAAGCAAAUUGACGGCAACAAGCAAGAUGGGAAAACUGGCAAUGUAACAGUCCCUAGGAAAAUAGGAAUACAAGCGGGAAAUGGAAUUACAAAAGAGAGGGAAAAUAUGCAGAUAAGCCACGAAGGAAUAGAGGAAUCUGAAAUAAACGAUAGGCCGGAAGUCUCUCAACUACGGUCCAACAAGAGGAAAUAGAAGAAAUUAGCUAGAGAUCUGAGUGAAGGGGGAGAAAAAAUUGAGUUAGGAGCUCGAAAAAGUCCAAGGGGGAAAACAUUCGGGCAAAGCCCAAGGAAAAAAACAAAGCUCUCUGGCCCCAAUAAAUUCAAGCUUAAAAAUCUGGUGCAAGUCUCUCCAACAGCAAGACUCAAGCUGAGCUGGGAACCGUUGGUGCUGGAAGAAGUGGUAGUCAUGGAUUCAAACAAUGCAGAGAUAUCGGCGGAGGCUGGUGGUUGUUGGUUGAUUUAUAUAAUCAAUUAUUACCAAUGCCAAAGUGCAAGUAUACACAACAAGUAAUAAAGUAAUGAGUAUUCAAGAUCGUCCCCACAGGGAUUGAUGUUACUCAAGAUGCUAAAGCAAUCACAAUAAUGCAACCAACUAAAGAUCAAAACAAACACUUGUCAAAUUGUUCUUCCGUAACCAAUAAUUAUGAGGGAUAGAAAUAAACUAAUACUUCUACGAAAUAAAAUAAAUUAAUUGUGUUUAAGAUUCAAUUUAAAAUGUAGUAGUUGAAUGAUCAAACUCUCCUAAUGGGGUGACUGUUGAUUACCGAAUUAGCACCAGUUGUUGUGGUAAGUGCUGCAGCACUGGGUAGAACAAAUAUGCUUCCGCAGCUAUCGCAUGUUGGAAAUCUCAUACUUUUAAAUCUACUAACAAUGACUAGUUACUCAUAAAUUUAAUGGAUGGCUUUACGACCUUUAAUCUCUCUACCCUACAAGGUGAACACCUAUAUCUAGGAUUUCACGAAUCUUAAUUCAAGUACUGCCCUUAUGGGAUUUAGGAUGACCUAAUCCAGGAAACUCAACUUAAGAACAAGUAAUACUCCAAUAAUGUCCGCUAAGAUAUGCCCUUUUGCUGCUCUAUCUUAACUGAAAUCAUUAAAUGGGUGGUCAACCAAAAUAACAAUUAUGAUCAUAAAAACUAUUAGAAUAUAAUGCUACAACAUUAGCACAAUAACAUAUAAGAAUAGUCAAGAACCCAUUGGAUUAUUUGUCACUCAACUACACUUAAAUUUAGUUCAUAUUAUGAAUGAGAAAAGUAAACAUAAGUAUACUGAUCAUAGAAUACAUCCAAUCAAUCAAAUGAAGAAAGAUAAUGUGAAUUGAGCACGAUGAAAGUCUGAGGAUCCUUCUCGGUUCUUCAAUGAUGUCGAACAACACUCCUCAAUCUUCUUCUUCUCGCCUUUUUAAUUGUUUUUUGAUGAUAAUAAUUCUCCGCCGCUUGCUAUGUGGUGCAUGCUUCCUUUUUAUAUUGCAAAUUAGGUUAAAAACCGAAACCUAUGAGCGUGCAUGUGUUUAACUUAGGAAACAUGCAGAUCAUGAUUUGAUUGCUGACCGCGCCUAUAUUUUCUCCCGCGUUACUCCUAGAUUGCUAUAGCACGGGUUGCUCUAACAUCCGCAACAGCACUUGUAUUACUUCCGAUUGUGCUUUCUUUCUUUUGUGACCAUCUUCUUUCCUCCCCUUUCCAUCUACUAUCUCUGCAUCCUUUCAUGAAUUUAAAACCUACAAUUUAAAACCUGUUUUUAGCACAAAUUACUAUGGUUCAAGCAAAACUUGUUAAAACUCAACUAAAAUGAAUAUUUAUGCAAAAGGUCACCAAAAUGUAAUAAAAACACAUGAUUUGCUCUCCAAAUAACCUUUAUUCAAGUCUAGAACAGAUGUAAUAACUCUCAUUUCCUAGAGUUAUCACACGCCCAAACUUAAACUAUUGCUUGUCCUCAAGUAAUGAAAAAUACUAAUAUUUCCCGCAAACAAACAUGCACACAACUUCAGCUCUUUUAUCAAACUUGCAAAGAUUCUUCCACCUUCAGAUCAUAUUCCCAAUCAUACAAAAAUGCCCAUAGUAAAUCAGUUCUAGACUUAAGCUUCUUUCUGUCCAUAGUGUGUGUGUGCUGCCUUUGUGAUUGAAUUUCUGAUAUGCUGUAACAUUACCAAAGGAUUGCCGAAAUUUCUGCAAUCAUAUACUUUAUUCUUACAAGGGGUAGCAUAAAUUCUACAUAUUCAAACUGUAGUAGCUUUAACAUUGAUAACCUGGGGGAUAGUCAACCGCCUCACUGUAACAUUUAUUUUUCAUGUGAAUGUCGAUCACUUGUAAUGAUGACACCCAAUUACUCAAACCAUGCCCAAAUCAGAGUUGCUGCAGCAAUAUCUGUGGUAUAAUCUUAUCUCAAGAUAUCUUUGACUCAAGGCUGAACAUGGGGCUUAUGAACAGACCUGGCUACUCAAUGCCUUAGACAUAGGACAUAUAUAUAUAAUUUUUAUUUUAUUUUUUUUAACAUAUGUGCUACAACACUGCUUAUAACUCUUGCUGCCUUUUUACACAUUUCUGCAUAUGUGGUGCAUACUCAGAUCUGGUUACUCAGCAACUUAAGUUAUUGGAGCAGAGUUUUAUUUCAUAACUAUCCCAGUCAAUCAACAUGCUUCUCCCUUCAAAACUUAAGACUUUUGUUUCUAUUCUUUUUGGUUUUGCUCUAGCAGUUUCAUACAACUCAAUCACGGGCUAAGUGUUGGGACAAAAUUUCACUUCUAUCUAUAACUAUCUCUACUUGACAUUCUCAUAAAUACUGAAUAACACUCAAUUUAUCUUCAUUAGGUUUUCAAAUCCAUACACAAAUAACAGAUAAUAGAGCUUCACACAACACAAACAUAAACACAUGCAUUCAGAAACAAUCCCCCCCAAACUUGAGAGGUGUUGUGUCCUCACAAGCAAACAAAAAUAAAAACACACAAAUGGGCAAACAAAUCUUUUUUUUUUAAGAAACAAAAAGGCAAUUAGUGAGAUAAAAGUACUCCCCUGUGGUGGGGACUGCAGCCCAUGAUGUGAUGCUCUCAUCGCUUCUUGGAGGCACUGCGCAGCUUAUCCUUUGGUGAAGCCUUUGGGGAGGUGGCUGGCAAUGUCUUUGUCAUUUUCGCUGCAGGGCUGGUGAGAGGAGUUGUGGCUGGGGUUGCUGUAGCAGGACCCGCCGAUGUACUGUCUUUUCGUUUGCUAGGUUGCCUUGGACUGGUGCGGAUAGGCUUGCUGGGAGGUUGUUGUAGAGGUUGUGGGGUCAAUGCAUCAGCUGCCUAGCCCUCGGCUGUGAUGACAACAAUGACCUCAAGUAGUUGCUUGGCUUGUUCAGAUGUAGGCAUGGCUCUGGUUGCUGCAGCAGCCAGUUCAGCAUCGAUUUGCUCCAUGUCAUCGUCAGAGGCUGGAGGUGUUGCCAUUUUUUUUUUCUUUACCUUUGGCCUUUCCUUUGCUGACAAGGACUGGAAUAUGUGGCUCCAUGGCAAGGUCUUCCUCCUCCUCUUCUUGAAUAAUGUGCCGCUUCCUAGGUUUGGACUAGGAUGGGAUGGGUGGUUCCUCACGUUCUUGCUCUGAAUUCUCUUCUGCCUCUGAGGGUGAGCUAUCGGUCUCAGAUUUGUCACCUUCAUCCUCAGGUGGGUCAGAUGGUUCAGCAUCUUCUGAGUCAACCUCUACUAGUGGUUCAAUUGUAGCUGGCUCUGCUGGUUCAUCUGAAGCUGUGGCCUCUUCACUGGUCUCUGCUGGAGCGCCUGUGGUGCUAGUGUCAAAAUUGUAUUGCUGGAGCAGGGAAGCAGGGAAGUUCCGAUGAUUGCAUUUCAUGUAUUCAGCAAAUUGGUGUAGUUGUCCAUCCAGGUGCUGUAGAUAGCUCUAAAACCUACCAUUUUCCCUCUGCUGAGCUUCUACACACUGAUGAAUACUAGUGUUGAGUGCCUGGAUGGCUUGUUCUAAGCCGAGAGUUCGUCGUGCUCCUGUUAUAGCAACUUGUUCCAGCACUCUCGCCAGCAACUCUUUCAAUUGUUCGUGCCGUAAAGGCACCAUCAUUUUUGACAUGCUCAUCGUUGGCUUCAAGCUGAACACCUGAAACUACACAAAUACUGGUGACAAGUGAAGGAAAUAACAAAGCAGCAGUUCGAUGAGUUUUGGUUGCACACUCUCGGAUUUCUUUUUCAAUGAUUCUACCCACAUCUAUGGGCAGCCCUCUAACAAGGACAUAUAUCAAAACCAAUCUUUCUUGCGAAACCGUUGUAGUGUGAGUGGUGGGAAUAAGCCUAGAUUUCAAAAAUUUCACCCACACCUUAGCAAUAGGUUUCAAAUAUAUUCUGUUAACCACACGUCCUUCCUCGUUAACCCAUGAUGCCCCUUCGAUGGUAAGAGUUGUAAAAAUGGUAUUCCACUUUUUCGGGUUUAACUUAUCACGCAAUUUAGCAUACUCACAAGUAAUCUCAGCAGGUAAGUUAUAAAAAGCAUUGAUAACACGGGAGUCCAAUGGAACAAGAGUAUUUCUUACCCAAAUGUUAUGCUGAUCAGGGCUUACCAAAUUGGCAUAAAAUUCUUUUACCACCGGCAAUACAAGAUUGCAAGGAUGUUUACAAAACUCUAGCCAUCCUCUCUUUGCUGCAACAUUGUGGAUUGUUUUCACAAUUCCAGUAAGUUGGUCUGGAAAUUGAAACCCUUUUUCUUCCAGAAUCCGACGCGGCUCUAUGAAUUCUUCAUAUUUUUCCUCAGCGUGGUAACUCUGGAAUCGUGAUGGAUCUUUGAGGCGAUUGGCUGUUUUCUUGUAUCUCGGCAUUGCUGCAGCAAGAACAGAUUAAUGCUACUAGUUCUGAGAAUAAAAAGAGAAGAAAGAUGGUUAAGAAUUAUAAGAGUUGGACUUGCGAAAGAGAUGGGGAAUAGUGGCGUGGACACUAAGCACAGUGACUCCUAUUUAUAGUGGACUGUGAUGUGAGGAUAACUACGGUAACUUAGAGAUAAUUGAGGGAAUAAAAUAUUUGAAUUAAAUGUGCAUAUCCCAAAAUUAUCGGUCAUUGAAAUUAAAGCUGUGAUUUCGGAGAUUUGUUUCCGUAAUUUCUAUCCAUAUCCGAGCGUCCAUCUGUCAUGAUUUCAUCUCCAACGGAAAGUGAAGGCUCUAGCUUUUAAUUUACUGUAACGGAAAAAAUUAUUGAUGCAGCCCCCCCUUUGCUCAUUCCAAUGCCGUGCACAGAAUCCAUACCCAAGCUUCUGACACGUGGUUGUUGUCCCUUGAGUUCUGUCACCAGAGAUUUGCACUUGUCAAUAUGAAAUGCAAUUGCCACCUUUAUUUCAAAUUAAAAUUAAGUUUAAAAUUAUGAAAAUAACUAGAUUAAAUGACAUUGAAAAUAAUGAAUGCAAUAAUGUAAAAUGAUUAAAAUAACAAAACACGAUUAGCGAAAAUAGUAAAGAGGAAUGGUUGUUCAUAGUGGCUAGUUCCUCAAUGGGCUGUCUCCCAUGAAGCGCUUGAUUUAAGGUCCUUCAGCCUGACCUUCUGUCUUUGCUCAAUAGCUGGGUUCUUGAAGGAGUAACACCUCCUUUGAACCUUCUGCUGCUGGAUGUAUGUAAUGUUUAACCCUGUGCCCAUUAACCUUGAACUGGUGGCCUGUUUGUUCAUCCAAAAGAUCAACAGCUCCAUGAGGGUAAGAUUUUAACAGCUUAAACAAGCCAGACCAUCGUGACUUGAGCUUUCCCGGAAACAAUCUUAAUCUUGUAUUGCGGAGCAACACUAAUUGACCAGGGGUGAACUGCCUGUGUUGAAUAUGCUUGUCAUGCCAGUGUUUUGUUCUUUCUUUAUAAAUUCUGGCAUUUUCAUAUGAAAAUAACCUUAAUUCGUCAAGCUCACACAGUUGAAGCUUCAUUUGUUCUGCUGCAGCAUGCAUGUCCCAAUUUAGUUUCUUCAGUGCCCAGUGUGCUUUAUGCUCUAGCUCUAGAGGCAAAUGACAAGCCUUGCCAUAAACAAUUCGGUAAGGAGACAUGCCGAGUGGGGUUUUGUAUGCUGUUCUGUAGGCCCAUAAAAAAUCAUGCAAAUGUAAAGACCAAUCAUUCCUUAUUGGGUUCACCACUUUUUCUAAGAUCUUCUUAAUUUCUCUGUUGGACACUUCAGCCUGACCAUUUGAUUGUGGGUGAUAUGUUGUUGCUACCUUGUGUCUGACUCCAUAUUUCAUCAUUGCAGCAACAUAGAUUUUAUUGUAAAAAUGUGCACCUUCAUCACUAAUAAUUGCUCUAGGAGUGCCAAACCUGGAGAAAACAUUUUUUUGAAGAAAAGUUACCACGGUUUUAGCAUCAUUGGUAGGUAAUGCUGUAGCUUCCACCCACUUGGAGACAUAAUCUACAGCAACCAGGAUAUAUAAGUUCCCAAAGGAUGGGGGAAAAGGUCCCAUGAAAUCUAUUCCCCAAACAUCAAAGACUUCUACUUCCAGUAUGUUGGUCAAUGACAUCUCAUGUCUGCUAGUUAUGUUCCCUGUUCGUUGACAUCUGUCACACCAUUUAACAAAGUCACAUGCAUCUUUAAAAAUAGUGGGCCAAAAAUAUCCUGAUUGCAUGAUUUUGGCAGCUGUUCUAUGACCCCGAAAAUGUUCUCCAUAUGUUGCAGCAUGACAUGAUUCCAGUAUAUGAGGUAUUUCUUCUGCUGCAACACACCUUCUAAUUACUUGAUCUGAGCAUAGCUUAUAUAGAUGAGGGUCAUCCCACUGGUAGCUUUUAAUAUCAUGAAGGGAUUUCUUUUUCUCUUGAAAUUUCAGCUCAGGGGGUAGCAACCCACUGACUAGAUAAUUAGCAAAGUCUGCAUACCAAGGAGAUUCUGACUGCUGCAGCAUCUGUGCUGGCUGUACUACUAUCAGCUGUUCAUCAGGAAAAGUUUCAGUGAUGCUCUUCCUUGUCAAUGUACUAGUGUCUGCUUCCAACCGUGACAAAUGAUCUGCCACUUGAUUCUCAGUCCCCUUUCUAUCUUCAAUUUCCAUAUCAAAUUCUUGAAGCAAUAAGAUCCAUCUGAUUAGUCUUGGUUUGACAUCCUUCUUCGAAAUUAAAUAUUUGAUGGCUGCAUGGUCUGUGUAAACAAUUACUUUAGUACCUCUUGUUGAGUGUUAGAAAAUGCAUAUUUAUAAAGGAGAAAACCGUCAUUUUACAUUUCAAGUCUUACUAACAACCCUUACUUUUAUGUAUUUAAUUUUCUUGUGAUUUAAUUACAUGUGUUUUAUUUUAAUUAAGUAUUUUAUGUAUUUUAGGGGCAUUAUAGUCAUUUCACAAUAAAGGAGAGAUCAGACGGCAAAGCGGACAUCACUUUUGAACUCAGGACGGUCGAAAACCUUAGGAGGAGCAUAAAAGGAAAAAUGACACUAUUCAUAUGUACGGUACUAUUCACGUGUACGGUACUAACUACGUUACUGUUCACAAUACUGUUCACAUAGACGGAUCGAUGACGUGGCAUUGACCGAUGAUGUGGCAUUGACUGAUGAGGUGUCACGAUCCUGUUGGGCUAAAAUUCUUAUGUACUGUUGAUGGUGACGUGGCAGCAUAUCAGUGGAUGAAAAAUCUCGCGUACGGUACAUGCAUUACACAGGAUUAUUUUCAACCAAACCGCGUUACUGUUCAUCCGAGUCAAACCGCGUUACUGUUCAUCCGAGUCAAACCGCGUUACUGUUCAUCCGAGUCAAACCGUGUUACUGUUCAUCCGCGUGGUCAAACCGUGGACUGUUGACUGAUGACGUGGCGCAAUCCUGAGCGUCCAAACUGUUUUUAAUCCGAUGGCCAUGAUUUACUCCAUGUAUCUAUAAAAAGGGGGCCUCCCCCCCCAAUUUGAUAGCUCUGAAUCCAUUUUUGGGAUCCAUUUUCUGUAAUUCCUUCUCCAUCUUGUAUUUUCUUUGUAUUUUAAUAAAUUUCCAUUUUGCCGCUAGUUCAAUUAUGAAUAGCUAAUUUCCUUUCAAGCUUGGGUUGAAGGUGAAGUCUCAACAUGUGUCAUGGGCUUUAUUUGGUAAAUUUAUUUUCUUUUCCCCUCUAGUUUUUGUGGAUGAUUUGACUUAUCGUCGACAAAUAAUACUGAUCUUGUCUAGAUACCGCCUUGGUUACACCGGCUCUCUAGUAUAAGGUUAUUAUUAUUUGGCACGAUAAGCCCUUAGCACCAUAUUGAUUAGAGCGUGGUUCAUGAGGUGUGGAUUCCCCCUCAUGAUUUAAUUGGCAUUAAUAAGGAAUAUUUAGCCCAUGAUGCAUGUUGAUACGGAUCCAGAUACCCAAGUACGUCAUUUCAAUAGAAUUCUCUUCAAUUUAUUCUCGCUAUUUCAAUUCCAAUUUUAGAAUUUAUUCUCGCCAUUUUAAUUUAAGUUUUAGCAUAUUCCAAAUCAUUUCCACCACAAAUCCAAUCACCCAUUUACAGAAUUAAUUCUACACACAAUUAAAAUCCACCUCCUCGUGGGAUCGACACUCGUCACCAUUGAUCUACACUACAAUAGAUUCGUGCGUUUGCGAGUUCAUUAAAAUUUGCACAACAAGUUUUUGGCGCCGUUGCCGGGGAGGUAAGUAAUUUUAAUUCAUAGAAUUAAUUUUUGUGAAUAAUUUCUUUUAUUUGUUUCCUUGUAUUUUUUAUUAAAAAAAAAAAAAGUGAAUCCGCAUUUAGAGGUUAGUAUUUCUUUUCUUUUUCUCUUCUUUAAAAUUUUGUAAUUUUUAAUUUAUUUUUCUUUGUAAUUUUUGUUUAUCUUAUUAAUUUAAUUUUUAGUUAAUUUAUUUCACGUAUUUAUUUUUGUGUAUUUUAUAGUAAGGUUGUAAUAGCGCAAUAAGGUUAGUAUUGUAAUUUCUCCCUCUUAUUUAUUUUUAUUUGUUUUGUUCCCAUAUUUAUUUUUAUUUUUAUUUUAUUUUGCAUGCAUGGUCGUCGGUCAUUAUUACCUAAUCUUGAACCUAUAGACCUUGAAUUAAAAAAAAACACUUCGCACACACAAACACGUUAAAAAUAAAAUGGAUUUGCAACCACAGGAGAGGCCAUUUAAGGACUAUUUUAGUCCCUUAGCUAAUUUGAGCACAUCAUGUAUUAGAUACCCAAAUGUAGCUGCUAGGAGCUUUGAACUAAAACCUAGUGUGCUAAAUUGUCUCCCCACAUUCUAUGGCUUAGAAAAUGAGGACCCAUAUAAUCAUCUGAAUGAUUUUCAUACCAUUUGUCAAACUUUUAAAUAUGAAAAUUUUUCAGACGAUGAUGUUAAACUCAGAUUAUUCCCAUUUUCUUUAAAGGAUAGAGCUCGUUCAUGGUUAAAUACUUUGCCUGCUAAUAGCAUUGCAUCAUGGGAACAAAUGGUUACAAAAUUUCUAAAUAAAUAUUUCCCAGUGCAUAAAACCAAUUCUAUUCGCAGGGAAAUUUCAGAGUUUACACAAAGAGAGGACGAGCAGUUUUUCGAAACAUGGGAGCGAUUUAAUGGGCUACUCUUGAAGUGUCCACAUCAUGGGUACGAGAAAUGGCACCAAUGCCAAUACUUUUUGGAGGGAUUACUACCAAAUGUGCAAGAAUGGCUAAUGGCAACAAGUGGAGGAGAGCUAAUGUCAAAAAGUGCAUCAGAGAUUUGGGAAUUCUUCCAGCGACAAGCGGAUAAUUCCCAACAACGGAGUCGAUCACUCAGGAAUACUAGAAGAAUUAAGGGAGUAAAUGAGGUUCAAAUUGACGAGUCAACUUUGGGAAUCAAAGAAGUCAAGGAGAUGGUUGAAGGUCUUGCUCGACAAAUAGCAUCGUUAUCGACUGCUAAAUCAACAGAACCACAUGACCAUGACUCAUACUCCGAUCAAGCCAAUGCCAUAGGUGUAAUGAGAAAGCCAUCUAAUUACAACCCAUACUCCAACACAUAUAACCCUGGAUGGAGAGACCACCCCAAUUUUUCAUGGUCUCAAGGAUUCCAACAGAAUGGACCAGCAGCUCCAGCUCCACAAAUUCCUCAAGUUCCUCAAGCCUCUCAGCCCCCAUUUAGACCAUUCAAUCAGAACCAAAACUACUCUCAACCCAGACCAUGGGAGGAUUCAUUCCAGAAUCUCAAGAAUCUUACUCACUCCACGAUUGAGCAACAGAAUCGCACCAUUGAUGGACUACGAAAUGAGUUGAGAGCGGGCUUCAACUCACAAGCCCAAUCAGUUUCAAGCCUCGAGAAGAUGGUGGGACAACUUGCUUCUUCAGUUCAGACCUUGGCAAUUACUGUUGAGAAAGGUAAAUUUCCAAGUCAACCAGUGCCUAAUCCUAAAGGAGUACAUGAAGCAAGUACCAGUUCACCACAACAGCAUGGAGAGGUCAAAGCAGUCAUGACUUUGCGAAAAGGAAAGGAAGUCGACAACAAAGUGGAGAUGCUGGUGACAAAAGAAAAUCAAAUUGUACCUGUGAGUGUUGAGGACUCACCACCGGAGGAGAGAGAAGAAACCAACCCACGAGAAUAUGUUCCGAAAGCUCCAUUUCCUCAAAGAUUAGCUAAAGGAAAAAAGGGAAAAUCCACAGGUGAGAUUCUCGAAAUCUUCAAACAGGUAAGUGUCAAUAUCCCUUUGCUUGAUGCUAUAAAACAAAUUCCAUCUUAUGCCAAGUUUCUUAAAGACCUAUGUACUAAAAAGAGAAAUAUGCAUGUUCAAAAGAAGGCCUUUUUAACAGAAAACGUUAGUUCUAUACUCCAACAUAAAAUUCCUCUAAAAUGCAAAGACCCAGGCUCCCCCACUAUCUCAUGUAGUAUAGGGAACCACACAAUUGAGAAUGCUUUGUUGGAUUUAGGAGCUAGUGUAAGUCUUUUGCCUUACUCUGUAUUCGUGAAACUUGGAAUGGGAGAAUUACACCCAACUCCAGUGGUGUUACAACUUACAGAUCGGUCCACGAAAAUACCUCGUGGUAUUGUGGAGGACGUGCUUAUCCAGGUAGACAAGUUUUAUUUUCCUGUUGAUUUCAUUGUAAUUGACACUCAACCAAUACAAGACUCAAGGAAGCACAUCCCCAUUAUUCUAGGCCGACCUUUCUUGGCAACUGCAGAUGCUCAUAUUCAAUGUAGGACCGGAAAUAUGCAAUUGUCCUUCGGCAACAUGACUAUGGAGCUAAAUAUUUUCAACAUUGCCAAACAACCUCACAGUGCAGAUGAUGGAAUUGUUGAUGUGGAUUUAAUAGAAACAAUAUUUGAUAAUACUUUUCUUUCAAACCUUAGUGAUGAUCCUUUACAAACAUGUUUAACUCACUUUGGUUUGGAUUUUGAUAUUAACAGAUCGGUUGAUGAGGUCAACGCUCUACUUGACUCAGCACCAUCCAUGGACACUAAUAAAUGGAAGUCAAGAGUUGAACAACUAGCAUCAUCAGAGAAGAAACUCAUUCCAUCAUCAAAAUCACCACCGAAACUCGAGCUCAAACCAUUACCCAACACAUUGGAAUAUGCAUUUUUGGGGGAAGAAAGUACUCUACCGGUAAUCAUCUCAUCAUCCCUUAAUGACGAACAAAAAGGUAAGUUGUUGGAUGUUUUGAAAGAGCACAAAGGGGCAUUAGGAUGGACCAUAGCAGACAUAAAAGGUAUAAACCCUGCAGAUUGCAUGCAUUACAUUCACCUUGAUGAAAAUGCUAAAUCUACUAGGGAAAUGCAACGUCGGUUAAAUCCUAAUAUGAAAGAAGUUGUUAGAACAGAAGUCCUUAAGCUAUUAGACGCAGGUAUCAUUUACCUAAUUUCUGAUAGUUCAUGGGUCAGUCCUGUACAAGUUGUCCCCAAAAAGUCAGGAGUCACAGUAGUUACCAAUGCUGAUAAUGAAUUGAUACCAACUAGAGUAACUACAGGAUGGCGUGUAUGCAUUGAUUAUAGAAAGUUGAAUUCUGUCACACGUAAAGACCAUUUUCCUUUACCAUUUAUUGAUAAAAUGCUUGAUAGAUUAGUAAGCCAUGAAUUUUAUUGCUUUCUAGAUGGCUACUCAGGAUAUAAUCAGAUUCCCAUAGCACCAAAAGAUCAAGAGAAUACCACUUUCACUUGCCCUUUUGGCACAUUUGCAUAUAGGAGAAUGCCAUUUGGAUUAUGUAAUGCACCUGCUACAUUUCAACGAUGCAUGUUAAGCAUUUUUUCAUGGUUGAACGAUUCCUUGAAGUCUUUAUGGAUGACUUUUCUAUCUUUGGUGAUUCGUUUGAUCAAUGUUUACAUCAUCUAACGCUAGUUCUGCAGAGAUGUACCGAGAAGAACUUAGUCUUGAAUUGGGAGAAGUGCCAUUUUAUGGUAAAACAAGGUAUUGUUCUCGGUCACAUCAUUUCAAGCAAAGGUAUUGAGGUUGACAAAGCCAAGGUGGAUCUCAUUUCUAAUCUUCCUCCACCCAAAACAGUCAGAGAAGUAAGAUCUUUCCUUGUGCAUGCUGGUUUCUAUAGACGUUUCAUUAAAGAUUUUAGCAAAGUUUCUAGACCCUUAUGCAAUCUACUUGCUAAGGAUGUACCUUUUAUCUUUAAUGAUUCAUGUCUUGUGGCAUUUGAAAAAUUAAAGCAGUUGUUGACAUCAUCACCCAUCAUUCAGGCCCCAAACUGGAGCUUACCAUUUGAGCUCAUGUGUGAUGCAUCUGAUUAUGCAGUAGGAGCAGUAUUAGGACAAAGAGUUGAUCGAAUUCCCCAUGUUAUUUACUAUGCUAGUAUGACAUUGAAUGAUGCACAGUUGAACUAUUCAACUACUGAAAAAGAAAUGCUAGCAGUAGUGUUUGCAUUAGAAAAAUUUCGAUCUUAUCUCAUUGGUUGUAAAAUAAUUGUAUUCACAGAUCAUGCUGCUCUUAAAUAUCUUAUCACAAAGAAAGAUGCAAAAGUUAGACUAAUUCGUUGGGUGUUACUUUUGCAGGAAUUUGACUUGGAAUUUAAAGAUAAGAAAGGCACAGAAAAUGUUGUGGCGGACCAUCUCCCUCGUCUCCAUUUUGACACAAUUACAGAGCUAUUACCAUUAAAUGAGUCAUUUCCAGAUGAAUAAUUGAUGAGUGUAGAAGUAUUACCUUGGUAUGCUGAUAUAGUUAAUUAUCUUGUUACAGGUAAAUUUCCAGAGCAUUGGACCAAGCAAGACAAGGCUAAAUUCUUUGCAGAAAUAAAGAAUUUCUUUUGGGAUAACCCGUAUUUGUUCAAGUAUUGUGCAGACCAAAUUGUUAGACGAUGUGUCCCAGAAAGUGAAAUUCAGAAUAUCCUUUCAUUCUGCCAUGAACAAGCUUGUGGAGGCCAUUUCAGUGCUAAGAAAACAGCGACUAAAGUUUUACAAUGUGGUUUCUAUUGGCCAACUAUAUUUCGAGAUGCUUACACUUUCUGUUCUUCAUGUGAUAGGUGUCAACGAAUGGGGAGCAUUACGCGAAGGAACAUGAUGCCACUAAAUCCAAUUUUAGUGGUUGAGAUUUUUGACGUAUGGGGUAUCGACUUCAUGGGACCCUUUCCCCCAUCUUUUGGUCAUCAAUACAUAUUGGUUGCUGUUGACUACGUAUCAAAAUGGGUAGAAGCAAUUCCAUGUAGAACUAAUGAUCACAAGGUGGUGAUAGGAUUUUUGAAAAGCAACAUUGUUUCACGCUUUGGAUUCCCUCGAGCGAUAAUCAGUGAUGGUGGUGCCCACUUUUGUAACAAAGCAUUCAAGGCUCUUUUGACAAAGUAUUCAAUCACACACAAAGUGCCGACCCCGUAUCAUCCGCAAACCAGUGGCCAAGUUGAGAUCUCCAAUCGAGAAAUAAAGCAUAUAUUAGAAAAGACGGUGAGGCCAGACAGAAAAGAUUGGUCAUUAAGACUUGAUGAUGCAUUAUGGGCAUAUAGAACGGCUUUCAAGACCCCGAUUGGGAUGUCACCCUACAGGCUAGUGUAUGGAAAAGCUUGCCACCUACCUGUGGAACUCGAGCAUCGUGCAUAUUGGGCCAUCAAGAAAUUCAACUUUGACAUGCAGCAAGCCAGCUCAGAAAGAAGAUUACAACUGGCAGAACUUGAAGAAAUUCGCAAUGAUGCAUACGAAAAUGCCAAAAUUUACAAGCAACGAAUGAAAGUCUUUCAUGACAAGCACAUUAUGAGAAAAUCUUUCACUCCAGGUCAGAAAGUGCUUUUAUUCAAUUCUCGCUUGCACCUAUUCCCAGGUAAGUUACGCUCUCGAUGGUCUGGUCCCUUUAUUGUUCAUACUGUUUUUCCACAUGGGGCAAUUGAAAUUAAGGACCCAAAGAACGGUGUCACGUUUCAAGUUAAUGGUCAAAGAUUAAAGCCAUAUCUAGAAUACCAACCACAUGGCGAAGACACCGAAAUAAAUUUGAGUGACCCACCAAAUUUGAAUUGAUUUUUUUUCUUUUCGUUGAUUUGAUUUUUCUUUAUUUCUUUUUAUUAUUAUUCUUUUGCUAAUUGAAAUUGUUUUUGCAUAAGUGUGUUUAUUUUACCAUUAAGUUUUCUCUUAUCAUUUUUAAUCAUGAGUCUCAUACUUAGACCGUUCCUCCUGAACAUUCUUAAACCACUUUAACGUGUCAAAACUCAUCUCAAAAGGCAGAUUCAAUUUUGUAAAACACAACGCAUUUGGGCUCUACAACCACCAGAGUUAGUAGCCUAUGUUGAGGGUUUAGAACGCCAACUCAGAGACAUUGAGAGAAGUGUUUACGACAUCCAGUUGGAGCUUGAGGUAAAUUCAAUUAGAGGACGAUUUUAAUUUUCUUUGUGUGUUUUGAUUUGUUUUUCUGUUUGUGUGCUUUAGUUUGUUACCCUGGUGAAGUGGCGGAUAACGGUACUCCGUGACAAUCAAGUCGGUUACUUCAGUUUCCCAUAAUAACUGACAUUCUGAGGCGAAAGUAUGGACAGAAACGAGAUUCUAGCGAAGCUUCACAAGCGAUUUCCUUCACUUCCUCAGAAUGCCCUCCUCACGAUCUAUAAAGCUCGGUCUGAACGCAUGCGAUUGCUCAUGAGGAAUAACAUACCUGCAGACAUCCGUUGGUUAAUCGAGGCUAAAGUACGAUUGGCAGGUGAGUUACCUCCUAAAUUUAUUGCAUACAUGCCUGGUUGUGGUAAAGGAAAUUACGCAAGAAAACGACGAGCUCGAAGAAUUUCUGUUGCUUGUCAUAAGUGUGCCAGAAUGAGUUGCGAUAAAAACCCAUGUUCUUUAGGAAUGGUGUCUGAUAACAGGGAAGAUAAGAUUCAAUUCAUUAGGGAUGGCUUGAAUAAGGAGUCAUUGGAUGAUAUCCUUUUGUCUCUUGAAACGCAUCCCAAUGGAUAUGUGCAAGGAGCGAUUCUCCAGUUGUGGCCAUUAUUCCAGAAAGAGCAUGCACGAUAUAGUCUCGGGAAUCUGACUAUAAACGACCCUGUUUGCCAGUUUAUAAGAAAACUGGAUAGGAAGCCUAUCCUCGACCCAUAGAGGGCGUUCAAGUCGUUUCUGGACGUAAAACCAGAGGAAGAUGUGAGCCACAGUCGCAACUACGUGUAAAUAUCCUUUUACUUUACUGUUAUUUUAUUUCAUUUCACUGUUGUUUUAUUGUUUGCAUUAUUGUCUUUAAUAAUUUUAUUACUGUUUGCUUUGUUCUUUUUACUGUUUCCUUUUUUACUCGCGAGCCACGUGCUUUACGCGUUAUUUGACACUGACAUGUUACCUCAUUCACAGCUGUGAUCCACUGUCACCAAGAUUCUUAAAUGUGAUUUAUCUUUUGUCCAGCACUCACAAAUUAUUUUUUAGAAGUAUCACAAUGGCAGCUACUCCCAAUAGACAAUUCAAGAACAUUUGUGUGCUUUCUGGAUUUACCUAUGGCAAACAUAAAGAGUUCGUGGAGGCAGCCAUAGAUCUUGGUCGAAGCAUAGCAGCGAGAAAAUUACACUUGGUGUAUGGAGGAGGUAACCGAGGGUUAUCAAAAAUGGUCUCAGAAGCAGCUUUUAUCAGAGGAAGUCAAGUGUUAGGCAUCAUCCCAAGAGUCCUAAAACCAUUGGGCAGUUCGUCUGACUCAUCAACUGGAGAAGAGUUAGUCGUCUCAGGUAUGCAAGAAAGAAUAACUGAAAUGCUUAAUCAUGCUGAUGCUUUUAUUUUCCUUCCAGGAGAUCUUGCAACACUAGAGGCACUUAUGACACUAGCAUCUUGGGCCCAUCUACACAUUCACCAGAAACCCAUCGGUUUGUUAAAUGUCAAUAACUUUUAUGAUGACUUUAUCGCAUUUCUUAACCAUGCAAUAAAAAACUAUUUCAUUCCUUCUAAUGUGAAAAAACUCUUUAUUUGUGCUCACACUGCUAAUGAGCUACUUGAUAUGUUACAAGCUUAUAAACCGGAGCCAGACCCCUGGACCUUUGUGUUGGAGCGACCAAAUAAUGAUGGUAACAGUAGCCGCAGUAAGAAGUACAAAUUAGAUUUAACUCUCCGCCUGUAAAUAUUUUCUUCUGUGUUGCACCACUCAGGUGAUGUCUUCUACACUCUACUUCUUUCAUUUCAAACAUUGAGGACAAUGUUUCGUUCUGGUUGGGGGAGGGAAUAAUCGACAAUUGUGGAAUUUUGGUUAAGUUUUUACUAAUUUUUUGUUGUAGAAACUAACUGUUGCUAACUUUUUGUGUUGAAGAUGGCUGAAUAUGGAGUGUAGUGACUCUAGAAACGCAUCUUCAUCGUUUAAAAAAAAAUUUUUUUAAAAAAAAUUCAGACAUUUUCUUUUUCUUUAUUAUGUGUUUAUGUUUAUUUUUCUUCUUUUUAAUUUCUCCUCUAUAAAUAUACAUUUUCCAACUUUUGAGUCGAAGAUGGCUGAAUAUGGAGUGUAGUUCCUCUAGAAACGCAUCUUCUUAAAAAAAAAAAAAAAUCAUUUUCGUUUUCUAUCAUUUUACGUGUAACUUUUCUAAUUAGUUUUUAUGCAUCAUUUUCACAUUUCUGCAUGCAUAUUUUCCUUUCAUGUUUAGAAGAGGUUGGGGGGUAGAAUGUUGUUUAAAAAAAAAAAAAAUUAUGUUAUUUGUUUUAACAUUGGAUGACAUGAUUAAUUUCAAAUUUUAGUAUUUGUAUUAUCUUUGGUCUUAAGUGAUGUUACGCUAUGUUUGCUACUUUACAUGUUGAUGUCGGAGACAAAUAUGAGUUGCUUGAAGGAAUGAACAUGUCAUAAAAUAAGUGCCAAGUGAGUUGUUGAGCCUAUCAUUUUCUUGGAGAGUAACCCUUUUGCCCAUUCUCUAUACAGCUUAGCAGUUUAUUAUUUUACACACGAUCUCUAAAUUGCUUUUGAGUUAACCCUUAAAAAAAAUUGUAAAAUAAAAAAAAAAAAAAGUGUGUUGCUACAUUUGGAGGCCCAUCUAACUAGUAGAUAUGGAAGAUUAUUUAGAGCCCUAAAAGACGAUGGAAAGGCCAUCUUUGAUCCGUUUGAGCCUUUCUAGCCAUCCCUUUUAUCAAAUAUCCAUAGUUAACCCUUUUGAGCCUUUAAAAAAAAAAAAAAAAAAAACAUUUUUCUUUGUCAACUUAUCAUCUUGACCCACUCCGAUUUGGAGUAUUACCCAAUGUCUUAUAAGUUCCAUCACCUAUUUAUGUUUGAGAAAAUGUAAAUAAUUAUGUUGUUCAGUAAAGUUAUGCCAAAAAAAACAAAAAAAACAAAAAAAACAAAAAACAAAAGUUGUUGUUUCAAAAGAAAAAAAAAAUAAAAAUAAUAGGUGAAAUUCACCUUGCAACUUCCAAAAAAAAAAAAAAAAUUCUUUGCAUUUUUCUCAAACAUACACUUUGUUUUCCUUAUUUUCGUUCUUUGUUAGCCAUGUCCCUAGCCUACGUUACGUCCUAAUAAAAGUCCUUCUUGAUUUUAGGGAACUAUAGUUUGAAGUAGAAGCUAGUUAUAUGGGCUAAAAAGAUGUAGUGGUGCAUAUAAAAAAAAUAAAUAAAGUGGGUUGACUAACAUUUUUUUUUAAUUGACUUGAGAUCGUAUUAUUUCUAAGCUGAGGGCAUAUUUAUUUCAUUUUGGUGAGAGCAUGUGAUAUCAUUUCUUUAUUAUUUUCUCUCAAUUACCAUUCAUUGGAGUGACUAUUUUUAUUGGGUUUAAUUUCUUUGUGAGAGCGUCACUACUUCCAGUGAGAUUUUGGGGUGUGACAUGUCAUUCUUGAAAGUAGCUAUAACAAAGUCUACUGGGCCGAUUCAUGUGGAUGGUUGAUGUGGGUGUGAUAUUGCUUUAGACUGGAGAUAAUGCUUAUACUUUUAUUUGAUUGCUAUCAUUAAUCUGAUUGAAUAAACACGAGUGUUUCUAAAAAUAUAUAUAUAUUUUGAAUUUGAAUUUUGUUUUCGCUUUAUUUGCUAGGGACUAGCAAUAAGCUGGUUGGGGGGUGUGUUGAGUGUUAGAAAAUGCAUAUUUAUAAAGGAGAAAACCGUCAUUUUACAUUUCAAGUCUUACUAACAACCCUUACUUUUAUGUAUUUAACCUUCUUGUGAUUUAAUUACAUGUGUUUUAUUUUAAUUAAGUAUUUUAUGUAUUUUAGGGGCAUUAUAGUCAUUUCACAAUAAAGGAGAGAUCAGACGGCAAAACGGACAUCACUUUUGAACUCAGGACAGUCGAAAACCUUAGGAGGAGCAUAAAAGGAAAAACGAUACUAUUCAUAUGUACGGUACUAUUCACGUGUACGGUACUAACUACGUUACUGUUCACAAUACUGUUCACAUAGACGGAUCGAUGACGUGGCAUUGACCGAUGAUGUGGCAUUGACUGAUGAGGUGUCACGAUCCUGUUGGGCUAAAAUUCUUAUGUACUGUUGAUGGUGACGUGGCAGCAUAUCAGUGGAUGAAAAAUCUCGCGUACGGUACAUGCAUUACACAGGAUUAUUUUCAACCAAACCGCGUUACUGUUCAUCCGAGUCAAACCGCGUUACUGUUCAUCCAAGUCAAACCGUGUUACUGUUCAUCCGCGUGGUCAAACCGUGGACUGUUGACUGAUGACGUGGCGCAAUCCUGAGCAUCCAAAUUGUUUUUAAUCCGAUGGCCAUGAUUUACUCCAUGUAUCUAUAAAAAGGGGGCCUCCCCCCCCAAUUUGAUAGCUCUGAAUCCAUUUUUGGGAUCCAUUUUCUGUAAUUCCUUCUCCAUCUUGUAUUUUCUUUGUAUUUUAAUAAAUUCCCAUUUUGCCCCUAGUUCAAUUAUGAGUAGCUAAUUUCCUUUCAAGCUUGGGUUGAAGGUGAAGUCUCAACAUGUGUCAUGGGCUUUAUUUGGUAAAUUUAUUUUCUUUUCCCCUCUAGUUUUUGUGGAUGAUUUGACUUAUCGUCGACAAAUAAUACUGAUCUUGUCUAGAUACCGCCUUGGUUACACCGGCUCUCUAGUAUAAGGUUAUUAUUAUUUGGCACGAUAAGCCCUUAGCACCAUAUUGAUUAGAGCGUGGUUCAUGAGGUGUGGAUUCCCCCCUCAUGAUUUAAUUGGCAUUAAUAAAGAAUAUUUAGCCCAUGAUGCAUGUUGAUACGGAUCCAGAUACCCAAGUACGUCAUUUCAAUAGAAUUCUCUUCAAUUUAUUCUCGCUAUUUCAAUUCCAAUUUUAGAAUUUAUUCUCGCCAUUUUAAUUUAAGUUUUAGCAUAUUCCAAAUCAUUUCCACCACAAAUCCAAUCACCCAUUUACAGAAUUAAUUCUACACACAAUUAAAAUCCACCUCCUCGUGGGAUCGACACUCGUCACCAUUGAUCUACACUACAAUAGAUUCGUGCGCUUGCGAGUUCAUUAAAAUUUGCACAACACCUCCCAGGUAAGCUCUGAAUUUGUCAAAAACAAAAACUACUGCCAACAACUCUUUUUCUGUAGUGGUGUAAUUGAUCUGUGUUGGAGUGAAAGUUUUGCUUGCAUAGUAUAUGGAAUGAAAAACCUUAUUCUUCCUUUGCCCUAAUACAGCUCCCACAGAAUGAUCACUAGCAUCACACAUCAAUUCAAAUGGUAAAUUCCAAUCUAGAGAUAUAACUACUGGAGCAGUAAUGAGGGCUUUCUUUAAUUCUUCGAAUGCUUGAAGGCAUUCUUUGUCAAAAUAAAAUGGUUUGUCAUGCUCCAGCAAUGAACACAGAGGCUUGGAUACUUCGGAAAAAUACUUAAUGAAUCUUCUGUAGAAACCAGCAUGACCUAGAAAACUCCUAAUCCCCUUUACUGAAGCUGGGGGUGGCAGUUUAUCGAUUACCUCUAUCUUGGCCUUGUCUACCUCAAUACCAUUCUUGGAUAUCUUGUGACCCAAUACUAUUCCUUUUUGCACCAUGAAAUGGCACUUCUCCCAAUUAAGUACUAAGUUGGUCAUUUCACAUCUUUUAAGAAUUUCUUCCAAGUUAUGUAAACAAUUACUGUAUGUUUCUCUAAAAACUAAGAAAUCAUCCAUGAAAACUUCCAAAGUCUGCUCCACCAUAUAAGAGAAUAUAGACAUCAUGCAUCUCUGAAAAGUUGCUGGAGCAUUGCAUAACCCAAAAGGCAUUCUUCUGAAGGCAAAUGUUCCAUAAGGACAUGUAUAUGUAGUCUUCUCUUGAUCCUCUGGUGCUAUAGCAAUCUAGUUGUAGCCUGAAUACCCAUAUAAGAAACAAUAGUAUUGUUUUCCAGCAAGCCUGUCCAGUAUCUGAUCGAUGAAUGGAAGUGGGAAAUGGUCUUUUCUUGUGGCUUUGUUGAGUUUUCUGUAAUCCAUACACACUCUCCAUCCAGUCAUUGUCCUUGUAGGAAUAAGUUCAUUUUUCUCAUUGGCCAUUACUAUUAUCCUUCAUUUCUUUGGAACACACUGAACUGGGCUUACCCAUGAACUGUCUGAUAUUGGGUAUAUGAUUCCAGCAUCUAACCAUUUGAUGAUUUCCUUCUUCACUACUUCUUUCAUAAUAGGAUUCAGCCUUCUCUGGUGCUCCACCGAGUUGCUGGAACAGUCUUCUAAAAGGAUCUUAUGCAUACAUAUUGAUGGGCCGAUACCCUUUAUAUCUGCCAUGGUCCAUCCAAUUGUUCUUCUGUAUUUUCCCAGCAAAUCCACUAUGCUUUGUUCUUGACCUGCAUCCAAAGUAGAUGAAAUGAUUAUAGAGAGUGUGUUGUUUUGACCAAGAUAAGCAUACUUUAAAUGUGAAGGUAACAGUUUUAAUUCAAGAUUAGGGGUGAUUCAAUAGAUGGUAAUGUUGGUUUUACUUCCCUGUCUGAAAGAUUCAGGUGUUCAAUGACUCUGGUGUGCCUAUUAGAUUGUUGUUUGUCCAUCCAAUCUGUUUGAAUUGCUGCAACAUCUUCCUCUUCAACCUCCUCAAAGGUGGUGACUUUGUUAAGUACAUUACUGCAACAUUUGUCCAUUCUGUCUGCUACAACAAGGUCCACUACACUUAGGAAAUUGCAAUCUUCUAUUUCAUCAGGGUUUCGCAUAGCCUCUAGUACAUUAAAUGUGACUUGCUGAUCAUUCACUCUCAUGGUCAAUUCUCCUUUCUGCACAUCUAUCAGAGUUUUUCCAGUUGCUAGGAAAGGUCUGCCAAGUAUAAUGGGUACCUCUUUGUCAGCUUCAAAGUCCAGCACAAUGAAAUCCACUGGAAAAAUGAAUUUGUCAACCUUCACCAGUACAUCCUCUAUCUUUCCUUCAGAAUAUGCAUGAGAUUUGUCAGCCAAUUGCAGAGUGACAGUUGUUGGUCUGCACUCCCCCACUCCAAGCUGCUUAAACACAGAUAAUGGCAUCAAGUUAAUACUAGCUCCCAGAUCACAAAGUGCUCUACCAGCAUACCUAUUCCCUAUAGAGCAGGGUAUUGUAAAAUUCCCUGGAUCUUUUAAUUUUGUGGGAAUUUUACUCUGAAGCAUAUGGCUGCUUUCCUAUGUUAGAGCAACAGUUUCAAAUUCUCCCAGCCUUCUCUUUCGUGCCAAUAUAUCUUUUAGAAAUUUCACAUAAUUUGGCAUUUGCUCCAAGGCUUCCACAAAAGGUAUGUUUAUGUGCAAUUGCUUCAGCACUUCCAGAAAUUUGCUGAACUGCUUGUCUUGUUUUUGCUUCUGGAACCUUUGAGGGAAAGGUGGUGGAUGUCUAAACUGCUGGUUAGAUUCAGGAGUUACCCACCUCUGUUUGUCUAAGUUGGUGCAGGUUGGUGUUGUAACUUCUUUUUCAGCAAGAUCUGGUUGAAUUUCUUUUCCAGUUGCUGUAGCUGAUUCCCUGGCAUCAGAGUCUUGAUGUGGAGUCUGCUGUAACAAGCUUCCAUUUUGAGUUGGUUUUUGGGCUGAAUUGCAUUCCAUCCCAUUUUUGGUUACCUCAACUGAGGUAUCAACAUGCUUUCCAGAUCUCAGACUAAUCACUUUGCAGUGCUCUUUGCUCUCUCUCCUAGGAUCUUCUGUGUUGCUAGGUAAGCAUCCUUGAGUUUUGCUGCUCAUUGCUGUAGCUAAUUGUCCCAUUUGAUUUUCAAGGUUCCUCAAGGACACAGCUUGACUCUGCACAAUUGCUUCAUUCUUUGCAAUAUACUCCUUGAUUAAUACUUCCAAUGAAGUGAUUGGAUCCUGACUGAUAUGCUUUUGCCCUUGACUCUGUUGAUGAAAACCAGGUGGUUGUGGCUGUGUGUUUCUGCUUAGUCCAUUCAAUGCUGGAGCAUUUCGAUUCUGAUUGCUCCAUGAGAAAUUUGGGUGUUGUUUCCAGUCUGGGUUGUAAGUCUUUGAAUAUGGGUUGUUAUGAGGUUGUCGAUUGAAGUUACCCACAUAAUUUACCGAGGCUGGAUUUCCAGGACAAUUAUCAAAAUCAUGAUCUUCACCACAGUAGACACAAGAAAGUUCAGUCACUUGCUUUACUGUUGCUGGAGCAGCUGCCAUGGCUUUUACCAUGUUAGUCAAUGAAGUUACUUGAGCUGAUAGGGCUGUAAUUGCAUCAAUGUUGUGUACCCCUGCUGAUCCUUCGGCUACUGGUUGCCUAGCUGAAGGCCAUUGAUAAUUAUUAUUGGCAAUUCUCUCCAGAAUUUCAUAAGCUUCAGUGUAGGAUUUGGAUAACAGAGCCCCAUUUGCUGAAGCAUCCACCAUUAACCUUGUGCUCGAGUUUAACCCAUUGUAGAAUGUUUCCAAUUGAAUGCAACAGGGAAUACCAUGAUGAGAACACCUUCUGAGCAAUUCCUUGAACCUUUCCCAAGCUUCGUACAGACUCUCAUCUUCAAUUUGAUGGAAUGAGGUAAUUUCAUUCCGUAAUUUCGCAUUCUUUAUUGGUGAGAAAUAUUUCAUUAGGAAUUUAUCAACCAAUUCAUUCCAUGUAGUGAUGCAGUCAGAUGGUAAUAAAUUUAACCAUGCUCUUGCUCGAUCCCUUAAGGAAUAAGGAAAGAGCCUCAGCCUUAAGGCAUCUUGCGUUGCUCCAGCAAUCUUGAAGGCAUCACUUACUUCCAAGAACAAUUUAAGAUGGAGAUGAGGAUCUUCAUUUGGCAAUCCAUUGAAUUGCCCAACUGUUUGCAACAUCUGAAACAUCACUGGUUUUAACUCAAAGUUAGCAGCAUCUACUUCAGGUCUGAUGAUACCAGGAUAGACAACUUGAGGAGUUAGCACGGUAUAAUCUCGUAUAGAUCUGUCUCUGUCAUCAGCCAUGUAAAUAAUAUUGUUGUUGCCUGGCUGUCUCCUGUUAGCAUGUUCAUUCUGCUCUUCUUGAAUGUUGGCUGGUUGCAAAGGCCUGUUAGGGUUCAAAUUUCCCUCAACUUGCAAAUUAUUCAUGUCUGAAAUAGUCUUUGAAUUUCUUUGUUCUCUUCGCAAUCUCCUAAUAGUCCAUUCAAUCUCAGGAUCGAAUUGGAAUAUCACAGAUCCGUCCUUGCGCAUGCACGUACUGAUCUGACAAUCAAUAAAAUGAAUCAAGGUUAGUUCUAGUGCUAUCACGAUUUACUUCACACUUUAAAAAUAAACAAUCAAUCCCCGGCAACGGCGCCAAAAACUUGUUAGUUGAUUUAUAUAAUCAAUUAUUACCAAUGCCAAAGUACAAGUAUACACAACAAGUAAUAAAGUAAUGAGUAUUCAAGAUCGUCUCCACAGGGAUUGAUGUUACUCAAGGUACUAAAGCAAUCACAAUAAUGCAACCAACUAAAGAUCGAAACAAACACUUGUCAAAUUGUUCUUCCAUAACCAAUAAUUAUGAGGGAUAGAAAUAAACUAAUACUUCUACGAAAUAAACUAAAUUAAUUGUGUUUAAGAUUCAAUUUAAAACGUAGUAGUUGAAUGAUCAAACUCUCCUAAUGGGGUGACUGUUGAUUACCGAAUUAGCACCAGUUGUUGUGGUAAGUGCUGCAGCCCUGGGUAGAACAAAUCUGCUUUCGCAGCUAUCGCAUGUUGGAAAUCUCAUACUUUUAAAUCUACUAACAAUAACCAGUUACUCAUAAAUUUAAUGGAUGGCUUUACGACCUUUAAUCUCUCUACCCUACAAGGUGAACACCUAUAUCUAGGAUUUCACGAAUCUUAAUUCAAGUACUGCCCUUAUGGGAUUUAGGAUGACCUAAUCCAGGAAACUCAACUUAAGAACAAGUAAUACUCCAAUAAUGUCCGCUAAGAUAUGCCCUUUUGCUGUUUUAUCUUAACUGAAAUCAUUAAAUGGGUAGUCAACCAAAAUAACAAUUAUGAUCAUAAAAACUAUUAGAAUAUAAUGCUACAACAUUAGCACAAUAACAUAUAAGAACAGUUAAGAACCCAUUGGAUUAUUUGUCACUCAACUACACUUAAAUUUAGUUCAUAUUUUGAAUGAGAAAAGUAAACAUAAGUAUACUGAUCAUAGAAUACAUCCAAUCAAUCAAAGGAAGAAAGAUAAUAUGAAUUGAGCACGAUGAGAGUCUGAGGAUCCUUCUCGGUUCUUCAACAAUGUCGAACAGCACUCCUUAAUCUUUUUUUUCUCGCCUCUUUAAUUAUUUUUGGAUGAUAAUACUUCUCCGCCGCUUGCUAUGUGGUGCAUGCCUCCUUUUUAUAUUGCAACCUAUGAGCGUGCAUGUGUUUGACUUAGGAAACAUGCAGAUCGUGAUUUGAUUGCUGACCGCGCCUAUAUUUUCUCUCAUGUUACUCCCAGAUUGCUAUAGCACUGGUUGCUCUAACAUCCGUAACAGCACUUGUAUUACUUCCGAUUGUGCUUUCUUUCUUUUGUGACCAUCUUCUUUCCUCCCUUUUCCAUCUACUGUCUCUGCAUCCUUUCAUGAAUUUAAAACCUACAAUUUAAAACCUGUUUUUAGCACAAAUUACUAUGAUUCAAGCAAAACUUGUUAAAACUCAACUAAAAUGAAUGUUUAUGCAAAAGGUCACCUAAAAUGAAUGUUUAUGCAAAAGGUCACCAAAAUGUAAUCAAAACACAUGAUUUGCUCUCCAAAUGACCUUUAUUCAAGUUUAGAACAGAUUUAAUAACUCUCAUUUCCUAGAGUUAUCAGUGGUCAGCCCCGCCGGAAGCUAUGAAUAUCCUCAGCUGGAAUGUUCGGUGUUUGGGGAAUCCCCGAGCAUUUCAAGCCUUAAAAAAAAUCCUCCAUUUGUAUGGUGCUCAGCUGGUGUUUUUGUGUGAAACAAAAGUAUCAACCAUGCAAAUGAAUGUGAUUGCAAUAAGCUAAACUUUGAGAAUUGCUUCGCGGUGAACUGUAACGGAAGAGUAUGAGGCUUAACAAUGCUCUGGAAGUCAGGUACGGGGUGCAAAUCAAUUCUUUCAGCCAGCACCACAUUGAUGCCGAAACUCAAAUGCCAAAUGGGAAGCGAAUGCGAAUUACAAGGGUGUACGGUCAUCCAGAAACAUGACAGAAAAAAAACACUUGGAUGCUUCUAAGACGGCUGGCAGGUUUAUCUUCUAGCCCUUGGUUGUGUUGUGGAGAUUUUAAUGAAAUUUUGCAUCCGGAUGAGAAGAGUGGUGGCAAUGAUAGGAAUGUGAAUUUAAUCAAUGACUUUAGAGAAGUCUUGAGAGAUUGUGGCUUAAAGGAUGUAGGGUAUCUGGGGUACGCUUUUACUUGGAAUAAUGGGAGAUAUGGGCAGGGCUUUGUGGAAGAAAGGUUGGAUAGGUUUGUUUGCAAUAAAGCUUGGAGUGAUAGUUUUGUGGACUGUGAAGCAAGCAACCUUGACACUUGGACUUCAGAUCAUUGUCCCGUGCUAAUGGUUGUUCAAGAGAAAUGUGGGGGCAUGAAUCAUAGUGGAAGACAUUCAUCGCGAAUCCAUUACGAGGAUAUGUGGAGCCCGUAUGACGUGUGCAAAGAGAUAAUCAGGGAGGAAUGGAGCUUGUAUAACAAUUGGAACAGUGAAAAUCCAGUGCAAUCCUUUCGAAAAGCAACAAAAGAUUCGAUGGCUAGGCUGAUGGGUUGGAGCAAAAUGGAGUUUAGAAAGCGGGACAAAAAAUUAGAGAAGUUAAAGAAGCAGCUGCAGGGGUUAAAACAAAGAAUGGUGAAAUAUGAAAAUGGUGAGGAAAUAUGGAAUGUGGAGAAGUAAAUCCAAAACAUCCUCAUAGAUGAAGAAAUCUACUGGAAACAACGUUCAAGAGCAGAUUGGCUCAAGGAAUGGGACAAAAAUACAAAAUUCUUUCACUGUAAGGCUUCGUCUAGAAGGAAAAAAAAAACAGAAUUUGAGGGAUUGAAGAUAAUUUCGGGAGAUGGAUUGAGAAGCCAAAAGAAGUGGAGCAUGAAUUCUGCAGCUAUUUCACCAACCUCUUUACAACAACCCAGCCGAGUCAAGAACAAAUUGCAGCAGCCUUGAAAGGAAUAACUCCGAGAGUUUCUGACAGCAUGAAUGAGAUUUUGGAAGAACAUUUUACAGCUGAGGAAGUCAUGAAAGCUUUGAGUCAAUUGUGUCCAACGAAGGCUCCGGGGCCGGAUGGUUUGCCAGCAGUGUUUUACCAAAAGCAUUCGCAUACGGUUAAAGAGGGAGUUCUCACCACUUGUCUGCAUAUUCUCAAUUCACAAGGUACCAUAGCCUCUCUAAAUCAUACUUACAUUGCUUUGAUACCAAAAGUCGGGAAACCUAGAAAAAUAACAGACUUUAGGCCUAUUAGUUUGUGCAAUGUUAUCUAUAGAAUUGUGGCCAAGUCAAUAGCCAAUAGAUUUAAGCAAAUAUUGCACAAAAUCAUCUCUCCGUCGCAAAGUGCCUUAAUCCCCAACAGGCUGAUAACUGACAACAUCAUAACGGCUAUGAAUGUUUGCACAAGAUAAGACAUUGUAAAGGAAAGCGAAAUGGUUUAAUUGCUUUAAAGCUUGAUGUCAGUAAAGCCUACGACAGAUUGGAAUGGAAUUUCCUUGAGCAAACUUUGAAACACCUAGGCUUCUCACAUCAAUGGACUAGCCUGAUCAUGAGGUGCAUUAGUUCGGUGUCCUUUUCUGUUUUAAUAAAUGGCUCGGUUAGAAGCUUAAUUAAACCCCAAAGGGGCUUAAGGCAAGGUUGCCCCCUCUCUCCGUAUUUGUUUAUUACAUGUACAGAGGCUUUUUCUUCUUUGUUGCAGCAGGCUGAGCAACAACGGCUUAUCCACGGGCUGUCAUUUAAAAAAGAUUUGAAGAUUUCACACCUUUUAUUUGCUGAUGAUAGCCUUGUCUUCAGCAGAGCUUCCAUUGCUGAUUGUCGAAAUCUGAAGAUGAUCCUUGAGUGCUACUCUAUAGCUCCUGGACAAAUAUUUAAUUUCGAGAAAUCUUCUUUAUUUCUUAAUGGCAACGUCCAGCAAGAUCAAGCUGCUGCAAUUGGGAAUAUUUUUCAACUCAAUAUUGUGUCGAGACAUGAAAAAUACUUAGGCUUGCCGUCUAUGAUUGGGAGAAAGAGAAACAGCUUCUUCAAUGACAUUAAGCUGAAGAUCUUCAACAAAAUUUCAAGCUGGCAGCAUAAAUUCUUUUCUUAUAGAAGGAAAGAAGUCUUAAUCAAAGUAGUUGUGCAAGCCAUCCCAGCCUACACCAUGAGUGUCUUUUAAGAUUCUGGUAGGAGUUUGAAACGACAUUCAAAGACUAGUGACCAAGUUCUGGUGGGGUUCCAAGAGGGAGGGGAGAAAUAUUCAUUGGUCGAAGUGAGAGAAGAUGAGUCAGGCCAAGUGUAAUGGAGGGAUGGGAUUUCGUGAUUUUUCAAGCUUCAACCAGGCCCUUCUAGCAAAGCAAGGCUGGAUGAUUCAGCAAUGUCCAAACUCAUUGGUGGCAAGGGUCCUGCAAGCUAAGUACUUCCAAUCAAAAAAAAUUUUGGAUGCGAAGCUCGGCUCUAAUCCUUCUUAUAUUUGGAGAAGUAUUCUGUGGGGAAGGCAAAUUAUAUGCUCGGGCUCUAGGUGAAGGAUUGGUAAUGGUCAGAAAAUUCAGAUUCACAAGGCCAAUUGGAUUCCAAAGCCUUUAACUUUCAAGCCAGUGGUUAAGCCAACAUUGCCACCUGAUACUAUGGUUUUUGAGUUGAUCAAUGAUGAAAACCGCUGGGAUGAGAAGCUGAUUUACGAGCAUUUCGACAAGAUGGAUGCUGAUUUAAUAACUAAAAUUCCUCUGCCUAGAAAACCAAGGGAAGAUGAGCUUAUUUGGCAUCAUGGAAAGAAUGGCCAGUACUCGGUUAAAAGUGGGUACCAAACAGCUCUUCGAAUAAAGUUUCCAGCAAUGCCUUCAAGCUCAGUGGUUUCAAAAAUGAAUGGAAUAUUAUUUGGUCUCUUGCUUUGCCUCAAAAGAUCAAAUUUUUUGCCUGGAGGGCAGCCAAAAACCUCCUCCCCUCAGCUGAGAAUUUGUGGAAAAGGAAGAUAAUUCAGGAGCCUACUUGCCAAGUGUGUAAAAUGGGGAUGGAAAAUGUGUUUCAUGCUCUAGUGGCUUGUAAAUCGGCCAAGCUCACCUAUUUUGAUGAUGAUAUUAAUGCAGCUUUUAGUCAAGAUAUUUUGAGUCUGCUGCAUGACAUGAAAAGGAUGAGAAGCAAAGCUGACCUGGAGCUGCUAGUAACAAUUUUUUGGGUAAAAUGGAAUGCUAGGAAUCAAUUGCUAUUCAAAGGGAAAAUGGAGAACCCCCAGGUUAUGGUAGCUAAAGCUGAAGUUAUGAUUGCAGCUUAUAAGAGGCUGCAUUCUUCAACUGAGGUUUGCAAUGAAAAUCAGCAAAGGGUAUCUCUUCAGGCAUGGAAUCCCCCCCAAGAAGGCUUUGUAAAAGUCAACAUCGAUGCAACUAUCAACUCCGAAAAGAACCUUGCAGGUCUGGGAGCUGUGAUAAGAGAUUAUUCGAGGCAUGUUACAGCAGCUACAAUCAAGAUUUCCAAGUUCUAUGGUGAUGUUUCUUAUGCUGAGGCAGAAGCUAUGGAAUGGGGUAUGCAGGUGGCGAGAGAAGCUCAAGUGAAAGCUGUAAUCGUAGAAUCAGAUUCUCAAGGUGUGGUCAGCUUAGUUAACAACAAGUAGGGCAGCAUAUCCGAGAUCUUUUGGGUUGUUUCAGAAAUUUAGAAGUUAAGGGAAAACUUCGAGUGUGUUAGUAUCAAGUAUACGCCUAAAUCUUGUAAUGUUAUUGCCCACUCUUUAGCUAAGUUAGCUUUAGAGAAAUGCGAGAUUGUUGUGUGGAAUGGUUCAUACCCUUUACAAGUGAUGUAUCUUUUCUCCUCGUUGAAUUAAUUGAAAUCUCUCUUCAAAAAAAAAAAAAAAAAACAAAGGGCCAAAAAAAAGUCCAUCAACACUCAGUUUCCUUCUUGUUAAUUGUUACUAUUAACUCAUGUGAAUCUGGCUUUAUCAAUGUUAGAAUGCAGUCAAUUCUUUUGGUAUCUGGCUUUAUUCCUUUUUUCUUUUUUUUGUGGGUGAGCAAAAGAGGUUAAUCCAUGAGCAUGAGUUUCGAACUUGACCUUUGAUUAAAAUAAUAAUAAGCUUUGUUUUCAUUUUAUCUUUUCUCUCAUUGUCAUAAUAAUAACAUCGAAACAUUUCCACUAUAAUUAGAAUUUUUAGAAAUGUACUAUUUGGUUUUCAUAUAAAAAUUAAUAUAAAAUCUUUGAAAAGGACCUCCCUUACUAAAAAAAGAUAAGACUUACUGUCUUUAGAAUUUGAUGCUAGACCGGUGCUCAAUAGUUUAAGGGAUUGACUUUAUUACAUAAAUGGAUUCCUUACUUAAAUAAGCAGUUAUUGGUAGAUCGCAAUUAGCUCAAAACCUCGCGAAUUGGUCUUCAUAGUACUCCCUCUAUCAAUUAUAUCAUUUAUUCAUAGAAUAAACUAUCUAGGCAAAUCAGAUUUUUUCAUAACUUCUACGAAGUUCCAUUAAAUUAUUGACUUAGAAUUAUAGCUUUUUCUAUUUGUUAUUUUUAACCCAAAAAUUAUAUUAUGCUGAAAAUUGUGAAAAUUAUGAGGAGCAUAGGCAUAGCGAUUAGCAAAUUUUAAUUAAUGGACCGGCGAAGAGUUUGAAUCCUGCGAAAUAAAUGGUUGAAAUUUUGAUUUUGAUUCUUUUUACUUGCCGACCCCUAUUUUCAAAGAAAAGAAAAUUAACCAUCAUCUGUAUAACUAUUGUAAUCGACUAUACAGGCAAUCAAUAAUCCUUUUUAAAAAUAAUUACUAAUCCAUGAAGUAUUUAUUUUACAAUUUUAUUCUCUACAUUCUCUGUUUAUUUAUUUGUAUGACUAUUGUAAUUCCUUUUUUAAAAAAUAAUUACUAAUCCACGACGUAUUUCUUUUACCAUUGUAUUCUCUAGAUUCUCUAUUUAUUUAUUGAAAAUUAUUUUUGGGAGAAAAGAAAUCUUGCUAAUACAACAAAGUAUAAAUUUAUAUUUAAAACUGCUACAAGUACGAUUCUUGUCAAUUUUUGUUCUUAAAGUAUCACUUUUUUUUUUUACAAAUAAAACGAAAACGACUGUAUAUUGUUGUAUUAUUAUUAUUAUUAUUCUCAUACAUAAAAUCCAUCUAUUCUCUUUACUUAGGAAUUCUAUACAAUUACAUAAAAGAAAAACAAUAUUAAAAUUUCCAAAUUCUAACAAAUAGUUUCGUGAAAUUAAAUUAUGCUUUUUAAUUGAUUUAUUUCCAUGUCUUACAAGUUCAGUCAUUGAAACGGGUAACAAAUACAAAAUCAAAAGCAUGGUCUUUGCACAACAGCUGCAGCAGCACUAAAGCAUGAAGAGCAAAAGCAGCAACGUAAACGAUACUAAUCAUCUCAAUAAAGAAGAAAACAAGAAUCAGCCAAAGAGAGAGAUUAGUUCCCCCUCAACCAUCAAUUCAGUAUUCAAUCAAACCCUCAGAAAUGUCCAAGGGUACGCUAAUAGCUUUUCCCAUUCCUCAUUUCUCACAAAUUUUGUGUUUUGAAGCAAUUUACCAGUGUAUCAUCUACAUCUUAGUCCUUUCCUGGUAACAGCAGAGCAACAAUACUUAAGCCUAAAGGAAAGGAAAAAUGAGAGAAGAUGGAAAGGAUAGAAAAUAAUAAAAUUGGCUUUCAUUAUCCUGCCCAGACUCUUAUCAUUCAAAGCAAAAUAUUUAUAAAAGGAAAUAGAUAUAUUGAAAAUAUCAUCAACAAUACAUAAGAUAUUUCUAUAUUAUAUUAUUCAAAACACAAGGGUCCGACUAAUAUUCGAUAUUUUAAUGUGGUGGAAGGUGAAUAGAAGUAGGUAUCCGAUAUUGUUUGAGAUUGCCUUUGUAACUCAUUCGAAACCCCAUUUUCAUGUUUAUAUCUUUGUUCGGAGUUAAAAUUACGUAAAAGGACGAAAUAAAUUUAUUAAAAUCAAAUUUUAAUUUCUUUUUGUUACUAAUUCUUCAAACCCGAUCAAAUACUUUAUCGGGAUUUUUUUUUAUUUUGCCUUAGUUUCUUAUUAUAUUUUUUUGUAAAUAAAAUAAUUACCCACUUGGUGUAGAAAAGUUUAGUAGAUUUGAUAAAAUUUAUUAUUCUUGUUUAUUUAUCUAUAAAGAUUUGAUGAACUACUAACACGUUUUUCUCUUAAUUACUUCAAAAUUAUUUUGAAAUUAUAAAAAUAAAAAUAAAAAUGAAUCCACUAUAUAUUAGAUACUGAAAAUAAAGAGUUUACGAUGUGUGGGUGUGAAUUAUAUGAAAAAAAAAAUGUAUUUGGGUUUAAUUAAUUUUGUAUUUGUAGUUUUAUGUAAUUUUAUCUUUGUAAAAAUGUUGUUAAUGUUAAAAUGGAGUUUUAUAAGAAUCUUAAGUGUAACGCGGUGUCAAACUAAGAUCAAAACUCAAAAACUGCAUAAACGGGUACAUUCUUCUUAAAGAGGAGAGGCGAAGUAAACAGCGAGCUUCCAGCAGCUAAAGCCAGCAAAUCUCCGAGUAACAGUUACGCAAGUCUUCAGCAAGUCAACUCAACCAAGUUAUACUUAAGCAGCCAGCUCAACGAUUGUCCAUUACAAUAAAUAUAUAUUUUUGUAAUUAAAUUAUAAUCAUAAUCUGUUUUUGCCAUUGUUUCAAAAAAAUUCAAGUUAUAUAGGCACGGGGCUAAUCCAAUUUGAAGUAUCUAAGCCUGAAAUACGAUAAAACCUCCAUAAGUUAAAAUCUUAUUAAAUAAUAAUUUUUUUUCCUUAAAAUCCCCACUUGCGGUCAAUAAUGUUAAAUUAUACUUCGAUUAAUUAAUAUUGUCUUAGGUGGCGUUUGUUUUUUAACUUAAUGACUUAAAGUGACUUAACUUAAUUAAUUAAGUUAAUUAAAGAUGUUUAUUUUUAUAACUUAAUGUGAUUUUUUAGAUAAUUUUGACUUAAUAAAAUAAGUCAUUUUUUUUUGCUUUUUACUUAAUAGAGACAUCUGAAUUAAGUCAAUUACUUUCUAAUGUCAAAAAUAUCCAUGUUUUAUAAUUUAUUUUUCAUGUCUAUCCCAAAUAUAUUUUUCGAGAUUCAGACGAAAAAAUAAAUAUAUUAUUCAGAUUCAGACAUUCAGAUCUAUUCAGAAUUCAGAUUAAUUCAGGUCUAUUCAGAUUUCAGACAAAAAAACAAACGCCACCUUAGUUAAUGAACCGAACACUAUCAAUUUAUCGAGGUUUUACUAUUAACGUAGAACAUGAGUCUUAUUCCUAUUAAUUUCUUCAAUAUUUUAAACCCCCAAAACUCUUUUAAAACAUCAUGAAAUUGCUUUUUAAGUCCUGAAAACUAUUUUUUUUAAUUUUGUUAACUUCCUUUUCUUUUUCUUUUUUUUAUCACAACCCAAUUUUUUCUCACCAAUAUGCGUGGAGUUAAAACCUCAAAUCUCAUGUUUUCAACCUAAAAGAUCUUCAUAAAUAAACCAAUCAUUGCUGAUUGCUGUGUGCUGGCAUCCUGCCAUGAGUCACAACUGACCAGGAGGAUGCAGCUGAAGAUUAUCCAUUGAUUGAACAUGCCUUAAAUGAAAAUUAUCCAUGAUUGAACAUGCCUUAAAUGAAAAUCAUCCAUGAUUGAACAUGCCUUAAAUUUCAACAGUCAAUCCACCGAAAAACUUACCAUUAAUUAAUUAACUGAUGAAGUAAACAAAAAAAUUAAGAGUUUCAAAAUUUUUUCUCUCUUGCGACUGGAAUUGAUUCUUUUUAGUCAUUGUAAUCUUCCCUGUUUUGUUCCUGCAAUUUUUCUUUUGACCUGUUAUCCUUCGCCUGGCCUCUACAUGUUUUGCUUCUUAAAUCUGAUCUUCAAAGUUCAAAUGUUGCAUCUCUUACUCAACUUGGGCGGAUGGGUUAUCUGCUUCGUAUGUACCACAUGCAUCAAACUAGUCCGAAUGAUAUUUCUUAUAUUGACCGGUUCGAUUUCGCAGAAGCAAUAAUUAAGUGUAUUACAGAUUCUAAAUUAAAUCCAUCAGGCAAAGAAAUUUAAUCAAAGACCAUUUUGGUCGUGGACAUGUGAGCUACCACAAUCUUCCUUAAAUUGCUGCAUUUUUCUGUUCUUCACAAACAGUCAUGCUAUUGUUUCGUUUCCUAAGAAUAUAGUAUAUAGCUCUAAUUUGUUAACCCACAAUUUGUAAAGCAUCUUGUCUAUUUCUUCUUCUUCUUAAUUUUCCAUAAUAAUUAACAUGAAAGCGUGCAUAGUAAAACUACAGGACUCAAGAGUCGAGAGAUACAACAGAGGUAUAGUAUGGACAACCAAGCAUACCAUAUAAGCAAGCAAGACAAUUUUGUGCUGCAACAAUUAGUGCUUCAGCGAGAGAAGAACCUGGAUAAAUUUGAUAGAGAAGAAUUUUGAAGCAUAAAUGCAAUAGGGAAAAAAAUAAAAGGUUAAAUUAAUUUCCAUCUUCUGCAAUGACGGUUCCAAGAUGACAUGAAUUAGAGAAGUUGGAUGUUCGAUCGUCUAUCCAUCUUUUUAGAGCAUGCAAUACUUCUUGAAAGUAUGUAUUCAUGGUUGUAGAAUACUUAUGGUAAAUCAUUAUCUAGUGUCACCAACAGUUUCAUCUUUCAUCUACCCCAACAAAAUCUAAUGCUUAUAGUUAUAUAGACAACGAGAUUACAAUAUCUAACUAUAUAUUCAACUGAGAAGAUAGGAUUGAAAAAACAAAAAUGUGCUUAGGAAAGGAUAUUUAGGGAUCACAUUUAGCAAUUUCUGUCAUUUGUCAACUUUAACCGCCAAGGAGGAACAAACGGUUCCAAGAAAUUCAAUGCCGCUCAGGAGGGCUUGGUACAUUAAAAAUAACCAGAGUAAAGGAACACCUUUUCAAUUCUAUACUUUCAGAGGUAGAGUGAUAGUGAUAUAACAUGAUAUAUCAAAAUCAGGUUAUAUAUAGUUUCUUUCACAUCAAUAAAUUAUACUUUCUAUCACAGUAGAUUAUACUCCCAUGUCACCACCAAAUUCGAAAGGCGGUCAAGCAAAUAAUAUGAGACCAAAGGAUAUAAAUGAUUCAUACAGUUUUCCUAAUGUUUGUGCAAAUGUGCCUGGUUGGUUGAUAAGAAACUAGAGACUAUUGGAUAUAUAUUAGUUGAGAAGAGGCAACUUAAUUAAAACGCACCUUCUGGUUCCUAUAUGGCUCUCCUCUCACACAAGAGAUUAGCACGCCACCGCAGCUCAAGAAGUCCUGGCACUAUAUUCAUUUUCCAAGAGCCACAAGUAACAGCAAUCCAAAAACGUUGGCCAAAACUCCAAGUGCUAUCAGCAGUUUGGCAGCAGUGUUGUCUUGUCCUACAAUAUAAGCAAGCAAGCAAAAAAUGAAUCCCCCCCAACCGAGUAGCUUGGUGCCAAACAAGAGUGUUUUGUCAUUGGACGAUAAAGAGUUGCCUCCACUCAGAACGAUUUGUGGUGGAGCAAGGACUAAUGUUGCGCUGAUAGUGAGGAAUAUCUUGGCCAAACCAGUGACAUUGAAAUUGAACCAUCCAUCGAAAUUGAAAUUGAACCACCCUCUUGGAGGUGGGGGUGGGGGUGGGGGUGGUGCUGGUGUUGGUGUUCGAGGUUGAACUUGAGGUGUUGGUGUUGGUGGUUGAACUUGAGGUGUUGGUGUUGGUGGUUGAACUUGAGGUGUUGGUGUUGGUGGUUGAACUUGAGGUGUUGCUCUCGGUGUUUGUGGUGGUGGUGGUGUUGGCGGUGUUUGUGGUGUUGUUUUUGGUGGUGGUGAAGUCAUCUGAACUGAACUAUUAACAGUAGUGUCAGAGCUCCCCCAAUCAUCUUGGAUUGUAAGCUCCUCACCACUGCCGUCUCCGCCCUGUGCCCAGUUUCUAAAAGCAGUUGAUCCAACAUUAUGACCGUGUUUACCCGGAUGUGUUAUUCUUGACUUCUUAUAUGCCUUCAGUUCAGUCCCUCCGUUACCAAUAUGCGCCCAAAGUUUAGCCAAAAGUUUGUCCACAAUUUUAACCAGUUCUAACUUUUGAGGCGGCCUGCUUCUUGAAUAAUUAUUCCUUUCAACGGAACCCUUACACAAAACGCAGGAUGCUGAUGAUGACAAAGAAGAUAUUUCCUUCUCUGCGAAAACACCACCAGAUCCACGAUCAAUCCACAUUGCUUUCUUUGCGCGACAGAAGUCCCCUGCCAACAACUGCAAAGUCAAAGAUCCGAUUCGUAGCGCCCUGAUAUGCCAAUCAUGUUGCCUCAGAGCUCUUAGAUGACGUUUAAGUGCUCUUUUGAUUGCACAACAGCACGAAGCGAAGUUUGUUCUUCUUAAAAACCGGAUGAGGAAGAUCUGUAAAAUACAGAAAAGCGUGUACACGUUCAUUUGCCAGCCGUGUGACCAUAGAUCAUGUUGCCUCACAGCUCUUGGAUGACUUUUAGGUGCUCUUCUGAUUGGACAACAGAAACGUUCAUUUGCUUCAGCCGCUUCAGCAGUUGUUCCAAACAUGUCACCAUUAAUAUGCGCCAAAGGUUUAUCCACUGGAUGCAGCAUAUCAUGCCACCCAAACUUGAGUUUGUCCAACUCAAACUUCAGAGGUUUGUCCAACUCAAACUUAAUCAGAAGUUUGUCCAACUCAAAAAUCAGAAGUUUGUCCCUCACUCCGAUCAUUACUUCGAUCAUCACUCCGAUCAUUAAAAUAGAGGCGAGUGAUAACUCAGUGAGUGGAGUGAUGGUCAUUACUCCGAUCAUCACUCCGAUCAUCACUCCGAUUCUGAUCAUCACUCUGAUCAUUACUCCGAUCAUCACUCCGAUCAUCACUCCGAUCAUCACGGGGAUCAUUACUCCGAUCAUCACUCGGAUCCUCGCUCGGAUCAUCGCUCCGAUUAUUGUUUCCGUCUCCAUUAAAGAAGAGCGACAAGACCAAGAUCGUAAUCUCUCUGGCAAGAUACCUUCAAGCCCGUUUGCCAAUGGAUCAAAAAAAGAAAGCUAUGGUGUGUUUGGUAAAAUCUUUCUGAGGCAUACGAAGAAGACAGGGAUUUGUCCGUGGUAUACCCAAAAAUAGGGUAUUUAUCUAAAAGCACCCCAUACUCAAAAAUUUCCUGUAUAUACUUUUUCUAAUGUACAGUUACGAAAUUAGUCUAAUGAAAAACCUAAAUCAACUAAACUACCACAACCAAUCGUGUAACAAAAUCCACAAUUCUCUCAUGAGCAGCGUCUCCUUCAGCUCCUUAUUCUGGAUUUCUCCUCCUCUAUUUUACAAAUCCCUGUAAUUUUACAACAAUUCUUCUACACACUCUAGCCGAAACGCAGCAAAACAAGUAAAACGAUGCCGUUUUUGUACAAACCAGUAGCUGCAAUUCCCCCACUCCCCUUCAGCGUCUCAUCUUCCAUUUUACAAAUCUCUGUCAUUUUACAACAACUCUUCUAUACUCUCGUCGAAACGCGGCAAAACAAGUAAAACGAGAAAUUGAAGGUAAUUUAUCAAUUUAAUAUCUGUGGAAAUGUUAGGUGGGACUAGGAUUUUACUUUCCAUCCAUGAGGAGUAUAUGGCCCGGUUAAGCGAAUUGAGUUUCGAGUGAAUGCAGAUGGCAACCUGUACAUUUUGUUGUUUUGUUCGUCUCCAGAAUUUCAUUUUUAUUUAAGUGGACCACAUUUGCACACACGGCAACUUUCUCUCCUUGCAAGAUUCUUGAAUCUUUAAUUCUUUUUGGGCAAAUUAAACAUAUAAAAUGCACAUCAAUUUCGAUUUUGGUGUCACUUCUAUCGAGAAAUAAUCAACCCAACUUCAAUAUUUGCAGUUGAGAACUAAGAUUAGGAGUUGUCUUGAAAUUAGUUCAUGAAGCUGUGAUAAAGUCAUUGAACAAAUUAAUUGCAUUUUAUUUGAUUAAUAAUGUUAGAUUAGAAAAGAGAAAAAGAGGAAUAACUUGUGGUUUACAAAUUUAUCAGGAAAAAUGUGUUACUGCCAAAAUGUGUUUCUGUUAUCAGUAUUUUGAAACUGGGAAGUACUUCAAUGCUGAAAUCACAAUCUGAGAACUGAGAUGCCUUUGUGUAGUACCUGCAAAUACUUCAAUGCUGAAAUCACAUAAAAUAGCCAUAACUAAAGUUGAUUCAGGAGCUGAACAGUUCACUGUUGAUACAUCUCACCAAUUAAUUUGUUUAUAUUUUUUUUAUUGAUUUCGUUUAAUUAAUUGUAUUCUACUAUGUGUAGUCUAUGGUUGUGAUUUGCAGCUCAAUUUCCUUUUUUUAGUUAUUAUAAUCUAACCUCCAAUGCAGAUGUGUAAAGAAUUUCUUUACCUGACUUUUACCCUGGAGUCGUGUAAAUAAUUCUCUAAUGCAGUUGUGUAAAGCAUUUAUUUACCUGACUUUUACCCCGAAGUCGUGUAAAAAAUUCUUUACACAACUGCUGUCGUGUAAAGAAUUUCUUUACCUGUCGAGUAAAGAAUUUCAUACACAACUGCUGUCGAGUAAAGAAUUCUUUAUACGACUGUUGUUGUGUGAUGAAUACUUUACUCGACAGUAGUCGGGUAUGAACACUUUACUCCACUAUAUUCGCAUAAUUAGUUCUUUACUGGAUUGUAGUUUAUAAAGAAUUCUUCACUGGACAUGCGUCGGGUAUGAACAUUUUAUUUCCAAUGUUACAAAAAAUCUAUGGUUUAUAUAGUAGACUAUAGAUCAAUGCAUGUUUUACUUGACUGUAGUCGUGUAAUGAAUGAUUUACUCGAUUGGUAUGUCGUGUAAUUUUUAUGAUUGGUUUAAAAUAUAUUAUGCAACUUUUCAAUCAUUUUAUAUAUUGAUUGAUAAUUUUUUUUUGUAUUUAUGCAGAUGGAACCGAAGAUCAAGGAAUCUGAAUACUUCAAAGCAAAGAUUUCAAACCGAUCAUCACUAGAGGCAGUGAAGGACAUUAAGAUAGACUCUCUGAGGCGCAGAAAAAUAUUUUCAGGCAUUCUUGUUUCGGUCAUUUUUUGGAUGUGAAAGAGUUAAAGUUUUCCGCUCAGUUACUCCACAACAUAUUAUUGAGAGAAGUGAAAUCAUAUGAAAAUGCAAUGUGGUUUAGGAUUGGACGAAAAAAUAUUCGAUUUUCAUUGGAGGAGUUUGCCUUGGUGACAGGCUUAGAUUGCAGUCCAUCGUAUGAGCCCGAUACUGAAAAUAAUGAUGAUGAUUACAAAAUAGUUGAUGAGUUCCUAGAUGGAAAUUGUGCAAUCAUAACAAAAGAACUUCGUACAAAGUUCUUGCAGGCUAAGUCAAAUGAUGACAUGAAAAUGGUCAAGCUGGCCAUGUUGUAUUUUGUUGAGUCCGUGUUACUUGGAAAGGAGAAUAGAAAUUAUAUAAAUGAAACUAAUGUACUCCUUGUGGACAAUUUUACCGAGUUUAAUAAAUUUCCUUGGGGACGCAUUUCUUUCAAGAUGACCAUUGAUAGUUUGAGAAAAUGCAUUGCACUGCGUGUGGCGAAGCCUAAGAAGAAGUCAACUGCAGAUUCUAAAUAUAAGGGAGCAACGUAUAGUGUGCAUGGUUUCCCCCAUGCUUUUAUGGUAACAAAACUAAACUAAUUUAUUAAUCGCUUAUUGAAUUGUUGAAUAAGUGCUCUUUAUUUUACUUCAAUCAUUUUUUGCCUAAAAAUUUUCUUGUUCCCAAACUAAGAAUAUUUAAGUUAUUUUUCAUAUAUUGCUUCAAUAAGCUACUUCUUCCUUAAUUUCAAUCCAUGAUAGUAUUCAUAUUAUACCAGCGAUAGUUGUCAGCAUCAUCUUUCUAUUUAUAAUUUACCAAUUUUUUUUGUUGAAAAUAAAUUGUGUCAUUGAUUAUAUAGGUGUGGGCAUAUGAAGUUGUUUCUGUCAUUGGUGAUAAAUGUGCAAAACGUUAUGGUGAUUUAUUUCCAAGGAUUUUGAGAUGGAAAUCAACAAAGCCUAAAGAGUUUGAAGAGAUUCAAAUGAAGAUAUUGAAUAAAAAAGCCUCCAAGAUGGUUUUCAUAGAAAAAUUACAUGCUACCGGAGAUGUCGAGACAAAUAAGCAUUACAUGAGCUAUUUUAGUGAAGAUGAGUGGCUUCAAGAGAUCGGUGAAGAGAAUGAUAAUGCUAUUGAGUCAGAUAGUCAUCCAGAGGAAAAUCCUUCACAUGAAGAUAAUGAAUCACAUGAUAGUGAGUUAAAUAGUUUUGAUGGUUUUCCUGAUGAUAGUGAUUCAUAUGGUACACCCACCUCAGUGCUCCAAGAACAUUGCCUCCAGAACAUUUAAAUGAAUCAGCAUCAAUACCAGCUGAGGUCACAAAAAAAAAGGUAAGUCACUGUUCUAUUAAACUAUAAUGUAAAUUAUGCUAUAAAUUAUUUACUUAUUUAUGCAUAUCUGUUAUGAAGGGAGUAAGUAACAAAAUACUGCGAUACUAACUUAUUUAUUAUCCAAUAAGUUCAUUACUUAGUAAAAAAAAUACUAAGUUGCAGCCUAUUUAUGAGCAUCGACUUUGGAACUUUUGAUUUCAUUGCUUUGUUGUUGUAAUAUUUGUUUCAUUUUCUAUUGAGUGAUUUUAGUUUAUGGUUAUUUUUAUUUUUAUUUCUCAGUCCUCAAAAAUAUAUAUUUGCUUCAAUAUUUUUGCUACACUACUUCAUUUUAUACUGUACACGACCACAGUCAGGUAAUAAAUACUUCACUCGACUGUGGUAGUGUAAUGGAUACCUUACACGACUGUACACGACUACAUCAAGGCUAAAUAAUAUUUUAAAAUUGUUUAUACAUUUCAAGGUGGUCCAUCUCGACAUGCCUCCUGUGCGUUUGAUGGUUCUAUUCUCGAGGAGAAUGUUAAUCAUCUUGGUUGUCGCAUCCAAAAUAUUGAAGAAAAUAUUGCCAAGAUGGAAAAUACCAUGAAGAAUAUGGACACAAAGAUUGAUAACAUUGAGGGGAAAAUCGAUCAUAUUAAUGUGAUCGAUAAUAAAUUGAGUAGGCUUAUUCCGUUACUUGAGUAGUCUUCAACCUUAGAACCGCAGGGGGUUGAUUUUAAGGUUUGAUAUAUAAAAGUAUUAAUAUUUUUUCAUUUAGUAUAUAUGUUUAUUUAAUUCUCUAACAAUUUGGUUGUUAUGUCUACAGCCUAUGAACGAUCCCAUGGACGUCGCAUCGGGUCAGUCACCUAUGCAACAACCUUUGGAGACGCUUGUGAAUAUUUGUAAUAUAGAAAGGGCUACAGACAUGAUGACGCCAGAUGAUUCUCAUGGUACAAAGAGGGAUCCUAUUAUCAUCUCAACGCAAGAAAAAGAUUGUAGAUUGGUGUACAAUUUACGGAAGAGAAAGGAUAUGAAAACUUCCACUUAUUUACGGACACCGUACACUAAUCCUUUAAAGAAGCCGCGAGAGACGACGGAUGUUGAGGUGCACCCUCAAGAGACAAAGAGCUUCGAAGUGUGUCCCCUUAUACUCCAAGAGGAGUUAUUGGAGCUGCAGCGAUGGAUGGACAUAAAAAAUGAUAAAAAGGAGCCGUGAGUUAUCUUAUAUUAUGAUAUUAAUUGUUUUUGAACUCCAGAUAAUUAUACUGUAUGUUUAUUUAAUAGUUUUACUAAUUUUAUAAUUGAUUAUAUGCAGUAAAUAUAUCGAUUUGACUCUUAUGGAGGUUAAUCGUGAAUUUUUCUGUAAAUUAUACACACCGGACAUGUGGCUGUCUAAUCUCGUAAGUCAUAAAUUUUAUUGUGAUUAUUACGAUAAAUAUUUGUAAUUUUUUAUACUUAUUUCACCCUUUAUGUUCAGCACAUCGACAUUGGCUGCUACUACUUAAGGAAAGAAAUGUCCAAGGCUCCGACUCGGAAUGGACAAGCUUGUGCCAUUAUGGACAGUAAUUUUCUGGUAUAGUCAUUUUUCUGUAGCCUACUCCUUAACUUCUUAGAAUAAUAACAGCUAAUAUAUUAUUGUUAAAUUUUCUAGAAUAAUUUAAGAGACAGACACAAGGUGUAUCUGAGAGACCUAGAUAGGGUGUGGGAAAAGGAUUGUUAUUGCAUUGAUUAUGCUAAUGGUGCAAAGUUGGACUGUGCUACUCCUUAGAAAAAUGUUUCCACUAUAAGUUUCACAUUGUAUGCUUAGUUUUUUACAUCAUAUGCACUACAAGUAGAUAAAAAUAAUUACCGCAUUUCAUAGAUAUAUUUGCCGUUACUUGUUAAGAAUAUUGUCUGUAUUUCGUAGGUGUAUUUGCCAAUAUUCAUGAAUGAUCAUUGGGUUCUCGGUGUGGUCGAUAUACUUGAGGGCAAGAUUUCUAUUUAUGACUCUAUGAUAGAUUUAACAAGGAUUCAGUUUUGGUGAGACAAUUGCUGCAAUAAUUGCACCUACCUCGAUUUCUUUAAACUUAGCUCGUAAGUUUUGCUUUAAAUGGUGUGUACAAAUACCAUAUGCAGCAUUUGGGAAUGCGAUGUUAACAUUCUUUUGGAUACUUGGGUGCCUAUCAGAAAUGAAAACCAAAUUAGGAACUUCACCUAUUGCUACUUUUAACUUCAUUAGAAACCAUCCCUAUGAUGCAUCAUUCUCACUGUCACCAACACCAAAUGCAACAGGAUAAAGUUGAUUGUUACCAUCAAGUGCUGUCGCAAUGAACAAAGUUCCUUUAAAUUUUCCCUUCAAGAAUGUGCCAUCAAUUGCAAUGACUGACCUUAUUGAUGAAAUAAAUCCAUGUAUACAACUCCCAAUUGCCAUAAAAAAAUAUUUAAAGUUAUUUUCAUUGUCAACUUCAAGAAACGUGCAGGUGCCCGAAUUUUUCUUCUUUAACAUUUUCAUGUAUAAAGAGAGUAACUUGAAUGAAUCCUUAGGCGUGCCUCUAACUUUCUCCAUUGUAUAUUCUCUUGCUUUCGAUGCCUUGUGAUAACUUAUUUCAUACUCAAACUGUUUAUGAAAAUCUUCUUUGAUAUCACUAGGCCUAUAUAAGGAUAAAGCACCAUCAAACUUAUGACAACUUAUGACAAAUCUUAUGUCCGAUAAGUUUAAAUGAAGCAUGACGAUGAUCUUUCUUACGGACAUCAAGUGCACAACUAUGGACACUAUAGUACUUUGUGAUUUUAAACAUAUUCAAACUUCCAAACUUUUUAGCACGAAGUCGCCACUUACAAGUAUCGUCAACACACUUAACAACAAGAAUAUUUUUCCCUGACUUGAAAGUUUUAAACUCAAAAUUUUUCCUUAGAGCUUCCAUAAAAAGCACUUGUUGCAACUCUUCUUUCGAACUAAACUACCUUUUUCCUAUUAACCAAUCACUAUCACCAACAACUUCCAUAGAUGGCAAGUUAAUAGUAUCAGAAUGCGAGUUAUCAGUGUCGAAUGAACUGCUGCAUGCAAACAAAUUAACUCUAGGCAUAUAUCUAUUAUUAGAAUGUGCUACAUUCCCCAGUGUUGGAUCACUAACUGUUAUCCCAUCAACAUCAUCAUGAACAAUAACAUUCACAUUUUCCUCAUUUGACAUUCUUCUAUCAUUGGGUUGUGUUUCAAGAACAAAUUCGAAUAUUGACUGAUCUUCAGCAACAAAAUUGUUUGGGCUUAAACCUUCACUUUCGACAUAUGGCUCAACAGGUUCUUCUGGACAACUAUCUGGCCCCAAAUUAAGGUCCAACUUCAUUUCAAUGUCAAAUUCAGAAAUAUCAAUACAAAUAACCCGAGAUACUUUUUCUAUCAAUUGUGCAUACGUUGUAGAACGGGGCACCAUGAUCCCUCUUGCCUCCGUACCAUUAAAUCUAUAAUGGCCGUUUUGCUCAAUCCAUUCACCACAAAACAUAAUAGGCACACGUACUGAAGUCAUUUCCUGUAAUAAUACAACAAAUACAAAAAUAAAAUCAAAUAAGAUUUAUAACGAAGUGUGGAUCUGUCUGCAUAUUUACACGACUGACGUCGUGUAAUUGAUAGUUUACACGACAAUAGUUGUGUAACUUGCUAAAAUACACAACUAUAUUUCUAUAAACAGUCAGAUGAUAUAUUUAAUAAAAUAUAACUGUAACCUUUGUACUAACAGAAUACUAGGUGUCAUAACAACUACUAAAUCUUUUAAAUUUGCACGAUUGUUGUCGUGUAAAUUCAUACAUACAUGAUAGAAGUCGUGUAAGUUGCAAAAAUACAUGACUCAGUAAAUAAUCAGAGGACAUAUUUCUUCUUAAAAAAAUGUUGGGAUCUCAUAACAAUUGGAACAUUUUACAUAUAUACACAAUUAUAGUAUGUAAGUUUAUACAUACACGCUAGUAGUCGUGUAACUUAUUAACACACACGACUAUAGUCUAGUAAUAGUAAAAGGAUAUAUAUAGUGAAAAAUAUAUAUAUUUUGAACUAAUAGAAUGAUAAGGUGUCAUAAUAAUUGGAAUUGUUUGCACAUUUUGUGUAAAUACAUACAUACACGACUGCUGUCGUGUAUGUCGGGUGCAGAAAAAAAAUUUGACAACAACUUUAGGUUUUAACGAAUGUAGUUAUAAAAUCCAUCAAAUAACAGUCAUAUGAUGCAAAUGUAAUGAAAAUAUGAGUUGCUUUAGUGUUUAUGACAAACCAAACAAAACCCUAAAAAUAAUAUAAUGUCAACAAAUUGAAUAGAUAGCCCAAAAUAAAAUAAAAAAAGUUUCAAAUACCUUGUUCAUGGGAUGAAUAAUACACCCAGCUGUAAACAAAAAUCUCAGUGCAUUAGCUGUUUGUGAGUGAUUUUGAGUGUAGUGUGAGUUUUUGUAUAGGUGAUAAAUACGUGAGAAGUAAAGAGUGUUGUGAGUUGUUUGUGUAAUAUAUUUUUCUUUAGGGAUAUUUUAGACAAUGUACCACAUAAAAAAGGCAUAUUUAGAUAAUUUUCAAACAUGAGGUAUAUUUAACUAAAUACACUACUUUUAAGGCAUAUUUAAUUAAAAACCCUCGAAGAAGAUGAAGAAAGAGCUGCUGACAUGUAAUAUUUGUGUCAUUGUAUUUUUAUUGAAUUAUUUGUUUUUGUUCAAAGAAGAACGAAAUUGUGUAUAAAAAAGAAAAAAAUUACUCGGAAAUUACUUAUGGUGCGUUCAGAUUAGCACAUUUUAUAAGUGCGUUCAGAUUAGCUCAUUUUGGAUUGGAGUGAGAAUUCUGAGAUUAGGAGUGUGGAAUGGGAGUAGGUUGUUUACUUAUACUAGAAUGAGAGCAUAGAAUUGGGAGUAAAUGAUUUUUAAUUACAGUUUUAUCCUUAUUUAAAUAAUUAUAGUUUUUAAUUAUAAAAUUAAUAAAAAAAUAAAUUUGAAAAAUAAAAUAUUUAUUUCAUUAUAUUUGUAAAUUAAUAAUAAUUAAUAAUAUUCUUAAUUAUGUAAAUAAUUUUUUUAUUAAAUUUAAUUUUAAUUAUGUAAAUAAAAAUUAUUAUUAAGAGCAACACAAAUUAAGGGUGGCAAAACGAAUAAACGAAUCGAAUUUGAAUCGUAAACGAAUUGGGUUAAAAUUCUACUGAUUCGGAUUCGAUUCGUUUAUUAAACGAAUAUUCGAUUCGAUUCGUUUAAGAAAAUUAAUAAACAAAUCAAACCGAAUCUGAAUUCGUUUAUUAUUCAUUUAUCCUAUAACGAAUCCUUAACGAAUCUAGAUUCGUUUAUUAUUCAUUUAUAAAAAUAUAAUUAAUAAAUAAAAAUUAAACAAAAUAAAAUGUAAAAAUCCCACAUAAUUAACAUCUUACAAAACACAAAUUAAUCAAACCAUAUUCUGAGCCUAAAAAUACAUAAACAUCCAAACACCAAAUUUAAAAAUCUUAAUAAUACAAAUAAUAGUAAUUAGAAUCCAAAUUACAAAAGCCAAGUGCUUUCUUUAGUUCUCUUCAUUUUGUUCAAUAGGAAUCCUGCACAAAAAAAGUAAAUAAAAUUAAUACAAUGUCAAGUUGGUUUAUUCAUAUUAAUUAGUUGUAUGAAAAGGAAUGGCAGUGAUGGGAAAGGUCCUUAAACCUUCCCUUUUAAGUCAACAAAAUUGGCGAUCAACUAUUGUAAUAACAUAUUAACACGGCAAAUCGGUGCAAUAUACAUUUCAUACCAACAAAUUUGAUUGAGGAUAUUAUUAUAGUUACUAAUUUGGAACUGAUAAUUAAGUAUUGGAAUUUAUAAUCACCAACGACAAAAAAAGAAAACUCAAUAGCUUAAAAAUUUAAAAAGAAAAAAAAACGAGAUGAGAAGGGAAUAGGAGCUUACCGUGCGUUAGAUGAAAGUGAGAUGCUGGAGGCCAAAGCUUUGUUUCGUUAAUUAAACAAAACAAGAUGAGAAGGGAAGAACGGCUGAGAUGGUCCCUUGUUUUUGAGAGGACGCGAAGAUCGAUUGACGAAACGAAAUGGCUGUGGUCGGCUGUGAACGGUGGAGACGAACUGGCGAAGGGAAGAGACGACUGAGAGAAGGAAAAGAAGAGUGGAGUUGGAAAUUGGAAACCCUCAAGAACAAAAAUUAGGGCCGGCUAUGCCCUAAUUUUUGUUUCACUUUGUAUAUUUUGUAUUAUUAUUGUUUUAAAUUACUAUAUUAACUUUAAAAUUUGAAAAAAAAUAAAUAAGUUUGAGGAGAAAUAAGUAAUUUAAUUCAACGAAUAAUAAACGAAUGGAUUGUAUUCGAUUCGUUUAAUUAACGAAUCGAAUCGAAUUCACCCAUUUAUUAAACGAAUCAAUUUUUUCAAACUCAAACCCAUUUAAUUCGCACCGAAUCGAAUCGAAUAAACGAAUCCUGACCCAAAUUGCCACCCCUAUCACAAAUGAAACAUUAUUAUUAAUAAUAUAAUACAAAAUUAAUAUUUUCUUAGAAUAAAAUAUUGAUUAUUAUUAAUUACUACUAUUAAAUAAAUAUAAUACAAUUAUUUUUAAAUAAUAUUAUAUUUUCAAAUAAAAAGAGUAUAUAUUAAUAUUAUUAAUUCUCUAUGAGUAUAAUAAUAUUAUUUUUAAGUAAUUUUAACUUAGAAUCAAUAUAAAUUAUUAUUUUUAAUAAGUAUAAUUUAUAAAAUAAUAUAAUAAUAUUAUUUAAAUAAAUAUGAUAUUAUUUUAUUUGAUUAAAUAUAAGGAUAAAAAUGAAAGAGAGGGGAGUGGGAUUCCCACUUCCACCUCCCCCCAAUCCCACUCCCCCUUAAAAUUAGUAUGUAAACACUGGAGUGGGAGGAAUCUAGACUCCUCACUCCCACUCCAGCAAGUAAAUACUACCUUAGUAUCAAAUGACGACUAUGGCAUUGAAUGACGUAGGACGUGAUGCACGCUCCUUUGAAAACCAUACCAAACCAUAUACGAGAAAUUCAACUUAAUCCCUUCAUUUAAUUAUUAAUAAAUACACGCCAUAGGGCUCAUAUCAUGCCCAUGUAUUUCAGCCCAGUCCUCACGACAAGGGCUCAAGAAAAAAAAUUCGGGCCAGACCCAAGCCCACUAUUUUUUUAAAAAAGAAAUUUAUAAAUUAAAAUAAUAUAAUUAAAAUUGAAAAGUAACUUACAAAUAAAAAAAGAAAACUUAAAUUCUUAAUUUAUAAAUUAAUGAUGAUUCAAAAAAACUAAAAUUAUGAUACUAAACUUUCUUUUUUGUGUUAAUUAAUUAAGAUAACGUUUGAAUUAGAGAAUCCAAUAUUAAAGAAAAUUAAAUUUAUAAGCUUUUAUUUACUUUAUUUAUUAUUUUACUUUGAAAUAUUCAUUUUCUUUAAUUUAUCUAUGAUUAUAAUAACUUGUUGAUCAUUAAUUUAUUUUAAAUUUAUAAUAAUUUAAAAAAUUUAAAAAUAAACAAAGCCCAAGCUUGGCCCGGGCCUGGCCCAAGUCCUCAUGAUAAUGGACUUGGGCCUCGGCUUGAAAAAGCCUAGUCCAAGCCUGCUUUUUGCCAUUCUGAGGCUCAUUUGCACAAUCUGUGCACUCAAGGUCUUUGCAUCGUAACCAUUGAUAGGAUUCAAUUUCUCUCUCAAUAAAAUUAAGUAAAAAUAAAAUUAUCUCCCUCUAAUUUAGGAUAAAAUAUUUUUUUUAUAUUAUGUUAUGAUAAAAAAACUCUUCCUAUAAUUUAGAGAAGAUAGAAAACCCCAUGUAAACAUAGGCCCUUGGGAUUUUUUUUUUUUUUUCAUUUAGAGAGGGCAAGAGAAUGAUUUUAUAUCUAAUUUUUUAUUUUGAAAGGAGACGAGGACGAUUAUUGACCUAAUUUCAUAUUUAGAGAAAAGACGGGGAUGAGACGAAAUCUUUAUCCCCUCCUCAUUUUCCUCUUUUAAUUUUUAAUUUUAAUUUUAAUUUUCUAGAAUUAUUAGUGAAUAAAUAAUAUUUUAAAUUGUAAAAUAUUAAAUAUUGGUGUAAAUAACAAAUAUCCAAAUAUUUAAACAAAUAAUAUAAAUAUUAGUUAAUGUAAAAAGUUUAAUAUAAUUUAGAUAUAACUAUAGCCCAAAGCCCACAAGCCCACAAUUUAUAAAUCAAACUCUAAAUCACUUUCUCAAAGUCUUACUCAUCCUUUCAAAAUUAUUUGCACCGUAGCCAACUCCCAACUCGUCCUCAUCUCAUCAUAGCCCAGUAGCACAUCGCGUUGUCGAUAGCCGAACAGCCUAGCUCAUCGCAAUGCUAGCUAGCAACCCCACACACUACUUCGUUGCACCAUAGUUGGUGGGCAAAAGAUAUCAUUGCUGAUGGACAACAUUCACGUCAAUAUUGUAUAAAAAUCACAUUAUAUAAAUUUUAUUUUGAAAAUUAUUAUUUGAAUAUCAUUUAUACCAAAAGUUUGAUGAAGAUGAAUGAAAUAAAACUUAUUCAUGAUCAUUCUCAUUUGAAUUUAUAUAGUUUAGGUUAAUAUGACUAAAUUAAGUUCGAAAACUAAAAAGAUAUCAGUUAUUCGGGGAUGAGGGACUCUUAGGAAUCCCCUGUUAUUAUUUGAGGAGGGGACGAGAAUCCCCUCAAGCAAUUCUCUAAUAGGGAGGGGGAGCGAACAGAGAUAUAUGCAGAAUAUCGGGGAUAAGUAUGGGAAUGUCAGUCCUCUCCUUUCUCCUCCCCAUUGCCAUCCAUAUUAUAAUUCAAGGUAGAAUACAUAUCUCUCCAAUAUUAUAUGAGGGUAGAAAUUUGAAAUGUGUCGCAAUAGAAUUAUUAAGGAUAGUCUAUUAAAAAAACUUAAUAUUAUUAAAAAGUGGCGUAUACAUAAUUAGAAAUGAAUGUAGCAAACAAACAUUAAUUAAUUCAAGAAGCCCUAUAUGUUCAACAUGACUAUUAUAUAAUGUGGCUGGCAAUCCUUUAGUCAUGGGGUCUGCAAGCAUAAAUAUAUUUAGUAUUUAUAUAUUCAAUACUUACUUCACGCUUCUUAUAUGAUCUCUGACAACUAAGAACUUUAUAUCAAUAUAUUUCUUAUGACUCCCAUUUCUAUUAUUCUUUGAAAAGAAUAUUACAGCAAAAUUAUCAUAAUAGAUUUCCAUUAAAUUUUUAUAGAAUCAGCAAUUUUAAGGCUUGUAAUAAAAUUUUUCAACCAUAAUGCUUGUGUUGUAGGUUCAUAACAUAUAAUAAAUUCUGCUUUCAUGGUAGAUGAAGCAAUUAUAGUUUGCUUGCCACUUUUCCAAGAUAUAACCCUCUAGUAAGAGCGAAAAUAUAUCCUGGAGUGGACUUUCUAGUAUCUGCACAUCUAGCAAAAUCUGAAUCCGAAUAUCCAAUUACUUGAAGAUUAUUAGAAUACUUAUAUGUGAGUUUGUAGUCCUUAGUUCCUUGUCGAUACGACAUCACUUUUUUAGCAGCUUUUCAGUGUUCCAAUCCUAGAUUGCUUGGAUAUUUAUAGAGUAUGCUUACUAACUAGGCAAGAUCAGGCAUAGUACACACUCGUGCAUACAUUCGGCUAUCUAAGACAGAAGCACAAGGAGUAUUCUUCAUUUGUUCUUUUUCAAAUUGCUUUUGGACAUUAUUUCUGACUGAAUUUGUCCUCUUUAAAAAUAGGUGCAACAGUAGGAGCACAAUCUUUCAUUUUAAUUUUUUCCAAAACUUUUUUAAUAUAUGCCUUUUGAGACAAUUUUAAUGUCCUUUUAAUCAUAAUUCUAUGGAUUUCUAUACUUAGAAUAUAUUAGGCUUCACUUAUAUUGUUCCUGUUAGAGUUUUGACUAAGAAAAUGUGUAGUCUUAUGCAGCAAACCCAAGUCAUUUCAAGCAAGCAAAUUAUCAUCUAUAUAUAAGACUAAAAAGAUAAAUUUGUUCCUACUGACCUUAAAGUAUAUAAAUUGAUCAACAAUAUUUUCUAUGAAACCAUACAAAGUAACAACACUGUGAAACUUUAAGAUCACUGGCAAAAAGCUUGUUUUAGUCCAUAUAUAGAUUUAUUUAAUUUGCAAACCAAAUGACUGUAUUUGUUAGUCACAAAAACCUUCAGGUUGCUUCAUGGAUACUUCUUUUUCAAGAUUCCCAUUUAAGAAAGUGGUUUUCACAUCUAUUUGAUAUAGCUCUAAAUCAAAAUAAGCUACCAAAGCUAUGAUAAUUCUAAAGAAUCAUUUUUUGAAACUAGAUAAAAUGUCCUUUGAUAAUUUAUGCCUUUUUUUUUAGUGAAUUCCUUAACCACAAGUUUAGGUUUAUAUCGUUCUAUAUUACUAGAAGCAUUCCUUUUGAUUUUGUAAAUCCAUUUACAACCUAUAGUUGAAUGACCAAAAGAUAAUUGAAGAGAUCACAUACUUUAUUUUUAGCCAUAGAUUCCAUUUCUUCCAUCAUUGCAUCAUGUGAUAGUUUAGAAUUUUCUCCAUUCAUGGCUUGUAAAUGGAAUAGUUUAGAAUUCUCUCCAUUCAUGGCUUGUAAAUGGAAGUUGGAUCUUGACUGAGUUCAUAAUUAAACUUAGACUCUUGAAAGAAUACUUUAUAAUCACUAAAAAUUAUAGAUUUCUUAUUCUUGAAGACAUCCUUAAUCCUAUUAUUUUACUUUUAUUUUGUGAAUUUUGAGUGAUAACGUGAAGUGGUUGAAAUUCAAUUGGUUGUUUCUUAAUUAUUUCCCCAGGAAAUACACUAACAGAUUCUUUAAUUUCCUGAAAUUUAAUAAUACUAAGAAAUUCAUUUCCAUUAAGGUCAAUGUCUUCAAGAAAUUUUGUAUUUCUAGCUUCAACAAUCUUUAUAGCGUGUGAAGGACAAUGAAACCAAUAGCCCUUAGAGUUUGCUGGAUAGCCUGUAAAAUAAACUCUAACUGUACUUGGGUCCAAUUUCUUUAAUUGAGGAUUAUAAAUCCUUACCUCAACAGGACAACUCCAAAUGUAUACAUGUUUGAAAAUAGGUGUCCAUUUAUUCUAAAUUUCAAAAAGUGUUUUAGGAACAGCCUUGGAUGGAACUCUGUCUAAAAUAUACAUAGUAGUUUUUAAAGAUUCACUCUGUUGAGUAUUAGAAAAUGUAUAUUUAUAAAGGAAAAAAUGGUCAUUUUACAUUUCAACUCUUACUAACACCCUUACUUUUAUGUAUUCAAGCUUUUUGUGAUUUAAUUACGCGUGUUUUAUUUUAAUUAAGUAUUUGAUGUAUUUUAGGGGUAUCAUGGUCAUUUCACAAUGAACGAGAAAUCAAACGGCAAAACAGACAUCACUUUUAAACUCAGGACAGUCAAAAACCUUAGGAGGAGCAUAAAAGCUUUUUGUGAUUUAAUUACGUGUGUUUUAUUUUAAUUAAGUAUUUUAUGUAUUUUAGGGGCAUCAUGGUCAUUUCACAAUGAACGAGAAAUCAGACGGCAAAACAGACAUCACUUUUGAACUCAGGACAGUCGAAAACCUUAGAAGGAGUAUAAAAGGAAAAAUGUCAUUGUUCACAUGUAUGUUCACAUGUAUGGUAUUAUUCACAUGUACGAUAUUGUCUACGUUACUGUUUACGACACUGUUCACAUAGACGGAUCGAUGAUGUGGCAUUGACCGAUGAUGUGGCAUUGAUUGAUAAGGUGUCAUGAUUCCAUUGAAGAAAAUUCUUAUGCACUGUUGAUCGGUGAUGUGGCAGUAUGUUAGUGGAUAAAAAAUUACGCGGACGAUACAUGCAUAUACACAGGAUUAUUUUUCAACCAAACUGCAUCAUUGUUCAAGCCGGUUGACUGUUCAAACCGCGUGGUCAAACCGCGUACUGUUGACUGGUGACGUGGCGCAAUCUUGAGCGUCCAAACUGUUUUUGAUCCGAUGACUAUGAUUUACUCAAUGUAUCUAUAAAAAGGGGGCUUCCCCCCUAAUUUGGCAUCUCCAAAUCCAUUUUUGGGCUCUAUUUUCUGUAAUUCCUUCUCCAUCUUGUAUUUUCUACAUAUUUUAAUAAAUUCCCAUUUUGCCCCUAAUUCAAUUAUGAGUAUGUAAUUUUCUUUAAAGCUUGGGUUAAAAGUGGAGUCUCAACAUGUGUCAUGGGCUUUAUUUAGUAAAUUUAUUUUCUCUUCCCCUCUAGUUUUUGUGGAUGUUUUGACUUCUCGUCGACAAAUAAUGAUAAUCUUGUUUAGAUACCGCCUUGGUUUCACCGGCUCCUUAGUACAAAAUUAUAAUUAUUUGGCACGAUAAGCCCUUAACACCAUAUUGAUUAGAGUGUGGUUCAUGAGGUGUGAAUUUUCCCCUCAUGAUUUAAUUGGCACUAAUAAGGAAUAUUUAGCCCAUGGUACAUGUUGAUGUGGAUCUAGAUACUCAAGAGCUUCAAUUAUUAUAGUUUCCACUUUAAUUUAAUUCUGCCAUUUCAAUUAAAAUUUUAGGAUAUUUCAAAUCACUUCCACCACAAAUCCAACCACCCUCAUAGAAAAUUAAUUAUACAUAUAAUUAAAAUCCACCUCCUCGUGGGAUCAACACUCGUCACUAUUGAUCUAUACUACAAUAGAUUCGUGCGCUUACGAGUUCAAUAAAAUUUACACAACACACUCCAGAAUUUCAAGGGAAGACUUGAAUUGCUAAUCAUACUUCUUAUCAUGUCUAUAAUUGUUAUAUAUUUCCUUUUAGCAACACCAUUCUCCUAUGGUGUGCUAGGUAUUAUAUAUAUUAUGCAAUAAUGCCUUAUUCUUCGAGAAAUUUUACAAAUGGACUAGGCAUUUAUUGUUAGCCUAUAUGGCUAUAGAUAUUAAUUUUGAUUUCAAGUUAUGAACUAAAAUGAAAGAAUUCUACAAUCUUUGAUUUUAAUAAAUAUUGUUUUCCAUUUUGGAUUUGGACCUAUUUGAAAGUAUUUAAAUAAUUUUGAGUCAAUCUAUAAUUUCACAUGUUUUGGGUCAUAUCAUAAUUUCAAAAAGUUUUGGGAUUAAAAAAACAUUAUUUAAAAUUGGACUUAUUUAAAAACUUUCAUAACGUUUUGGGUCAUAAUAUAAUUUUAUAAAGUUUUAGGGUCAAACUAUAAUUUUAAAAAAUAGUUCACUGUAGUAAGCGGCUAUCCGAUCUUGAAAAAUGGUAGACCGGAUUUGGGCAGAAAGCUUCUGGAAGAUAUACGGCUAUCCGGAUUUCAUAAGCGGCAUAUCGGAUUUCAUAAGCGGCAUAUCGGAUUUUCAGAAAUUCAAAAUUUUGGCUGUAAUGGUAACAUUAAGCAGCUAACCAGAUGUCCAUAAACGGUAAGCCAGUUAUGACCAAAAUGUGCAUAACGGCUAGUUUUUGAGCUCAAACUAUAAAAACUCAAAUCCAAUUCAUUUUCAUCCUCUCCAACAAGAAGAAACAGCAAGCACACAACAUAUCUUGAGCUCUCAAUUCGCAAGUCAUUAUUCAUUGAAUCAUUGUUGUUUUUCAAUUUGUACAUCUACUCUUUAAGAUAGUUUUUGUUGUAACUUUCAUUUCUUUAUCUUAAUUGUGAGUAUUUGAGUGUGUAAGACACUUGAGUGAAGAGAUUUGAAGAUAAUCUCUUUGUUGUAAAGGUUCAUCGACGCCUUGAAGUCAAUUGUAAACGUUUAAAGCCUUGGAAGGCUUGGAUAGUGAAACCCUCAAGCUUAGAUCGCUUGGAGGCGUGGACGUAGGCGGAAAUUGCCGAACCACGUAAAAAUUCGUAUUUGUUUCUCUUCUCUCUUACUCAUUCGUUACUGUGCUUUUAUUGAACUUAUUGCUUUCGAAUUUAUUGAGGUGUUAGAUUGGAUUGUUGUGUGGCUUUGUUAGGAUAAUUUUUAAAAUAUCAAUUUACCCCCCCUCUUGGGUUGCACACUUGUAUUUCAUUUAUUUUUUGUAUAUCUUCCAAAAUAUUCUUUACCCCUAUCAGAUCUUACAAUUUUGAUUUUUCUUUCUUUUUGUCUCUCUGCUUCUACUUUAUAAAUCUUAAAAGCAUCAAAUGCUUCUUCUUUAUGAUUUAGAAAAUAGUGAUACAUGUAUCUUGAAUGGUCAUCUAUAAAUGAGAUAAAAUAUCUCUGACCAUUUAGACAAAUAGUGGAAAAGGGUGCACAACUAUUAGUAUAUAUAAUCUUAAGAAUUUCAAUGCUCCUCUUAGUACCUUCAAUAGUCUUGUUAGUUACUUUUCUCUUAAUGCAGUUUAUACAAGAAUUAAAAUCAGUAAAAUCAAGACUUUGUAAAACUCUAUCAUUUACUAAUCUUUUAAUUCUCUCUAUAGAGAUAUGUCCUAAUCUCAUAUGCCAAAGUUUGAAGGCAUUCUCAUUAGUAAUACAACAAUUAAUGCCAAUAUUUGCAUCAUGCAAAGUAAAAAGAUUAAACUCAGAUGUGGGAUCUAAAUUUAACUUAUAUAAACCAUUAAGUCAAAUACAAUAGCAAAUAAAAUUAUUAUUAUUAUUAUUAUUAUUAUUAUUAUUAUUAUUAUUAUUAUUAUUAUAUAUUAUAACCAAUUAGUUCAAAACAAAUUUAAAUCCUAAUGAAACUGGAUGAAUAACAAAAAUUAAAUUUCUAGAAAAUGUGGGUACAUAAAGUGUGUUUUCAAGGUCUAAAUAAAAACUAGAUUUUAAAACCAAUUUAAAAGUUCUCACAGCCUUAACACUUGAUUGCAUUAUGAUUCCCUUGCUCAUUUGCUCUUGGAAUCAACCCAUCAUGUAUUAUUAGGGACAUCAAUAAAAUGAGAUUCAUGACAUACAUAAGAGAUAGAUUUAUCUUUCUUUUCUAGCCAUUUUUAUAUUUUUGGCAAUUCUUCUUUAUGUGUCCUUUUUUCUUACAAAAGAAGCACUAAUCCUUCUCACUAAAUUUUUUUAUUGGCACUUGCUUCUCCUUAUCCUUGGGAACACUUUUACUCUUUUGGGUAUUUCCUUUCACAUGAGAAGUUAAAUAGGCACUUUUUAACUUCUCAUGCUUCAAUCUCUCUUCUUUUUUAACACACAUGGUCAAAAGUUCAUUAAGAGACCAUUUUUCUUUAUGUGUGUUAUAUGAUAUUUUGAAUGGAACAUAUUCGUUAGGAACGGAAUUAAGAAUGAAAUAAACCAAAAAUGACUCAGACAUCUCUAUCUCAAGUGACUUAAGUUGAGUAGCAAUAUCCCUCAUUUCCAUUAUAUGCUCACCUUUAGUAUUAUCAAGCUUUAUGCUUGAAAGUUUUUGCAUUAGAGUGCUUGCUAAUGCCUUAUCAUGACUUACAAAUUGUUCCUCAACAACUUUUAUAAAAUCCUUAGCUUUAGUACAUUGUGGGAUAAAACCUCUAAUGCUUUUGCUGACAUGAGAUUGCAUGAAUAUCAAACUUAAGCGAUUAGAUCGCUCCCACUUUUCAUAUGUAUCUUUCUCACUUUGCGUACUUGAUUCCAUAGGAAUAGGUGGUUCAUCCUCACGAAGCGGCAAGUCAAUAUCCAUGCACCCCCGAAGAGAACUCUCUCUUUCCAGACAGAAAAGUUAUCACUAUACAACAACAGAACACGAGUAGAAUCACUGAAAUAAUUAGGAACCAUUGUAUAGGAGAACAAAAAAAUACAUUAAUGCUAUGAAAAUUUUAAUCUCACUACGGAAUUUACCAAUGUAAAAAUUUAGUUCUAAAUUCAAACCUUCCUAUGGGCAGAGGUUAUACAUGAUGUGUUGAAUGUACAUUAAUCUUUAAUAACAAGAAUAAAAAAUGUAUACACCAAAAUAAAAAUUCCGUACCCGUGGGCAUAGGAAAUUCUAAUUUUGAUGCUCAAAUUACCAUCUUAUUCUAAUUAAAUCUGUAUAAUAAUUAUUUCCCUUUGGGGCCAAAUAAUUAUAAAUUAAUCAACAUGUUCGUUGCCUUUCAUGUCUAAAAUAAAAUCCUUUACGACAUAUGAACAUGUGCUAUACAAAUAAUUCAAAAGUUGUGGCUGUAAAAAAUGUGAUGAUGUUUCAAUAAAGGCAUUAGUAGAACAUGAUCUAAAAAUUCAAUAAAUUUAUGUAGAUUGUAUAAUUAUUCUUUGGUAUAUCUAUCAUAUUUUAAGUAUAAGGCUAAAUAACACAAAAUGUAUUGCAAUCAUGAUUACGAUGAUUUCCACAAUAAUAUAUAUUCAUUAUUAACACUUAUUCAUAUCUUAGUGAAUUCAAGCAUUAAAAUCUUAACCAUGUGACAUGGUUUAAUACAUGUAUUCAUCAUAGCAUAUAAAGUCACGACCAUAUAAGAUCAAAACCAUAAACCGAAUGCAAACAAUAUUAUAUAACUAAACAACAAGAUCUAAAGGGAGGCUCUGAUACUAGGUGUAGUCUUAAUAAUAAUAUAUUAUUGAUAUAAAUUUAAAUAAUUUACAUACUUUCACCUCCAGUCAUUAUUGUUCAAGUUAAGUUUGAAGAAUACUUAAAAUCUUCUGAUCUAUUCAUAGUCUUUAUUUGGAGGGUAAUUCACAGACAGUUUCUAUUGGCUAGGUUAGGAACUCUUAUUAUAUAUAAUGGACUUCAUUCACUUUCCUCCAUUAAGAAAGUGAGUAAUUAUCUUUAUCUUAAUUUUAGAAAUAUAGAAUAAUUAUUCUCAUCAUUAUUUAACCAUAAAUAUGAUUAGUUUUAGUUUAUCUUAAAGUUAUGAAUGUGAGCCACAUUAGGGUGCUCGCAUGUAACACAUUUUUUGAGAUUAAUGCAAGUAUUAAUUUAAUUAUAAUGCUUGUAAUAUAUUCACGAACAAUAUUCAGAAUAUGCAUCCAACACAUGGGACAAGAUUUCAAGUCAACUUGGCUGACGGCUUCUUGUGAGCACGUUAAGGUUCAUUUUUCAUCAAGCUUGACCACAGGGAGUACGGGGGGUGGUUCAGGACAUGCAUUACUUUAUUCGGAAGACUCUAAAGAUUAAUUAUUUAUUUAUUCUUAGUGCCCGUUUUUUUUUUUUUUGGGUUUAAUCGUCUGGAAGAAUAUUAAAUUGUGGAAACUUUAUAGAAAGUUAAUUGCAUUGUUAAUUUUACUCUUAUUUAUUUUUUUCAAAGGGGUAUCUUGCAUAGUUUUCUUCUUUUUCCCUAACUCACAUUAAUUAAUUUGUUUCCAUGAGUACCCUAAUUAUAAGCCACAUGCACGUUACAACAACUUAUGUAAAAAAAAAAAUCAAGUUUUUGGGUGAAAACUUCAUGCAUAAUAUUAUUUUUAUUAUUUUUUAUCAAAAUUACAAUUUAAAAAUUAUAUUAAAAAACAUUAUAACACAAUUUUUUUUUUCGCUUUACUAUCAAUCAAUGCCUAACCCCUCGAAACCAAAUUCAAUUUAAGUAUUACACCAAAAAAGAGGAAGAUUGUUAUUUAAAGUCGGAGAAAUUCUAAAAUACCUCUGAUGUUUUACAACCAAUUAAUGCAUGCAUGACAUGUGUGGUUAAAUUUAAUAAAACCAUCACUUACAUUAUGAUUUUUCAAAGUCGAAAAGGAAGAUGGCUAGCUAAAGUUGAGGUCAAACUUUUUACACAAUAACAUAGCGCAUAAGCACCAUUCAUCAAAGUCGUAAAAGUCAAGGGAGCUAUGUAAUCAUCUCUAAUUUAAGUAAUUUUUUUCACUUUUAAUUUUAUUAAAAAUCUAUUUAAAAAUUAAUAAAAGCCCAAACCGCCUAAAAUGCCCUACAAUUUGCCAAAUUUGCCAACCCUAAAUCUAAUUCAACCACUGUUGACUUUCCGCAUGGGGCAUGCAUCCAUUGAAGACUUUUGAGAAAGAAUACGCGAGAGGAAGGAAUAGCAUCACUUCAGAUUGGAUCCUGAGAAGAAAAAGAAGACGAUGAAGAUGGCGUCCAAAACCUAUGAAAAUAACCAAGAAUCACAUAUUCAAUAUUCACUCAUUAAUUUUUCAUUUUGUAUUCAACAUAUAAUUAGUUUAUUCCAAAUCACGUGAGCAGUCAUUGUGAAGGUCCCUUUUAUUCAUUUGAAUUGAAUUAGGAGAAAAAUAUAUCUUCUACCAUAUUCCAGUAUGUUUCUUAGAAAGAAUGUAAUCAAAUUCCUUUAAUUGUUUCUUACUGGAAAAAUCUUCUUUUUAUAUUCUAUUAAUAGUGCUAAUAGAAAAUUAAUUUUUAAUUAUACCGAAAGAAAAUAGAUAUCAAAUUUUUAAAAAUAAAAUUCUAAAUAAAUGAACAAAUAGAGUUUUUUUUUUUUUCAAUUCAAAACGUCCCGUGAUCGUCAAUCAAUUCGGUGCUUGAAUAUAUUAACUAGGGGUAAGGGCAACAACUUAUUUCCAAUACUCAGUAGCUUGAUUGAACCAAGUCUCCACAAUUUUAGAAUCUCUUUGUUUAAUGACUCGAUUCCUGUGGUCGAAAUAGGAGGCUGUUUUUUUUGUCUCAUAUAGCUUAGCAGUCAAUUCUUUUGGUAUCUGGGGUUUUUGAAUUUAGUAUAUCAAAUUGAAUGAGAUUUCUCGUAGCUUAGCAAAACGUUUGGCUGCAUUCCUUUUCUUCUUCCCAAUUAAUUUUAUAUUUUUAUCGAAAGCAUUUUAAAAAAAAAAAAAAAAAGAUAGAGGGGCGUGUAAAGCAUAAAAUUACUGUUUUAACUCCUCUACUUAAGAUUUGAAUUUGAAUUCAAAUAACCAAUUGAUUAAAAUUGUUUUGACAUCAACCUCUUUUGUCUUAGUUGAUUUGGCUUUGCUGCACCCUGAAUCGAUGCAAAAGCUUAUUCGUCAAUUCCUUUUGCUCAAUUGUAAUUAUAGAGAUAAAUUUUUUGAGUGAAUUUAAGAAAAAGAAAUUAAAAAAAAAAGAGUUUUGAAAGAGUGCACAAUAACUCACUGAUUGAGCGCUCUAGCGCGGAAGAUGGACGGAAUAAAGCGAUCUGCCGAAGCUGUGGGAUAUAAAGAUGCUAAAUCACUAAACAAAUACUAGCUAACGGACCGAACCCACCGCCAGUAACUAAAGAUUGCUCGGGGGUGGAUCCAGUCGGUGGGGCCUAGGGACAAGUAACUUAAACGGAACAUGUGCCUUGUCCUAAUUCAUGCAUGUUCGGAUCUUUCUAUACUGCUUUACCAGAUUCCAACAAAGGGCCGAAAAAAAGGCCAUCACCACACGGUUUCCUUCUUGUUAAUUGUUACUAUUAACUCAUGUGAAUCUGGGUUUAUCAAUGUUAGAAUGCAGUCAAUUCUUUUGGUAUCUGGCUUUAUUCCAUUUUUUUUUUUUUGGGUGAGCAAAAGAGGUUAAUCCAUGAGCAUGAGUUUCGAACUUGACCUUUGAUUAAAACAAUAAUCAGCUUUGUUUUCAUUUUAUCUUUUCUCUCAUUGUCAGAAUAAUAACAUCGAAACAUUUCCACUAUAAUUAGAAUUUUUAGAAAUGUAUCUAUUUGGUUUUCAUAUAAAAAUUAAUAUAAAAUCUUUUAAAAGGACCUUCCUUACUAAAAAAAGAUAAGAUUUACUGUCUUUGGAAUUUGAUGCUAGACCGGUGCUCAAUAGUUUAAGGGAUUGACUUUAUUACAUAAAUGGAUUCCUUACUUAAAUAAGCAGUUAUUGAUAGAUCACAAUUAGCUCAAAACCUCGCGAAUUGGUCAUUAUAGUACUCCCUCUAUCAAUUAUAUCUAGGGAUGGCAAUGGGGAGGGGAGGGGAGGGGACCAAUCUCCCCAUACCCAUCUCCGAUAUUUUGUUAUGUCCCCGUCCCCUCCCCGUCCCCGUCAGAAUUGCUUAAGUGAAUCCCCAUCCCCUCCCCGAAUAAUAACAGGGGAUCCCCGAGGGUCCCCGGUCCCCGAAUAAUUAAUAGUCUAAUACAUUUUUUUUUUAUUUUAAAUUAAUCAUAUUAAAAUAAAAAAAUUCAGAUAAAAAUAAAGUUCAAAAUAUAUCUUGCAUUAAUAUUGAUCCAUUUCAAAGUCACAUUCAAAAUAUAAAUUAUUAAAAUAAUUAUCUUUGUCAAUGACUCAAUCUUCAUAAUCCUACAAUAAAAAGAAAAAAAAUUAUUUUUAUAUCGGCAAUAAAAUAAAUGUAGAUAUUUAAUUAAUAUUUUUAAUAAAACUAUUUACCUCCUGCUCCUCCUGUUCUUCCUCGAGAAAUGUGGCAAAUUGAGAGCUAGCCUCAGAUUUUAAACCUAAAACAAUGAAAAUGAUAUAAGUAACGUAACUUAUAAGCGCAAAUAUUAAUAACUGUAUAAUAUAAUUACAAUGUAAAAUAAACUCAUAUUGCUAUUGUAAGCUCGUAACCAACUUUGACAGCACAUUAAGGCCUCCAAUGUACUUGGAUGAAGUUUGUUACGGUGUGCGCUCACAACUCUACCACCGGUGCUAAAAGCUGAUUCAGAAGCAACUGUUGUAAUUGGAAUUGCCAAAAUAUCUCUAGCAAUUCGAGCUAAUGUAGGAUACGAAUUAGGAUUAGAACUGUUGUAAAUUAUAAUUAGGCAGCUCUCUCCUGUAUCAUUGUGGUUUGGAUUAAAAAUUUAAGACUUUAAUUAGUUAAUUAAGUUUAAAAGUUUAAUAAUAUAACUAUUUUAAUAUUUAUUAUUUUUAACAAUAUUUAUAAUUUUGUUAUUUAUUUAUUAGUAAUUUUAAAAAUAAAAAUAAAAUUAAAAAUUAAAAUGGGGAAAUGGGUAGGGGAUGGGGAUUCCACCUCAUCCCCGUCCCCUCUCCGAAUAAAAAAUUGGGUAAAAAAUUUUCUCUGUCCCCUCCCCGAAUAAAAAAUUGGGUAUAAAAUUAUCCCCGUACCCUCCCCGAAUGGGGAAAAUCCCCGAAGGUAUCCGUCCCCGUGGGGAUUUUUGUCAUCCCUAAUUAUAUCAUUUAUUCAUAGAAUAAACUAUCUAGGCAUAUCAGAUUUUUUCAUAACUUCUAUGAAGUUCCAUUACAUUAUUGACUUAGAAUUAUAACUUUUUCUAUUUGUUAUUUUUAACCCAAAAAUUAUAUUAUGCUGAAAAUUGUGAAAAUUAGCAGGAGCAUAGGCAUAGCGAUUAGCAAAUUUUAAUUAAUGGACCGGCGAAGUGUUCGAAUCCUGCAAAAUAAAUGGUUGAAAAUUUGAUUUUGAUUCUUAUUACUUGCCGACCCCUAUUUUCAAAGAAAAGAAAAUUAACCAUCAUCUGUAUAACUAUUGUAAUCGACUAUACAGGCAAUCAAUAAUUCAUUUUUAAAAAUAAUUACUAAUCCACGACGUAUUUCUUUUACCAUUGUAUUCUCUAGAUUCUCUAUUUAUUUAUUGAAAAUUAUUUUUGGGAGAAAAGAAAUCUUGCUAAUACAACAAAGUAUAAAUUUAUAUUUAAAGUUGCUACAAGUACGAUUCUUGUCAAUUUCUGUUCUUAAAGUAUCACUUUUUUUUUUCUACAAAUAAAACGAAAACGACUGUAUAUUGUUGUAUUAUUAUUAUUAUUAGGGUCCACCUAAGUUACAUUUAACGUAACUUACGGCUUGGUUGUGAAAUUUCAUCCAGUCCCCCAUAUUUGAUGUUAUUUAUAUUAUAUUCAUGAAUAUUAUAACAAUUUCUGAUUUGAAAAAUUUCGUUUAAUCUCUUACACUUAAUUUUAUUUUAUUGAAACCCUAGAGUACGAAUUCGCCCCCUAUAAUUUUAAAUUCUCAAAAUAACCUCAUUUAAUUAAAAAUUUUAAUUAUUAUUAAUUUAAUUAUAAUUAUAAUUAUAAUUAUUAUUUUAUUAUAAUCAUAAAUAUAUUUAUAUUUUUUAAUAGAUUAUUGUUAUUAUUAAUUACAAGAAUAAAAAGUAUUACAAUUAAUUAAUCUAUUAACAAUAAUUAAUAAAUUUUUUCUUAAAUUGUUAAUAAUAAUAAUAAUUAUCUAUUAAUAAUUAAUUUUGAAUAAUAAUAACAAUAAUAAUAAUAAUUAAAAUACAAAAUAAUGAUUAUGAUAAAAAUUAAUUAAGGAUUUUAUAGCAAUUGGUUAUAAUGUAACUCAUUCUGAUUUUAAUUCUAAGACAAAAUAAACACAUAAAUUAUAAUAUAACUAAUUCUAAUUACGAUUUCUUCAGUUCAAAUAAAUAAAUUAAAAUAAUAAUUAUAAUUAUAAUUAAUUUAAUAAUAUAUUUUCUCAAAUAUUUAUUUUUAAUUUACUUUUUUUUUCUAACAACCAAUAUAUUUUCAUCGAGUUAAAUUUGAUGUACAUCUUAUUCUAUUGUAAGAUCUUACAAAACGUGAUUAUUUUCAAAAGUUAAAAAAAAUCCACACACACACACACACACUCUCUCUCUAGAAAAUGUUUCAGAGAAAAAUAAAUGAAAUAAACAAAAUAACAUUAUAAUUUAUUUACUUGAACUAAAGAAAUUGUAAUUAGAAUAAGCUGUAUUACCAUUUAUGUAUUUAUUUUAUUUUAGAAACAAAAUCAGAAUGAGUUAAAUUGUAAACCAAUUGCUAUAAAAUCUUUAAUUAAUUUUUAUUAUAAUUAUUAUUUUUUAUUUUCAUUAUUAUUAUUGUUAUUAUUAUUCAAAAAUUAAUUAUUAAUAAUAAUUAUCGUUAAUUAUUAUUAUUAUUAACAAUUUAAGAAAUUUUUAUUAAUUAUUGUUCAUAGAUUAAUUAAUUGUAAUAAUUUUUAUUCUUGUAAUUAAUAAUAACAAUAAUCUAUUAAAAAUAUAAAUAUAUUUAUGAUUAUAAUAAAAUAAUAAUAAUAAUAAUUUAAUUAAUAAUAAUUAAAUUUUUUAAUUAAAUGAGGUUAUUUUGAGAAUUUAAAAUUAUAGGGGGCGAAUUCGUACCUAGGGUUUCAAUAAAAUAAAAUUGAGUGUAAGGGAUUAAGCGAAAUUUUUUAAAUCAGAAAGUUUUAUAAUAUUCAUGAAUAUAAUAUAACUAACAUCGAAUAUGGAGGGCUGAAUGAAAUUUCACAGCCAAACCCUAAGUAACUUAGACGGACCCUUAUUAUUAUCAUACAUAAAAUCCAUAUAUUCUCUUUACUUAGGAAUUCUAUACAAUUACAUAAAAGAAAAACAAUAUUAAAAUUUCCAAAUUCUAACAAAUAGUUUCGUGAAAUUAAAUUAUGUUUUUUAAUUGAUUUAUUUCCAUGUCUUACAAGAUCAGUCAUUGAAACGGGUAACAAAUACAAAAUCAAAAGCAUGGUCUUUACACAACAGCUGCAGCAGCACUAAAGCAUGAAGAGCAAAAGCAGCAACGUAAACGAUACUAAUCAUCUCAAUAAAGAAGAAAACAAGAAUCAGCCAAAGAGAGAGAUUAGUUCGCCCUCAACCCUCGAUUCUAGAUUCAAUCAAAUCCUCAGAAAUGUCCAAGGGUACGCUAAUAGCUUUUCCCAUUCCUCAUUUCUCACAAAUUUUUGUUUUUCCCAUCAGAUUUGAUGACCCAUUUGAGAGUUAUGCAUAGAUCUUUGAAUUCUGUUUUCGGUAUAUAUUGUUUCAUUAGUUUCUUGCUGAUAAUUGUGGUCUUAGUUUAGAUUUAGGACACAUUUGGGUAAUUAUUUAGAGUUAGGCUUGGUGAUUGUAGAAUUUGGCUUUGAUCUUUGGGAUUUCACGAUAUGGUUGGAAAAUUUGACUUGGGUUUGGCUGAUUUUUGAAGAAAAUAAUUGAGUGAUUCAUGCAAGUUCGACCAAAUCCUUGCUUUCUGCGAAAAUAUAAGGAGAGAGAACAAAUGAAGGUUAAUUUGGGUCUAGAAUAUUAGUGAAAUGGAGGGCAAUUUACAGUGGGAAUUAUUCCUGGCUCCUGUGUUAGAUUUAAUGAUAUGAUUCCUGCUUUGAUGUUUAUUGAAGGAUGCUGAUGUGUUUUAAAUUUGAUGACUCGUAGUAACAUGCGUACUAUGAUGACUCCUGCUUUGAUGUUUAUUGAAGGAUGCUGAUGUGUUUUAAAUUUGAUGACUCGUAGUAACAUGCGUACAAAUGAAGGUUAAUUUGGGUCUAGAAUAUUAGUGAAAUGGAGGGCAAUUUACAGUGGGAAUUAUUCCUGGCUUCUGUGUUAGAUUUAAUGAUAUGAUUCCUGCUUUGAUGUUUAUUGAAGGAUGCUGAUGUGUUUUAAAUUUGAUGACUCGUAGUAACAUGCGUACCAUUGUUAGAAAGUUCACACAUUUCUCUGUGCUUCAUUGUAUUUAACUUAAUUUAUGGUGUGAGAUUUUGUUUAUAUCAAUGUCACCAUAAUAAAUUGCAUACGUUAUCAUUUUGUUUCCAAAAAUUGCUUAAUCUAUUUGCUUUGAUAGUGGUCAGACACACUCUGCAUGAGAUCAUUUCUGGCUUCUGAUAUUUGUAUUGGUUGCUUCUGUGUCUAAUACAAAGUUUUUUGAAUUUCUAGCAUCUUUUAUUAAAACCAACUGAUAAGAAGAGGAUGACGCUGGUAUUGUUUCUGUUGAAUGAUUUUAUUUGUAAUUGAAACCUGACUGAAAAAUCUCGAUAUUGCCUGGUGGAUUUUUCCUCAGAGUGUACCCUCUUCUAACUGUUCUUUGGGGGCAUUGAACCCCAUCUUAGCUGCUGACUGGUGUCCUCCCCUUCCUAAUACCUAAUACAUGGUUCCAUCUGUGGAGCCUAAAAUUAAAGCAUGGCAUGGCAGUAAGCUAUAUGAUGGCCUAGUCUCCUGCUCAGCCUUCGCCUUCUUCUAUGUCUUACUCUCUGUUUGUCUAUGCAAUACAUAUUGUAUGUUAUUGACUCAAGAAUGGCCUUCCAACUACCAUCACACUGUAGAGCCGGAGUUCACUGACAGCGCAUUUACUCUAUAACAGAAAGAGGAGGAAUUGCCAUAGUUCAGUUUGUAUGGAUUUUUCAGCGUUAGCUAUUAGACUAGACACCAAUGAGAUAGCUUAUCUUCACUACACAAAUUAGAGUCCUAGAUUUUGUUAGUUCAGCUAGUGAUGCAUCUUGCGGCAGUAUUUAUUCUUUUUUGUUUCUAAUUUUUUGAAUAUACAUGCACAUUCUUUGAACAUACAUACAUUUCAUUUAUUUUUUUUGAGUAUUUUAUAAGUUUGUUUUUGUACCGUUGCUUUUGAGUAUUUUAUACAUGCACCCCAGAACGCUCCCCUACUUUUGGAAGGAGUUUUUCAGAGAAUGACACUGGCACAAGUGACCAUGUGCAGAAUCCUAUGGAGGUAAUAUUCGAUGAUAUUUUCAUUUUAUUGAUAAUACUGAGAUUUAAGUACCCUGUGGUAUUCUUUUAUUAAGGAUUUAAUUGGUUGUUUCAUUUAUAAUGCAGGUAGAAGACCCGAGUAGAGGCAAGUCAAAUAAUGGAAAUGUUAAUAAGUUAAAGUCAUCACCAUCAAAUAUUGAGAAUACAUCAAAAGGAGCUCAUAAGUCUCCCAUCGGUACUAGAGCUACAGAUUCUGCAAGGGUUACAAAAUUCACGAAGGAGCUCUCUGCACCAACAGUGAUAUUAGGUUCCAUGCUAUUUAAUGUCUCAUUUAUGACAUUGUAUAUAUUAACUCGUUAUGAUAACUAGUAAAUUUUCUGAUGUUGUGUGUCAAAUUUUAGAUGCUAAGGAAUAAGGUAGAAAAAUAUACCAGAAACUGUUUAAAUAUUCAUCUGUAACUUCUCUCUAUCGCAUAUGUAGACAAACAUACACAAAUCUAGAGUCAAUGUUGCUAUUAUUUGUAUUUCUGGAUAAUGCUUAAUGCCUUUUUGGCUGUAAGAUUUUUUAAAAGCAUUCUUUGUUCCUCAAGAAAUAUGCUACAGAACAAGCAAUAUGGUAAAAACCUGUGGAAACUAUUUCUUUUCCUCUAACUAUCAUAGGCAUAUUGAUGAUAAUCUUUUUUAAAUUAAGGUGUAAGGAAAAGGUAUCUAGUGAAAAUUUACACUGAUAAAAAUGAAUUUUUAGUUUGGUUAUUUUUAUAUUUAACUCAUUUUAAAGGAGACCAUAAAUCUGUUCAUGCAUUUGGAACUGUUUCGGUAUGUAAAUUGUUCUAUUUAAGGUGAUAUUUUGGGAUCCCUAUGUUGCUUGUUGUUUAUUCCUUAACAUUUGUCCCUUUUAGUUUAUUUGCUUUAUUUGUCAAAAAAGUGAGAAAAAAUGAUAUAUGGUCCUGCUAUGAAGUUUUCAUUUCUACAUUUUGCAACUAGUGGCAUCGUAAUUAAUUUGAUAUCAUCAUUUUAUUCUUUUUUUCAGUAUAGCACUUUGAUUUAAACAAAUUGUAUCUGAAAAAACUUUACCUGCAACUCAUUUGGUUUUGAUUGAUUUUGGGAAUACUAUUUUUUGUCAAUUAGCUUAUCACAUUUAAUAUAAUUCCUUUCUUUACCCGGUCAUGCAGAGAGAUUACGCGAGUUAGCUUGGAGUGGUGUACCACCGUACAUGCGCCCUACUGUAUGGAGGCUUCUUUUGGUGAGCUUGAUGCUCUAAGACUUGGGAUCAGUUUUAAGUAACAAUGUGAUGAAAAAUUUGAGUUGGAUAAUAUUAUUGGUCAAUUAUGCUUGAGACUAGCUUGUCUUAUGAGAAAUUGUGGGAUGGGUUUUCUGUUGUUGAUCUGUUCAAGACUUUCUGCAUUUUUUAGAUGUCAAAUGCUAAUCUUAGCUUUCUAAAACUUUACCCUCUUCAAAAUGGUGCUAAUAUGGUAUAAGCAAUCUUGCCCUUGUGGUAAUUUAUGUUUUUCUAUACGAUGACAAACAGACACUUACGGUAUAGCUCCUUGCAAACUUUGUUAUCAGUUGAUCUGUGCUAACUUUGGUGUGAGGGAGGAAUGGAAUGAUGAGAAAGCUUGCUUGCACCCUUUUUAGUGUAACAGAAUUAUUUUCAGCAGCUAUUGCCUUUGACUUAUGGUGAAGAUUGGGCUUUGAAAGUUGGCUAUGAAUAUUCGUUCUAUUUGAAACAAUCCAUGAAAUUUCAGUUUCUCUUCUGAUUUUAAGUUGUCUAUUGCAACGGUUAAAAAUACAGUGGUCUGUCACCAUCCAAAUGCUGGGAUUUACCUAAUUCCGGCAUCAUUUUACUGACAGUUAUCUUUAUUGAAUAUAGUUUCAUUACUGUUUGAAAUUUAAAUAUGAACUGACAACAGGGAUAUGCACCACCUAAUUCAGAUAGAAGGGAGGGAGUCCUAAGAAGGAAGCGUCUUGAGUAUUUUGAUUGUGUUGCUCAGUUUUAUGACAUCCCAGAUACUGAACGUUCAGAUGAUGAAAUCAACAUGCUUCGCCAGGUAUUUUCAGCAAAACUGAUUAUCCAUCUUGAUCUUUAUUGAUCUUUUCAAAUGAUCACUAUCAAAUACUUGAUAGUGAUCUUUCUUGUCUUUGUUAGAUUGCUGUCGAUUGUCCAAGAACUGUGCCUGAUGUUACUUUCUUUCAGCAAGUGCAAGUUCAGAAAUCCUUGGAGCGCAUUCUGUAUACAUGGUUAGAUGCUUUGUUAUCCUUUUACACUUAGUUACACCAAUGCUUUUAUGACACUCUGUGCUAGUAGCACAAAAUUUUUAUGAGUGCGUUAGCUCAAAGUAAAUAGAAGGAUAAGAUUUUCAGUUGAUAGUGAAUAUUUUAGCAGUCAAUUAGAUCUUCAAUUUGGUAAACGAAUUCAUGCUUUUGGUUAAGUCUUACUUCUCAACUACACGUUGAAAUAUACAUAUACUAGUCUCAUCCAUCUAGUGGCCGUAACAUGCUUGGGUUCUUCUGCCGUCAAAGAUCCUGAUCUUGAUUCAAAUUGAUGGGUGAUGACCAUGAUAUGGUCACAAGAUAUGUUUGUUUGAAUUUUAAUAUGCAUUUGUUAUGAUCGAAUCAAGCUCAAAAUACUGUCAGCUCCUUUUGAUCCACAAGUUGUAUUAACUUUGUCUGUAUCUUCUUGAUCCUCAAUAGUAAAGAAAGUUUCCAAUCUCAUUCUGUUUAGUUAAAAGAUUGGGGUUGCCUUUAUGUGGAUGCAUUCUAUGCUCCAAACUAAAAAAUACCACGAUUUCCUUAUUGUGUGUGUAGUUUACGUAUUAAGACUUUCAGACGUUUUGAAAACUCUGUACAUUAUUUCUCACUUGUUCUGCUUUCUUUCCUAUUUUGCACUAAAAAAGCUUUUGAACUUACAUGUUGAGUUAUUGAUCUGGAUUAUGUCUUGUUCUUCAGAAAUGAUCCAUUAGUUGUGAAUCAUAGGUCCUGAAAGUUGAUGUGGAUGUUGCGACUAAGUUCUGUCAAUGUUUAAUGUUGAAGGCUUUAUUUUUCUUUUUUGUUUACUUAAUGGACAGCUGGUCCACUUCACCUUACUGAAUCUUCAUCUUUAAUGUUAAAUACAAGUUUCAUUUUUUUAUUAAAAAAUAAAAAAGAUUUAUAGCCCACUUUUUUAGCACAUACCAGUUGAUGGUUUUCUACCUAACAUUAAGGAGAAUCGAAUUCUGAGUUAUUCCUCAAUUUUGGAUCUAUAAUAUAGCACUAACAUGUGCUAGAUGAAUUAGCUUUCCGUGCAUUGGUUCAUUGUGCAAAUCUGUAUCAUGCUGUCUAAUUUUUCCAAUGAUAUUUUUGCUUAAUUUCUCCUUCUGCACAUUCUUUGGUGGUGAAUAGUCCCUGUAGCAUAGUAACUUAAUAGCCUCCUGAAACCUGGUAACUCUCUGCUCUCAAUGUUUUAGCGAGAAAAAAGAUGCUGGAUGAUACGGUUAAUAUGGACUUAAAAUUUCCUCAGUGGGGUAUAUUCCAUCAUUAUUGUAGUGACACUGGCAAUUGUUAUUUUAUUGUUGCGAUAUGUUUACCAUUUUUUUUUUUUUGGGUCAGGGCCAUUUGACAUCCUGCAAGUGGAUACGUUCAGGGGAUAAAUGAUCUUGUUACACCCUUUCUCGUUGUUUUCCUUUCAGAAUAUUGAGAAGGGAGUGUGGAUGAUUGGUCAAUAUCUGAUAUUACACCGGAGAAAAUAUCUGACAUAGAGGCUGAUUGCUAUUGGUGUCUAUCAAAAUUGCUUGAUGGUAUGCAAGAUCAUUACACAUUUGCUCAACCAGGAAUCCAGAGGCUUGUGUUUAAGCUAAAGGAAUUGGUUCGCCGGAUUGAUGGUAAACCCUUAUUACGGCCUUUAGUUCCUCCUAUUAAUAUUUCCCACAUAUGAAUUAAGUUGCAUUUACUUUUGAGUAAAUUAAGUCUGCUAAUUAGUUCUCAGGUUUUCUAAUAUGAUGGUGAUUUGCUUGGUGGUUAAAUUCAUGAUGGAUCCUUUGGUCACUCCUUUGAAAGCUCACCUCUAGAGCCCUUCAAACCAUAUCCCUUAUUGUUGCAGAUGAUAAUUUACUUGAGUGUUAUAUUGUUUGCAGUAACAAUAUCAGAAGUACUUACUUUUGGAUUUUAAUUUGCUUGAUAAGCUUAUGAUAGUAUUAUGCAUAUCUAAUUAAAGGGCUUCAAAUCGAAAGUUAUUUUUCCCCUUUACUGCCAUUAAAAUUUGGUGUUUUCCCUUGAGGGUUCAGCCUCAUUUCUCUUAAAAAAUUUAUAUACCCAGCCGCACUUGCUUUUACCUCAUGCAUGUGUAUGUUUACGAUAUUUGGGUUUGCUUCAAAUAGUAUUCCUGCCCUAUUAAGUAUUAACUAUUCUGUUCUUGAAACAGAACCUGUUUCAAAACACAUUGAAGAGCAGGGGCUUGAAUUUCUUCAAUUUGCUUUCUGUUGGUUUAACUGUGUUCUAAUACGCGAGGUAUGAUUUCAGCUUGCAUUACCAUUGUUUUCUUUUGCUAUAAUUUACUUCUAGUUCGCUUUUCUGUUUUAGUAAGAUAGUGGUCUUCCCCACUAAUCUCUAUUGGUCUCUUUAAGUUGUGACUGAGGGGGAUCAAUAUAUAAGAGUCAUCUUUUGCAUUAUUCGAAUUGAGCCGUGAGGAAAAUGGUUUUGUUUUAUCAGAUCCCAUUUCAUCUUGUUACACGAUUGUGGGACACAUAUCUUGCUGAAGGAGAUGCAUUGCCAGAUUUUCUUGUGUACAUAUUUGCCAGUUUUCUUUUAACGGUAAGAAUCUCUCUCUCUUCACCGGUAUAAUUUGCUUCUUUUUGCUUGUUCGAAUCUAAUAUUGGUUUAGAUGACAAGAAAAUCGGAAACAAGCACAUUUCAUAUUUGGUACAGCUUUUAAGCAAUUAAUCAAAAAUGGGAUUCCCAUUCUUUAUUUUCAAAUUGUGUUUGACCCACAUAAUUUAUUCCCAUUCUCAAAUAUAAUUUUGUCAAGUAAACAUAAUUUUGAUUCUCAUUCCUCCAUUCCCAUUCUCAUUCCUUAUUCCAAGAAGUAAACACACCAUUAAAUUUUUCUAUCAUAAAAAAUACUACAGUCCUUUUAAGUUGUACCAUUUACCUACUCUAAAUUUAUAAUAUAUAUCAUUCAUCCACCUAAUCGUGAGCUUCCAUUAGAAAUUUAGCAGAAUUACAGUAAAUUAAUCAUUUUGCUCUUGAAAUUUAAUUUAAUGCAAAAAUAGGUAGAAAAAUUAUCAGCCAUACAUAUACCUUAAGUUUAUCCAGUUAUAAAAAAUACAACAAAAGUUUGAAUUUAUUUGAUUUUCCACUCUAAGUUUGUAAUUUAUAUCAACCGUCCAUUAAAAUGUUAACACUAUUAGAAUAUUUAACAGAAUUUAAGUGAAAUGGUCAUUUUACCCUUGAAUUCAAGGACUUUUUAAAAUUUUCACAAUGAAUAAUAAAUAAAAAUUAAUUUUUUUAAUUAUGAGAUCGAAUUUAUGUAUUGGAUUGAUUGGGUGUUCAUGAAUUAGGGUUUAGGAUAAUUUGUGGAUUUAGUUUGAUUAUGUAAAUUUGUAAAGAGAAAUUGAGAAAACAAAUUAGAAUUUUUUGAUUAAUUAAAAAAUAGAGUUUUAAUUGUAUUUAAUUGAAUAUUGGUUAUAAAAAAUAGUUUUUUUCUUAUACGUUAAAUUAUUACUUAUUUUAUUUUGUAUUCAGCAUGUCAAAUGUCUAAAUUACCCUUGCAACAUCAUUAAUUAUAAACAAUAGUAAACAUUUUGGUGAACGGUUGAAACAAAUUACAAACAUGUGGUAAAAAAUUGAACAAAUUUAGAUUUUUAUAGUAAUUUUGAUAACAUGAUAAAGUUAAAGUGGAAGGCUAAUAAUUUUUCUUUUAUUUUUUGUUAAGGAUGUUAAAUUCUAAACUAUCCUUAUGAUGUCAUCACUUUCUAACGAAAGCUAUUGAUUUGGUGGAUAAAUGAUACAAAUUGUAAAUUUAGGGUGGAUGAAUAAUACAAAUUCAAAAUAUUAUAGUAUUUUUUAUAACAUGACAAUUGAAGAAUAUAUGACUGAUAAUUUCUCUCAUUUAUAUCAACUGAUCAUGAAGAACGGUAUUGUUUUCAAAAUGGAUUGACUGUCAAACUUUAGAUGCUAAGGAAUAAGGCGGAAGAUUAUCCCUUUUAACGGUUUCUAAUAUGCUUCUCUCUUACACAGAUGAACAUACACAAGGGUAGAGUCUAUAGGCUAUCCUUUGUAUUUCUAGACAAUGUUUAGUGCCUUUUUGGCUGGAUUUUUUUUUUUUUUUCUUUCAAAGCAUUCAAUACUUCGAGGAAUAUGCUACAGAACAAAGAAACAGAGUUGCCAGGCCUCUGUAAUGCAGACUCAACAUCGGGCAUAGAUGUCAGGAGAUUAGUCAAUGGAAAUCGUGACUUGUUGAGAGGAAAUACCAAAUGAUGGUGCUUGAGAAAACUAAGAGUUGUAGCUAGAUCAAAUACUGAAUCUGAAUAUGAAGCUUUAGCUCAAAGAGCUUCUGAGUUGACAUGCUCAUCCAUUGUGCCAUGAAAGCAAAUGAAAUCAUAUUGUAAUUGGCGUGCAAUUUAUAAUUGAGUGAGAAAGUAGCAAAUAAAAAGACUGACACUAGACAUUUUCCAAGCCAAGAGAAGUGGGCAUGUUGGUGAUACAUCUACUAAAUUAUUGGCAGGAGGGAGGUCCAACCAUCUUGAAAGCAGGCUCAAUGUUGCCAACAGAUAAAUAUUGCUUGAUGUGUAAUUUUUAGAUUAAAGACGCAAAAUACGACAUGAAGUGACGCUAGUAACAAUCAAUAAUGGAUGAUAAAAUUGGUGAAAAAGUUUAAUAUUAUCCAACCAAACUUAUGAAAUAAGAACCUUAAAUAUUAAAAUACACAUAUAAAAAAUUAAUUAAAUAAAAAAUAAUUUAUUUUAUUGUAAGAAGAGUAGAAAUAUACAGCUAGAUUGAGAACAAUAAAACCAGUCGUUGCCGGGAAACAAAGGCUUGGCAAAUUAUAAUGAUGUUGCCGCUGCCUAUUGAUAACUGAAUCACGUUAAGGGUGUUUUCGAGAUUGAGGUUAAAUGACUGUAAUUUAAAAAUUACAACAUUAAAGUGUUUGGAAAAAUAAGGUGUUUUCGAGAUUGAGGUUAAAUAACUGUAACUUAAAAAUUACAACACUAACGUGUUUGGAAAAACAAUAACUACUGUAGUUUGGAAGUUAUAUUAAUAUGGUUUUUCACUUGUAUCAUGAAAAAUUUAUUAUAUUUUUAAUAAUCUUGUCAAAAUUAUUAUUUAAAAUGUGUAUUUACUAUAAAUUAUUAAUUUUUAUUUUAUAAUUAUAAUAUUUUUUUUUUCACAAUUGUAACUCCUCAAUCCCAAACAGGGCCUACGAAUUAGAUUUAAUUUUUGCUUGCAAUGCUUUUGCACAUGAUUGACAAUAUGGGCCAAAAUAAUAACUAUUUUUGUUGCUGAUUGCGGUUCACAUGAACGAUCCAAGCCUAUUACACAAGUUGAAUAAUUCUGCCUCAUUUUGCUCGCUUUAAGCACAUUUAUUUCUCAAUCUUCAACUUAUUAUCAUGUUCAAUAAAAAUAAAUCAUUCAACUAAAAUAUAAAAAAAAAAACAAAAAUAGAGUUAGAGAGAAAAAUAUAUCAGCAAACCGUAGCCGUCGUGCAACUUCUCUAUGCUUCUGCUUUUUGUUGUUAUAAGUGCCAGGGAUAGCAAGAGAGGGGGAAGGUGGGGUGGGAGUCUGGGAGAGUUGAGCAAAAUGAAGCGCCUACUGCUCAUCAACUCUUUCUUAGUAAAACCGCCCCUUACGUUUGUAUUUUGAAUGCAGAUGCAAAAGCGAUAAUUAUCCCUUGGGUAGUUACCUAAAAUAGGUUGGGUCAGCUCAUCAUGGGCAACCGACUCCAUGUCUGACAACUGUAAAUGACAAUAAAAGUGACGGGUGCGCCUAAGUUACAGUUAAUGUCACUUACCGUUAGCCUGUAAAAAUUCGUCCUGUUCCCAUACUCUAUAUUAUUUAUAAUUUAUUCGUAAGUAUUAUAAAAUUUUUUGAAUUGUAAAAUUUUAUUUAGCCCCUUACACUCAAUUUUAUUUUAUCAUAAAAUUAAAAAAGUAUGAAUAAAGAACCAAAAAGUGGUGGAAAAAAGAGUUGAAAAGUUUAAUCUAAAAUUUGAAAAAACUUAUCAAGAAUCUGAUAAAGUCGAACAAUAAGUAGGAAUUUAAAAAAUAAUCUUGAAACAUCCAUGCAAAAUGUUGAAAUUCAAUUAAAAGAGUAGGAAUAUAGAACCAAUAAAUGGUAGGAAAAAGAGUGGAAGCGCUUAACCUAGAAGUUGAAAUGACUUGAUAAAAAAUUGAUAAAUUCUAAUGAAGAGUAGAAAACCAAAAAAUAAAGUUGAGACAUUCACCCAAAUAUUGGAAUUCAAUAAAAAGAGAAAGAAUAUAAAACCAAAAAGUGAUGGGAACAACAAUUGAAGAGUUUAACCCAAAAAUUGUAAGUACAUACCGAUAAUUUGAUAAAUUUCAAUAAUAAAUAGGAUCUAAAUAAUGAACUUGAAAUAUCAACGUAAAAUGUUAGAAUUCAAUGAAAAGAGUAGGAACAUAAAACCAAAAAGUGGUGGAAAAAAAAGUUGAAGAACUUAACCUAAAAUUCGGAAAGAGUUGUCAAGAAUAUGAUAAAUCCAAUAAUAAUUGGGAUCAAAAAAUAAGCUUGAAACAUUUAUGAAAAAUAUUGGAACUAAAUAAAAAGAGUAGAAAUAUAUAACCAAAAAAUAGUGGAAACAUGAGUUGAAUAACAUAACCUAAAAAUUUGAAGGACUUAACAAGAAUAUGAUAAAGUUUAACAAUAAGUCGAGAUAUAAAAAAUGAACCUGAAAUAUCCAAGCAAAAUGUUAGAAUUUAAUGAAAAGAGUUGGAAUACAGAACCAAAAAGUGACGAGAACAAGAGUAGAAGAAGUUAACCCAUAAAUUGAAAUAACUUACCAAGAAUUUGAUAAAUUUAAACGCGAAGUAGGGAUUUAAAAAGUAAAUUUAAUAUAUUUACUCAAAAUAUUGGAAUGCAAUAAUAAGAGCAGGAAUAUUGAACAAAAAAGUGGUGGAAGAAUAAGUUGGAACAACUUAGUAAUAACUAGAUAAAGUCUAACAUAAUAUAGAGAUAUAAAAAAUAAAAUUGAAAUAUCAACCUAGAAAUUUGGAAUUUAAUGAAAAAAGUGGAAAUAUAAAACCAAUAACUGGUGGAAAAAUGAGUUGAAAAAACUUAGCAAAAAUUUGAUAAAUUCUAACGGAAAGUAGGGAUUUAGAAAUUGAACUCAAAAUAUCCAAAUAAAAUAUUGAAAUUCAAUAAAAAGAGUAGGAAUAUAGAACUAAAAAGUGGUGAGAACAAGAGUUGAAGAAAUUAACUCGAAAGUUGAAAUAAUUUACCAAUAAUUUAAUAAAUUCAAAUGGGAAGUAGGGAUCUAAAAACUAGACUUGAUAUAUUUACCCAAAAUGUCGGAAUUCAAUAAAAAAUAGUAGAGAUAUAGAACUAAAAAGUGGUGAAAAAAUAAAUCGGAAUAAUUUACCAAAAACUAGAUAAAGUAUAACAGAUUGUAGAGAUACAAAAAUAAACUUGAAAUAUCCACCUAAAAAGCUGGAAGUUAUUGAAAUGAAUAGAAAUAUAGAACCAAAAACUAGUGGGAAAAUGAAUUAAAACAAAAUACCAAAAUUUAGAUAAAUCAUCAAGAAAAAUAGAAAUUUGACAAGUAAACUUGAAACACGUAUUAUAAAUAUUGGAAUGUGACAAAAUAAGUAGGAAUAUAACUAUUUUAUGAUAUAUUUAUAGUUUUUUUUAUAUUUUUUUGUACUGUUUGUAAAUUUAAAAUUAUCACAAGUUUUUUCCUCAUUUAAUUACAAUUUUAUCUUUUUUUAUAAUUUUUUUACAUUAAAAACAAAUAAAAAUGUAAUUUUUAUUAUAUUAACCGGUUAAAAAACGGUUGUACCGGUUGCAUGCCAACGCUGUAUGAAAUACAGCGCUGCAUGGAAGGUUGACUCCUGAUAAUAAAUUUAUGGAUACUGUUACAACUUAUUGAGCACUCGUGUUUUUUCUUUUUUGGUAAAAAAUAAUUGGGUAACUCUUUUAAAGUUAACAAAAAUCUCCAUAUUAGUCUCGGGUUAUUACCUCUUCCGAUUUGACACGUUUAUUGUUGUCUGCACAGGUUUCGUCGUCGUCAUAAUUGGAAAUUGGCAGAUGGAGUCAAAAACCCGUGUUAAUUGUUAUCGCGAAACUACCUCAAGCCAAGAAUCCCAAACUCUGUCUUUAUUUUUCAUUUUGUAUUCCUCGCUCGCAAUCGCUUUACUUAUCUUGCUUGUUCCUCAUCAAUACGCCGAUGGAAAUUUUGUUCCGGGUUCCAUAUUUGCUGCGCAGCCAUUUUUGUUUCACGCCUUUCUGUUCUCGGUCCUGCUCUCAUUCGCCGGCGCAUCUAGCUCUUUGUUGAUUGGAAUCAAUUGCCCGCGUACGGCAAUUGGUAGAUGUUAUUACAGAAUUUCAAUGGUUUCCAUGGCAUCAGCUUUAUUGAUACUGGCUUUAGCCUUGUUUCUUGAAAUUUUGAAGCUUCUGGGUUCUCCAGAUCUUGAGUGGUGGCAGCUUCUAUUUCAGGUAUUUGGAAGGAUCAGUCCUUCUGAAGAAGAAGAAAACAGAGAGUUAUAGAGUCCGCUGUUGGGUUUUGAUUUCUACUCAUAUAAUAAUUGUUUUUUAAAAAAUUGGCAGUCUUAUUUUCUUUUUCAAUUAAGAAGAUAUAAUGUAGAUUUCAAGUGUUCUUGUAUGAAGAUUAUUAGUAUUCAUUAGCUGUUUGCUGAUGAGUUGAGGUUUCAGAUUCAUGUAUGAAAUUUCAUUGAAGAAAAUAAAUUAGAUACGAAGAUUCAAGUGUUGAAUUACAUAAGCACUAAACAUUGGAAACUUGUUUUAAUCAAACUCAAAUCCUUUUUGGCUGGUUGCAAGACCUUGGUGGGAAGGCCACUCUGAAGGGUUUUGGUUUUUAGAGGUGAGAACUUUUGAUCAAUUUAGCAGCUGCCCAAUACCGACUUCACAGGUUCACGAAGGAGAGAAAUGACAAAAAUUUCAAAUUGCCUGGUACAUUAGAGGGAGAUCACAAGUUUUCACUAAUAUGGUGAGCAAAUGUGGAAUAUGAAAUAACUCUCAAUCUCACUUCCCAAAGAACUAAUACAUCAUUCCUCUCAAAUAUACACUCAAAGAGGAGAACCCUCGAAUGUAUUCAAGCAUCUCACCCAAACAAAAGCUUAAAUACGACAAACUAAAAUUGCUCAGAAAGAGUAUUAUAAACUAGAGAACUCCUUGAACCCCAAUGUUUUUUUCUUUUUUUUUUUUAAACUUCUUCUUCAAUACUUCAAACCAUGCAAAUGCAUGGCUAUUUAUAGCCAUACUACCUUAAUGGUUUUCUUUGGUAUUACUCAAGUUCGCAAAUUGCUCAACAAAUUGCUCUACAAUUUGCUUCACAUGCUUCCCACCAAAUCCAUUUAGUGAAUAAAUAGAGCCAUAUGUCUCUAACAAUCUCCACCUUGGCUCCAACUUUUCCAUCUCCAAGACAAGAUGAGAAAUGAUGUUUCCAAAUGCACCUAAUAAUGAAGUGGCAUGUAACAAUACAUAGCAUAAGGACCAAGGAAUCAUAGAAGUACCAAACAAAUAAAAUAAAUAAAAAACAAUGAAAAGCUUUUACUCUGUUACAUAAUUUCUAGCAUAUUACUCCAUUAUAGCUAUUUAAUCAAAACGUUCAAGAAUCUAUAAUGGGGAUGCAGGCAUCCAAUUUGACAAGUGAGAGGUAUCAACUUGGUCUCAAAGAACACUUGUAUUGAGUUCAACAUCUAACAGACAUACAAACAAGGUAUGACCUCUCAAACAAGGUAUCAACUUGGUCUCAAAGAACACUUGUAUGGAAUUCAACAUCUAACAGACAUACAAACAAGGUAUGACCUCUCAAAAAAAAAAAAAAGGGGACAAAAGCAUGGAGAGAUGCACCAAUAUCUAAAUAAAUUGGUAAAAUAUUUUAAAAUAAAGUUCCUGAACACUCCACUACCCCCUUCCCGUUUAACAAUGUGGUUCUUAAAAUAUGGCUAUAGGACGAGCCACCAUUGAGUACCUUCGGAUCACCAUGGUCAAAAUCGUUUACAAAAAGAUUGCUUUUCUCCAUAGCCGUCCAUUUAUAAACUCAACAUGUUCCACCAAAUUAUCUUCAUCAGUUUGUAUUAAUUCACCUUUUUAACAUCUGCAUUUUCAUCUGACUCAGAACCAUCCAUUUCCUCAGCCAAAUGUUUAUCUCGAAGCCCAUCGGCAAUUUCUUCCCCAGUUUGAUAAUGCUUACCUUGAAUAUACUCUGCAUCACCAUCUGUAUCUUUUGGAUUCUCUGUAUCAUCUAUUUAGACAUUAGGAUUCCAACUGGAAAGGGAAACAACGCUCCUCUAACUUCUAAUAAAUCAAAUAUUUUGUGUUUUGAAGCAAUUUACCAGUGUAUCAUCUACAUCUUAGUCCUUUCCUGGUAACAGCAGAGCAACAAUACUUAAGCCUAAAGGAAAGGAAAAAUGAGAGAAGAUGGAAAGGAUAGAAAAUAAUAAAAUUGGCUUUCAUUAUCCUGCCCAGACUCUUAUCAUUCAAAGCAAAAUAUUUAUAAAAGGAAAUAGAUAUAUUGAAAAUAUCAUCAACAAUACAUAAGAUAUUUCUAUAUUAUAUUAUUCAAAACACAAAACAAGAAGUAAAUAAAAGGUUCUAUUUAUCAACAAAACAACCAAAUAAAUACAUAAAUAAAAAGAAGAGAGAAGGAAACAAAUAGUAAACCUUUGCGGGCGUUUUUGGUUUUCAUAAUCCACUUUAGAAAAACUGAACAACAUGGUCAUUUAUGCUCAUGUAGACAGCAUCUUUCACAUAAACGAGAUCCCCGAGGCCGGAUAAUUAUGGGUGCACAAAAUGUUUUUCCUUGUCAUGCCCUUCUGUCUUUUCGGUAGCAGAAGGUAAAGGACAAGGAUCAGCUACAAGGCAAUGAGCACCUGAUUCAAAAACAGAACAUUAGAUCAUAAAUUGAUAAUACAUUGGAUAAGAGAAAGAUAAAUGAACAUUUAAUUGAAGGAGAGUGCCAAAUACAAGUAGACUAAUAAUACAUAUUCUUCAGUGUAAAGUCAGGAAAAGAAAUUUUCUUUUUCCCUGAAGGUAACCCAAUAAGCCUCAACAGAGCUAUCAUACUAACUAACAUACCAUGUAAACACAAAUCUGUUAGAGCAGAAAAUUGUCUCAUUAGUCAGCUUUCUUCCUACUGUUUUUUUAAGUUGCACUUUCAAUGUAUUCCCAUAUCAGCCACCACCAUGCCGAAUGAACGAAGCUCCUCGUUGCUUAAGCCUAACCAAGCUGAUAAAGAAAUUUUACAAACAGGUAAAUUCAUCUCUCUCCAAAACUGAAUUUUACACUUUACAUAAAUGAACCCUGCAUUCAUGACCCCAAUCAGGUUGAGCUUUGACUUAAUAAAAAAGAAGACCUCUCCAUGUUAUGCUCAAUCAAGCUUGUUUUUCAUCACAGCCUGCUUCCAAUUGUUGACAAAAUGAUACAGACGUCCAUGCUUAGGCCAUAACUCUGUUAGAGAAAAAAAAAAUUGUCUCAUGAGUCAGCUUUCAUCCUAAUCUUUCUCAUGUUCCACUUUCAGUGAAUGCCCAUGUCAGCCACCAGCAAGCUGAAUGAAUGAAGCUCUAUGUUACUUGAGCCUAACCACCUCCCUUUCCAAAGCCGAAUCUUAUGUUUUAUUUACAUAAAUCAACCCAGCAUUCAUGUUGAGCUUUGCUUUUCCGAAAGAAGAACUCUCUAAGUUAUGCUUAACCAAGCUUGUUUUCCAUCACAACUCCCAUCCAACCGUUGACAGAAUAAUAAAAAUGUCCUUGCUUAGGCCAUACAGAUGAAUAUUAGGUGCCUCUCAACCCACCUAUACCUAAAGUAAUAUGUGUCCAACAAGCAUUGAUUUUUCAAUAACAUCAUUUGCAACACUACCCUUAUGUUGAGAAACAAACCCGCUCCUCACCUUCAUUUUUUUUUCAAAUUAAAAAAAAAAAAAAACUUGAGCAUAUUCUCAAAAAGAAAAAAUUCCAAUCCGAACAGUGAUGUUAAGUGGGUUACAAUGCAUACCUUAGUUCCUUUCUUCAGAUUGCAUCCUCACAGAUAACCAAAAAUUCUAGCGUUUCCAUGACAUUUUCAAAAUGAUCAACUAAGACAUAAGGAUGAGAAGGACACAUAAGGAUACUUCAUAAAAGAGAUAAACCGUGCAAGAUUGUGAAUGUCAUGUUUGAGUACCCAAUGAAUAAGGUGAAGAAAUAGAAACAAUUAACCUAAACCAAAAAAAAAAAAGUUACAAAUAGCAGAACAUAAUCUUCUACUGUAAUUCAACAAAAGAACUAAUUUAGAUUUUAAAUUUCUAACCAAAGAAGAAGAAGAUGAUUAACUGUUAUCAAACACUGCUGAGAACACUUACUCUCUCACGAUUCAAGCUUGUACAGGGGACCUGACAUGCCAGGGUGGUCCAGCAUAUAAAUGAUUUAUGUAACCGUUCUAUAUAAGGACCAUCAGGCCUCGAAUCCUCAGAACUUUCUUCUUUAGUUUGUCUUGCUGCCCUUCUUCUCUCCGGCACUUCCUAUUUAACUUUAGCUCUCUCUGCCUCCAUGCCUUUUUUUCAUUUUUUUUUUGGGCACUUUCUUAAACUGUUGCUUCUUCAUCUGCAUAACCCCAAUAUAGAAACUCUUAGUGCUAUACAGAACAGCACAUGAAGUGCAGAAAUAAACAAAUAGAAUAGCGAAACAAGAUCGAUACUACAUGUGAAGUUCGAUUCUGCUCUACAGAUUUACUACUCAUUCUAAGAUAGCCGUCAGAGGAUUAAAAUAUGUCAACUAUAUGUUAAAAGACAUUGGUCUCGACAAGCAUACCUUCUUGUUUCUAAUCAACUGAAGAUGUUGAACAAGAGCAUGGACUUUUCUUUCCUGAGGCUCCAUAACUACAGCUCUUCUAUUUUCGGGAAAUGGUAGUUUCCUGAUAGGAAUAUCCUUGGGCUUGGAUUCAAAUGGAAGAGCAGCCUGUAAAAUAUUAGGAAUCAACAAUGGGUGAACUUCCUCGGUUUCCUCUCAAACUAUAUAAACAGUUUAAGUUAUUACAAAUGGCCAUGAGAAGUUACACCGACCAGCAUUUUGGGUAGAAGAAGAAACUAUGCUGAAAGAGAAGAAUAAUAAUAAUAAAAUCACGUGCUUCACAUCACAAACUACCAUGUACAGUGAAUACUUGUUAAUAGGGAUAUAGAAAGAUUAUAUGUUCUUUCCGCAACUCGGCUACAGUUUGAUUGCUUGCCAGGUCUUAUCACAAGGCUGCAAGGCUGUGCUCAGCGGGCUAUAAAAGUGAGGCACUUCAACAUCAGCCCAUCCACGCAUGAAAACAAUGUUGCUCAUCAGAAUUCUGUCUCAAAGGUGCACCUGGCAAUCCCUUUCCUAAGAUUAAUUACAGAAUGUAAAAUUAACAACCCUCCCAGGGUCCCACAGCCCUUAAAAAAAAAAGGAUGGAUAAAGAAGAAGAAAAUAUGUGAGGUGAAAUAUGUUCUUAAAAUGAAAACUACAGAAAUUUGCCUUUCUAGAUCAAGAAAUUUUUUUUUCCCACAAGUUAAUAGCAACAGGAAGAGAAUCUAACCUGAUUGUUGGAUAAAUUCUGAACAGCAACCACCCAAACCCAACGAGGGGCGAGACAACCCCAGAAAGUGGCAAGGCAAUGCAUGUGUUGUGGAGUGUACUGCAACAUGCAGUACCACACAUUACAGUCCUCUUAUGGCAUAAACAGGCAUAGUUUGGAAACACCUCCAUCCAAUAGAAACAAUAGUGGCAUCUCUAGUCUUGAGAAUGUCGUGCCAUCUGCACCACUUUAACCUAAACUGGAAGAAACAAUGAAAUUGAAACAUCUUAUGGCCUAGAGAUAUUGUUAAGAGUAAUGAUACAGCCACAAACUCUUGUACAAACUUAUUUUGUACAAACUGAUGUGGCAUGAUAAGAUUGGUUGAAUUAAAUAUCACUUGGCCCAUAUGAUUUAUUUUUAUUAAUUUAUAUUUUCAUUCAACCAAUAAAUUAAUGCCACGUCAGUUUGUACAAAAUAAGUUUGUACAAGAGUUUGUGGCUGUAUCAUUACUCUAUUGUUAAACUAGAUAAUAACAUUAACUAUCAAAAUUAGAAUGAAACAGUAAAUCUGGUUAUUCUACCUAAGUUUAACCAAUAUAUUUAUCUGUGAACUUGUAAGCCAUCAUUUUUAAUACGAUAAAAGGAUAAAAUCUUAUUAACAAGAGAAGAACCAUGAAAAGUUCUGUAGUGCAGCAGUCCACUCAUUACAUCAUACUGAAAUAAAAAACAAAACUAUAAGACCAUACAAAUGAAACUAUAACAACUUCAAAUCUCCAAGAAUGAAGAAUGAAGAAUGAAGAUAUAUACUGACAUUGUUUAAUGAAAGAAACCCACAAAGAUGCCAAAAACAAACUUUGACCCAUCAUCCGGAUAUGGUUUCAGGCAUCGGCGAAACUAAACUAAAUAACAAGAAAAAGCAAUUAUUUAAUAAUUCAAGAGGCAGUUUUCUUUUCCAGGAUGACUGAGUCUAUAUCUAAGGUUGACCAUCACUCAUGCUCAAACAGAUCGCUUAAAUGCAAAAGGUAUGGCGGAAAUAGGCAACACACAAAGAGCACCAAUAAGCCAUAUCAUGAGAUUUUCAGGAAAUAGCAUCCCCAGGAUUGACAAGAAUCCACAAAAGCUGGCAGCACAUCCCAUUGCAGUCAUCAUUCGAGAAGCUCUGCGGCUGCGCUGGACAAUACACGCUCCAAGGCACAAAAGAAAUCCAGCAAAACCUAAAAUCUUGGCCACAAAUAAGAGAGUUUUGGCAGCCUCUGAUAAAGAUGUGCCAGCCUUAUACCGAAUCAGUGGCGCAGCUACACAGACUUCAGCACCAAGAAAGAGGCAUAUCAUGUCCAAACUAGGGAAACAGAGCUGUCCUUCAGACUGAGAGGAUGCCACCCCAUACGGUGGUGAUCUAUUCGGCGGUGGCUGUUUGUCACCGUCUCCAUCUUUAGAUGAUGCACAGCUGGAUGAUCUUGAGGCCAGAGGGACUGAAUUAGGAGAAAUAACAGAGUAGUCAUGGCUCUGGUGGUCACCUGGGAGUAUAUGUUUCUCACCACCAUUGUCUCCCCAGUGCGGCUGACUUCUAAAAGCAGUUGUUCCAAACAUGUUAUAUGGCUUCAGAUCAGGCCAACCAUUAACAUGUACCAAGAGUUUAUCCACUUGAGGCAGCGUAUCAGGCCACUUUCUUGAAUUCUUGCGUUCGACGGCCUGAGGUUUGUCCAACCGGAACUCCAGAAGUUCAGUAUAGACAUUUACCCUGUCCAUCCUCCACAGAAGAGGGAAAUUUUCAUAUGAAGAUUCCUUAACAUUAGCUUCGUGUAAAGACCCGUUUAUUGAAGACCCGUUUCUUGAAGUAUUGAAAUCUCCAAUAUAAUAAUUGAACGUCACUAUGAUCAUCGCUAUGAUCAUCAGUCUGAUCAUCUCUCCGAAAUUUUCAUAUGAAGAUUCCUUAACAUUAGCUUUCUGUGAAGACCCGUUUCUUGAAGUCUUCAAAUCUUCAUUACAACAAGCGACUGCGAUCGCCACUCUGAGCAUCUCUUCCCCCAUCGCUUCGAUUAUUAUUUCCAUCUCCAGCAAGAAGAACGAUAAGACCAAGAUCGUAAUCUCUCUGGCAAGAUAAGCCCGUUUGCCAAUGGAUCAAAAAAACCCUAUGGUGUGUUUGGUAAACCACAGCCGUUGAAUUCCUCUAAAUAGAUCCGACGAAUGGAUGUGACGAAUAAAACAUGGGUUAUUUUUACAUACCUCCCCUGAGGUUUCACCUAAUAUCAGUUUAAUAGAAAGUAUCUCUGUAUUUUUAUAUCCCUCCCCCGCAGUUAGUAUAAAAUUAUGUAUAGCAUCAGUACACAAGGCUAAAAUCGUAAAAGCUCAUUUAAAAUUCAAAAAACUUAAAAAGUUCACUGUACUAGUAUGGGUAAUCGCAAAAAUGAGAGUAACAUCACUUCAUUAUCCGGUCCAAAUCAUUAACCAAAAAAUAAUGCCUUCACAAAAGUGCAAAAGAUUUACACUUGCACAAUUUACACAUGCCGCACCAUGUCUCACCGUUGCAGCCCACGAUUUCGUUCCCCUAAUUCCCAAUUUCACAAAACAAAACAACCCUUAAAAGCUACAUCCUUUCUCAUCUAGCCAUUCCUCUCGAUUCGGCAGUUCCUCCACGCCUCUCCACCUCUGCACAGCUCGAUGUCGUUGCAAAUGACUUCAGCUCCUGACUUUGUCUCUGUGUGUGUGUCAAAUCCUCGUCGCUUGGUGGGUAAUCCUCUACUAGUGCUGGUGGGUGGGCUGGUACAGAUUCAACUACCUCUUAUAUAGUAUCUUCUUCUUCAGUGAGCUAUAGAUUGAGGAUGUUGAUUGCUCAGGUGUGCUCGCUGGAAUCUAAUGAAUCUAAUGGUUGGUUGGAUUGACGACAAAGAUGGCUAGCUUAGCGGCGACGAACGAGUGGUAGAGCUUCUGAUUUGGAGGCUGGGUGCGACGUUGCCGUGGUGAAUCAAGAGCAGAGGAAGGUUGGGUUUUGGCUAGCAAUUGUUGGCAAGUUAGACGCUGGAAUGGACGAGGGAGUGGUGAUAGUGGGAGAUGGCAUUGGUAAUGGCAUGGGGCUUUUUUAAAAAAAUAAAUGGUUUCUUUCCAAGUUAAACGGCAAAAGCUCUUCCUAUGUUUUUCUUUUCUUUUUUUUUUCAAUUUAUUUGUUAUUUUUAGUUAAUGCUUUAAUUUGAGAGCUACGGUUUGAGUCCAUUGAUUUGAGUUGUUUUUUAGAACUAAUUGGGAUAGCAAAUUAGAUUUUGAGAGGAAUAUUUUAUUCUUUAAAAUGGCUUUUUGAUUUGUGAUUGGAUUUGCAAGAAAUUUGUAGAUUUUGAGUCGAUAGAUAGAACAAAUUAAAGAGAUUGAUAAAAUACUAUCUUGGGAUAAAAUUGUUUUUGUUCGUGUCUGUACAAAAUCUACCUUGAGCAAUAGGACAAUAUGCAAUUAAAGUGAUCCCAAGUUCAUCACAGGCAGCCUUCACACCAUUCUCUUCUGGUUUUCUGUAUAUGAGGCUAUAGUUCACUUGGUUUGAAGCUAAUGGAAUUCCUGUCUUUUUAAGCUUUUCGUAAGCAUUGCGAAGUCGUUUCUCUGAAUCAAAGUACCAUAUCAAAUUAUAAAUUUAUCAUAUUUCUUUGCGUUAAGGGAGGAAAAGAAAUUCUAGUUGCAUGAACCAAAAUAUUAGAGAUUAUUAUAACCCAUAGCACAGCGAAGAAAACAAGAAUGAACUCAGUGGCAUAUGUUUAUUCAACUAAGAUUGAAUCAGUUACAGCAGAAGAAAAUUAGUAAAAGUACCACUGUAAUUUGAAACACCAACAACCUUCACAAGGAGAAAAAAGAAUGCUAGGCUGAGAGAUUGAGUGCAUGCUAGGCCCAUUUAUUAUUAUUUUUUGACCUUUUUCUUUUUUCACACUAUUGAUUAGCAGGGAGAAGAAAAUUUUUUUGACUCCAAAUCUCUAACUUCUAAGCACUGAGAAAUUUAUGUUUGAUUUCAGUAUUUUCGGCUUUUGAAUAUGCUUGCACUGCCAAUUUUGCUGGGAAAUUGUACCUGUCAGCCUUGAAAGGGUAUUUUCGUCCUCUUGUUAGUCCACUAACGGUCAACUGACGGAAAUACUAACUGCAGGGGAGGGAUGUAAAAAUAUAGAGAUACUUUCUAUUAAACUGAUAUUAGUUGAAACCUCAGGGGAGGUAUGUAAAAAUACCCAAUAAAACAUUGAAUGACGUAGGACGCGACGAACGCUGUCGCUCCUUUGAAAAACCAUAGCAAACCGUAUGCCAGAAAGGGUAAUUAUCAUAAACCUCUCCUGAGGUUUGGCGUAUUCUCACCGUGAUAGAUUGUAUUCACGUAUUCUUAACUACAUCCCCUGACGUUAGUACUCCGUUUAGUAUAAGUUCGGUUAGUGAGGAUAAUAUAGUAAUAGAACUUGUUAAUAAUAAAAAAAUCAAACAAACUUAAAAUUAUCACGUUGGGUUCUGAAAUUGAUCUGGAUUUUAUAAAUAUCCGAUGGAUGAAAAAUAGAAGCAUACUUUUAACCAACAGAUAUUAUCUCAAAAAAAAUAAAAAAGAAAUAAAAAUGGGCAUCUUCUUACUCCAGUUCAAACCGAAGCUACAAGAACAACACCCUUUUCAUUUUCUCUCUCUCUACUAUGCUUUAAUAGAGAAAGGGUGCCGCGAUCAGGUGACCAUCGCAACGAACUCGAAGACGCCGACACCAGGGACGACUAAAUCACGACGGCCGCGUGGAAGAAUGCCAAUCGGUGAGUUUUGCUGUCGACCCACGGACAACCUCAAUUUGUACGAGCCGCGAAUGAGGUAUGAAAAUGGCUUAUAACUGUGCAUGUCAGUUUUAUUGGAUGGAAUUAAUGAAUUUGGUAAAAUAUGAGUAAUGGGUCUCGAUAAUCUUUUUGAGAGUCUCUGUUGCUUCCAUUCUGUUUUUCCAGCGAUUGGGUUAGUUGUAGGUUAAUGAUUGUUGUAAAUGCAUGUUCACCUGAUUUUGCUUGAAGAUGACUUCAGCUACAUUAUGCUGCCUGGUGAAUGAUUGAAAAUGGGUAUGAAAAAUUUUUAAUUGUUCAAGCUAUUGCCGCUGAUUGUUGAACAGGGAUUCAUGCUAGUUUUUGUUAAAUUACAGAUGUAAUUGAGUGUUGGAGUGGGGGUGGGGGGCGAAGUUCGUCCGCCGGACUCCGAAUGGGGCGAGACUUUGCGAGGGGCCUCCGUGUGACAAAAAUAGGUCGCGGUCACAGCCGCGGCCAAAAAGCAGCCCCCGAAGGCCUGCGUCCCAAAACCCCCCAGCGGAAAAAUGGCCAAAAAAAAGGGGGCGCUAUAGCCUUGGUGGGAGGCGGCUGGCCAAGUUCGUCCGCCGGACUCCGAAUGGGGCGAGACUUUGCGAGGGGCCUCCGUGUGCCAAAAAUAGGCCGCGGGCACAGCCGCGCACAAUAAGCACCCCCUGAAGGCCUCCGUCCCAAAACCCCCCAGCGGAAAAAUGGCCAAAAAAAAGGGGGGGCUAUAGCCUUGGUGGGGGGCGGGGGCGAAGUUCGUCCGCCGGACUCCGAAUGAGGCGAGACUUUGCGAGGGGCCUCCGUGUGACAAAAAUAGGCUGCGGGCACAGCCGCGCCAAAAAAUGGCCACCUGAAGGUCAGGUUCCCAAGUUCGUCCACCGGAAAAAGGCCAAAAAAAGGGGUGGGCUAUAGCCUAGGGGGUGGGGCUUGCCAAGUUCGUCCGCUGGACUCCGAAUGGGGUGAGACUUUGCGAGGGGCCUCCGUGUGCCAAAAAUAGGCCGUACGCACAGCCGCGACCAAAAAUAAGCCGCCGAAGGCCUGCGUCCCAAAACCCCCCAACGGAAAAAUGGCCAAAAAACGGGUGGGCUAUAGCCUUGGUGGGGGGUGGAGGCGAAGUUCAUCCGCCGGACUCCGAAUGGGGCGAGACUUUGUGAGGGGCCUCCGUGUGCCAAAUAUAGGCCACGGGCACAGCCGCGCCCAAAAAUCAGCCCCCGAAGGCCUGCGUCCCAAAACCCCCCAGCGGAAAAAUGGCCAAAAAACAAGUGGGCUAUAGCCUUGGGGGGUGGUGCUGACCAAGUUCAUCCGCCGGACUCGUAAUGAGGCGAGACUUUGCGAGGGGCCUCCGUUUGACAAAAAUAGGCCGCGGGCACAGCCGCGCCCAAAAAUGGCCACCUGAAGGUCAUGUUCGCCACAAUAUUAAUAUUUGAGGAUCUUUGAUUUUGUUUUUUGUUUUUUUUAUCGUGAUAUGUACAUGUCUUGGUUGAAAAAAUGUUAUGGUUUGCUGCAUUCUCUCGCACUGGAGCAGUGAGUUUAGUGGUUUUAAUUCUUUUCUUCUUUUGACCACCGGCUCUUUCUCUCUCUACACUUUUCUAGGGUUCCUUUCUUUGUUCACAUUUUGACCACCGGCUCUUUCUCUCUCUACACUCAGUCAUCGUCUUCACUUAAAGUCUCUUCACAUUCUCUCACUUUCUCAAUUUCAAAUGGCCAAUUUCAUAGCUUCAUCCUCCCCCAGGUUACUAGCUGCAAGCAUGAAUAUCAUCUUCAAUGUAUUCUUGAAUGUUAAGCUCUUGUAAUUAUUUUUUGGUUGUGUUUCGUGAUACGUUAUAAUAUUAUAAAUUGAAUAACCCUUUGUUGAGAUAGAGUUUUUAUUAUAUUCCUAACGUGUGAGGUGGGAUAUUUCAGGAUGGUACUUACUUUGAUUAUGAUAAUAUGGAAGCACAUGUUAUGCAGCGUUUAGCUACUGCUCGUUAUUUUCACGAAAGAGAGAUGCAGAGAUAUCCUGGACUUAAUGCUUCCCAAGUGAUUGAUUCUAGUUCUGCUGCAAAUGCUUCUUUAACGCUGCCAACAUAUACGAAUUUACCAAAUUUCUGUCAUGGGUCAUCGCAUAGUGAUUUGCUAAUUUCUGUCAUUCGAUCAAUUGACAUGCUCAACCUCCCUCAUCUGAUCCUGAUAUUAACAGAGAUAGCCCUUUUAAAUCCACGUAUUUGUUCAAAACUCAAAAGUCCAAUUAUUUUUCAUAUUUCAGUUGUUUUCAACUAGCAUUUGGCUGGCAAAGCCCAAGAGGUUAUUUGAAAGGAUAAAAAAAGUUAAAAUUGGCUUGGAAUGCUGAAUUAUUCCUGUAAAAGUCUUUUCAAUGAUGCAAUGAAAUAAGAGUCAGCUUGGGUGGGAGUACAAAUGAUUUAUGCCCACUCUUAUAAGUUGAUCUGCAUUCUUUUUCCUCCAUUUGUUUUUAUGUAAAUGUACUUUCAAAAAGUUUGAUUGUUUUUUUCUUCUUUUCACAAAUGGAUUUAUCUUACAUUUUUUUUUUUUUGCCUUAGAAAGCUCUUGCUUCCAUUGCACAAGUUUUUGUAAUUAUACACAAUUUCUUAGAUUUCCAUUAUUUACAUAUAUGUUUCAGAUUAUUCAAUAGAUCAUUUUUUUUUUCAGAGUUUUCUUCAGACAGUUACCACCUGAUAAUCUAAGGAGGCCAAGCCCUUCUGAGAUAUUCUCCUUCUCAGAGUUUGUAAAAUCGAAAUGGUCUGCUGCUUCAGCUAGGUAGAUUUUCUGCAACUUGGUUUCAUUUGGAAUUGGUAUUUUAUAUGCUUCAACAUGUCAAUCUGACUUGCGUUUGUUUCUUAACAAAUACAAGGAACUUAAAGGAGAGGCUGCUUUCUCAGAAUACCUCAGUUAAGGAACUAAGCAAAGAUGUUGAGUGUGAGAUGAGUGCAGGAAUUGCUGGCGUUGCAAAAAUGAAUGAACGCCUAGAUCUUGCCUCAAAGUGUAGAAUUUCUGCCCCAUCUUCUGUUAACGUAAGGGGACAAUCCAAUGUUUUAUUUGGUAUUUUCACUGUAAUUACAUCUCUUGGCACCAAAAUGGAUAUGCUCUUUGUAGCCAACAAUUCUUUAAUUUGUGCGAACAAGGGUUUUUUUCAACUCAAUGGUAUUUUGGUCAUUCUAUCAAACAAUAGACGGUCAACUAAACGGUAAACUAACAUUGGGGGAGGGGACUGAGAUUACGUGAAUACAAUCUAUUAAGGUGAGAAUACGCUAAACCUCAGGGGAGGUUUCUGAUAAUUACUCAUGCAAGAAAUUCCGCCUAAUCCCUUCAUUUAAUUAUUAAUAAAUACACGCCAAAGGGCUCAUAUCAGGCAUGCGGACUUCGGCCCGGCCCUCACGACAAUGGCUUAAGAAAAAAGUCCGGGCUUAAGAAAAAAGUCCGGGUUAAACUCACGCCCAUUAUUUUUUUAAAAAAUAAAUUUAUAAAUUAGAAUAAUAUAAUUAAAAUUAAAAAGUAAUUUAAACAUAAAAAAAAAUUUAAAUUCUUAAUUUACAAAUCGAUGAUUUAAAAAAGUUAAAAUUAUGAUACUAAAUUUUUUUGUAUUAAUUAAUUAAAAGAGCGUUUGAAUUAGAGAAUACAGUAUUAAAGUAAAUUAUAUUUAUAAGCUUUUAUUUACUUUAUUUAUUAUUUUAUUUUAAAAUAUUUAUUUUUCUUAAUUUAUCUAUGAUUAUAAUAACUUGUUGAUAAUUAAUUUAUUUUAAAUUUACAAUAAUUUAAAAAACUUUUAAAAAAUAAAUAAAGCCCAAGCUUGGCCCGAGCCCGGCCUAGGCCAUCAUGCUUAACUUAUAAUAGGCUUGGGCCUCGACUUAAAAAAGCCCGGCCCAAGGCUCAUUUGCACAAUCGGUGCACUCAAGGUCUUCGUGUCAUAACCAUUGAUAGGAUUCAAUUUCUCUCUCAAUAAAAUUAAGUAAAAAUAAAAUUAUCUCCCUCUAAUUUAUGAUAAAAUAAAUAUUUUUUUAAUAUUAUGUUAUGAUAAAAAAUUCUUCCUAUAAUUUAGAGAAGAUAGAAAACCCCGCAUAAACGGAGGCCCUUGGGAUUUUUUUUUUCAUUUAGAAAGGGUAAGAGAAUGAUUUUAUAUCUAAUUUUUUAUUUUGAAAGGAGAUGAGGACGAUUAUUGACCUAAUUUCUUAUUUAGAGAAAAGAUGGGGAUGAGGCAAAAUCUUUAUCCCCUCCCCAUUUUCCUCUUUUAAUUUUUAAUUUAUUUUUCUAGAAUUAUUAGUAAAUAAAUAAUAUUUUAAAUUAUAAAAUAUUAAAUAUUGAUGUAAAUAACAAAUAUCCAAAUAUUUAUACAAAUAAUAUAAAUAUUAGUUAAUAUAAAAAGUUUAAUAUAAUUUAGAUAUAACUAUAGCCCAAAGCCCACAACUUAUAAAUCAAACUCUAAAUCACUUUCUGAUAGUCUUACUCAUCCUUUCAAAAUUAUUCGCGUCGUAGCCAACUCCCAACUCGUCCUCAUCUCAUCAUAGCCUAGUAGCACAUCGCGUUGUCGUCUUGUCGAUGACCGAACAACCUAACUCAUCGCAAUGCCAACUAGCAACCCCACACAGUAGUUCGUUGCACCAUAGUAGGUGGGCAAAAGUUAUCAUUGUUGAUGGACAACAUUCAUGUCAAUAUUGUAUAAAAAUCACAUUAUGUAAAUUUUAUUUUGAAUAUUAUAUAUACCAAAAGUUUGAUGAAAAUGAAUGAAAUAAGACUUAUUCAUGAUCAUUCUCAUUUGAUUUUAUAUAUUUUAGGUUAAUACGACUAAAUUAAGUUUGAAAACUAAAAAGAUAUCAGUUAUUCGGAGAUGAGGGAUUCUCGGGAAUCCCCUGUUAUUAUUUGGGGAGGGGACGAGAAUCCCUUCAAGUAAUUCUCUAAUGGGGGGGAGCAAACGGGGAUAUAUGCAAAAUAUCGGGGAUAAGUAUGGGGAUGUCAGCCCUCUCCUCUCUCCUCCCAAUUGCCAUCUAUAUUAUAAUUCAUGGUAGAAGAAGUAUCUCUCCAAUAUUAUAUGAGGGUAGAAAUUUGAAAUGUGUCGUAAUAGAAUUAUUAAGGAUAGUCUAUUAGAAAAAAGAAAAUUACAAUGAGUGAACAAUUAAAAAGCAGCAAAUAAAUGUGAAGCAAAAAGAACAUAAUUAAAACAGCAGCAAAUGUAAAUAAAGUAACAACUGGAAAUUGCAGAAACAAUCAACAAAUAAAAUGAAGAAGAUAGAAACAGAAAGCACAAAAUAAAAGAAGGAAAAUCCCGAGGCAUGUUUAGCAACAAUAUCCUUAAAACAGAUUUACCACCUACAGUGCUGCUUUAGGCUUGCUGGUAACUGUUUCCCAAGAUACAACGAGUACGAAUUAUCUAUCAAGCACACACAAAUAAUUCCGAUGAACCACAACAGUCAACAGUGGAGAAACUCGAUCAGAAAUCAAGACGUCAGAAGGAGAGAAAAAGAUUUUGUUAAGUGCUCUGUGUGUUUUGAUUGUUAUGUUCAAAACAUAAGAGGAAGCUGCCUCUAUAUACAUAUAUGGGUAUGUAACAGUAGCAUAAUAUUGAAUUUCCAAAUUCAAUAUGUGAUUUAAUUUUGUAAUAGCCCAUUGAAUUAAUGAAUUAAAACAAUUCAAUUCUGUAACAACAUAUUGAAUUUCAAAAAUUCAAAUGCAUAAUAGCUCAAAAUUAAAUUAAUUUACAAAAUCAAAACUGCUUUUGAUUUUAAUUGUGAAACUGUUACAAAAUUUAAAAGGAAAUUAAAAACAUGGCCAUGCGAGCCUUGGUGAUUUUGGGUUGAUAUUCGCAUACGGACACGAGUUCAACCAAAUUGGUCUUGGAUUCGCACCCUCCUUGCGCACGCGCGUGUGGAGAAAGCCGCUAUCCUUAAAAUUAUUACUCAUAUAUAUAUAAGUAUCUAUAUAUAAACACAAAUCCCUUCACUUAUUUUUUCUUUGUGGGAUAAGUCUCAUUUUCUUUCAAAAUUCCAACUUCAAAGGUGCACUUUGAGAGUCAAAUUUCCAUUCACCAAGCAUCAUUUUAAGUGAAUGAAUAUAUUAUUUUAAAGUGUUCACGAAGUAAAAUUUGAACCUUUCGAGAUUUUUCACUUUCUGUAAGUAGAUUCCACUCAAAAUGUGCCCUCAAAAUAACAUAUUAGUAUGCUAUUUUUUCAUCAAUCCCCACAGAUUUUUUAUUAUAAAUACUAAUAGAUUAUAUAUAUACACAGAAAACCAAGUGCAGUCACUUGUCAGGCCAUUGUUAACUUUCCGCGUGGGCCAGCAAUUGAAAACUUCUGAGAAAAGAAUACUCGAGGCGAAGAAUUAGCAUCACUUAAAAUUGGAUCCUCAUAAGAAGACGAUGACGACGAAGAUGGCGUUCAAAACCCAUGAAGAUAGCCAAGAAUCUCAUACUCAGUCAUUGAUUUUUAUUUUGUAUUCUCAAUCGCUUGAAUUAUCUUACUUGUUCCAAAUCAUUACCUGACGGCUUUCAUCAUUUUUGCAACACACCCAUUUAUGUUUCAUGCUCUCCUUCGCCGCAGCGUCUAGCGCCUUGUUGAUCCGAAACAAUUCCCCGGAUGCACUCAUUUGGAGAUGUUAUUAGCCUAUUACUAAAUUUCAAGUGUUUCCCUGGCAUCAGCUUUAUCACCAAUACUUGCCUGUGCCUUCUUUCUAGAAAUUUUCAGACUGCUUCUGCCAUCUCCAGGUUUCAAGUUGUGGUAGCUGAAUGAGGGGAAGCUGGCUUCCGCUUCCGAUUAACAAUAGACAAAAAUUAAUCUUCAAAAACAAUCAUGAUUGAAAGUGCAAGAAAAAAUGGUGGGAAUGGUGGUGAUGGAGGUGGGAAUAAUUAUUUAUUACAGAUGGUCAUUAAAGAAAUCCAUGUCAUUUGCCUCUUUAAUUUUAUUUUGGAAAAUUUUAGAAUCCAUACGAGGUAUUAGGCGUAUGUUUGAAAGCGUUCCGCGAACUGUCAUAGAAUGUUUUCGCGUUUUCAAUUGACUUCACUAUCGGGAAGAUUUUUACACUUCUUCGAAUCACACAACCAAUAAUAAUACACUCCACAUCUUUGUCAAAAAGCAGUUGAGUCCUUCGAACUAAUGCCACAUUCAAUUCAUCUUGAGAAGGUCAGUUGAGAGUGUUGCUGCCAAUCAUGUAAUAAAUAAAUAAUAUAGUGAUUGCUUAAGAACUAGGGAUGGCAAUGGGCAUGGGGUGGGGUGGGGUGGGGGAGGCCUACCCCAUUCCCCACCCUGUUAGAAAUUUUUGCCUCAAUUCUCUAUCACAUUUCCCAACAAAAUUUAGAGGAUUUAGGGAAUCCCAUGUUAUGAAUGAUUUCUCCAUCCCCACCCCGUUUUUCAUUUAUCUAUUUUAUAUUAAAUAUAAAUACAUGAUUUCAGUUAGUUAAAAAUUAGAGACUUAAAAUAAAAUCAUUACCAUAUUAUAAAGUAUUUAAAUUCUUUUAAAAAAAAUCUAAAAGUUUGAAACAAUAUCUUAAAAUGAUAUUAAAAGUGAAAAAUAUUUAAAGAGCGUAGCACUUUAAAAGAGAAAAGAAAAUAUAACAAUGUUUCAGAGUUGAAAAAUAUUGUCGGGUUUUCUUUCAUUUAUAUCCUGUUUAUAUUGCAUAAAAAUUAAAAAAAAUUAUUAAUUGACAUUAUAGUUGAUAAAAUAAAAAUUUUUAAAUAAAAAUUAAAAACAUAUUUAUAUAUAAUGGGAAUUAGAGUGGGAGUGAGGUGGGAAGUGCAAAACCAAACCCCACCCCAUUAAGAAUUUAGGAAUUAUUUUUUCCUCACUCCCCACCCCAUUCCCCAAAAAUUAUUCAAAAUUUUUCCCAUUUAGAGUGAGGCUCCAUGGGACCCCAAACUUGUGGAGGAUUUUGACAUCCCUAUUAGGGACAUUUAGCGUACGAUCUGGGCUGUUUCUCUCUCGACUUUGGAUCUUAGCACCCCAAAAGUCUGUCUAUAUAUAAGUGAUUAUAUCAAAUUUAAUUACACAUUCCAUACAUACAUAUAUACAUUAAUUAUAUAUAUUCUAAAAUUCUACUUGCAAUUUGCGUGCUAAUUGAUGGGCGAGUUAAAGAAAUAUGUUAGAAUUAAGCAAUCAGUUUUAACAAAAAUAAAUCAAUAAAUGAAAUUCCCCUUUUUUAUUUGUAGCUCUUCUCUCGAUGAAACUUAGAAAGAAAAAACAUUUCACUUUUUAAAAAAUCAAUACAUAUUAAUUGAAUUUAACAACCAUCUAAAAGAAAUUAAUUAAAUUAUAAAUGCAUGGGCCAAAAUAAACAUGGGUCAGAUUAUAAAAUGCAGCUAAAUGCAGCGAACAAGCCCAAUAUAACUAGCCCAAAAUCCAGAUAAUUAGCAUGUACAAAAUCCAUGUCUCAUGUAAAUGUAGACCAUGCAGUGACACCAAAAGUGUAACGUGUCAAGAAACAAAAUAGAAUUCGUUCACGAAGCAAUGAUACAUGAAGAUAUCAGACGCACCAAGAGGAAUAGCAGUUUACCAUGAAGCUACCGCUAUUCAGUUUAUUCAAGAAAAAUUGCCUACAACAAACAAGCUUCAACAACUUCAACGGAUAAUGAUGAUCCAGCUUUUAUUGAGAUACCAAGAGCAUAAAGUGGAUCUGUCAAGUUGCUGUGAUGGAUCAUAAAAGCUUUGUCCUCCAUCAACUCUAUUAUAAGUUUAGAACAGAGGAUUCAAGCAAGGAGUUACACCAUCGGCAUCUACCACCAGGUACAUAAGCAACCAAGACAACUUUUAAGAAGAAAUAAAGCUCGACACUUUGAAGGCAAAGAAGAUAAAGUGUUAAAAGGAUUGUCAUUAUCAAAAGAGACCAAGAUUUCAAAUGAAAAAGUACUUCAAGACUUCUUGUUGUUGAAAACCAUUGCGUGCGUAAAUCAAGCAAAGAUAGAAGCAACCACAGCAACCACAAGAGAGAAAGGAAGAAAUAAUAAGAGAAUAAUGAAGAGGAACACAUAAAGCUAGCUGAAGAUACAUCUUAUCAUCUAAUCAGAGCUUGCCACGUGGCAUAAUCUUAAGCGUCCAAAUUAUUUUCAUCUGAUAGCCAUGAUAGAAUCGUUAUAUCUAUAAAUAAGGGACUUCUCCCUUAAUUCGACAACUCUGAAUCCAAAUUGGAGCUCUAUUUUAUCUAAAUCUUAUUGUAUCUUGUAUUUAUCUAUAUAUUUUUAUAAAAAUACUUUUUACCCUAGUUUAAAAUGAGUAGCUAACUUAAUUUCAAGCUUAAUUUAAAGGUGAAGCAUCUAUAUGAUCCAUGUCCUUAAUUUGGUAAGUCUACUUUAUCCCUCUCUAAUUUAUUUGGGUUAUUUUGACUUAUUUUUCUCAGACAAUAAUAAUCUUGUCUAGAUUUACCGGCUUUCUAGUGCAAGAUCAUUACUGUUUGACACGAUGAGUACUUUACACUAUAUUUAUUAGCAAGAAACUCCCUCUAGUAUUUGUGGUUUAUCUCAACUCAGUAUUAACAUAGAAUUUAUUUAAGUUAUUUAGUUGACAAUCUUACCACAUUGUCGAUAAUAGGAUUAUUAUCAUCUGACACAAUGUGUAUUUGAUACCAUAUUUAACAGAUGAUUAUUUCCUUUUUAGUACAAUGAGUGUUUGAUACCAUAUUUACCAGAAUGAGGACUAUGAGGAGUAGAAAUAUUCCUUUAUAAAUUAAUUGAAAUUAAAAAAAGGAAUAUUAAACCCAUGAUGAAGUAUUGAGUGUGAAUCCAGAGAUUCAAAAACUUUAUUUUACAUUGUCUCAUCCUUAAUUCAUUCCUGUCAUUUGGAAAAUUAACUUUACAUAUUAUUAGAUCUACCUCCUCAUAUUUUAACACUAUGAGGGGCUCUCAUACCAUACAAUAAGGAGCACCAAACAUACCCUAAGUGCAAGUUAUCUUCCAUCACUAUUGACAAUGUUGCUCCUAAUCAUCGUAUGAAAAAAACAUCCUCAUAACUUCCAACAAACUCAAAGUUAUGAGGCUACGACUUUUUAUAGCCAGAGGCAAUAGGCUUUCAACUUCAGAAAUAUGUUUACACAAGAAACAACUCGAGGAAAAACAAAGUACUUUAAAUAAAAUUCUUAUCUGAGGAGACAAUAAAGAUAAAAACUUGAAAAAUUGAUAUUCAUGGGAAAGGACAGAGAAGGUGCAAAAACAGUCGAAGAGUUUACAAGUGAUCUUCGGAAAAAGAAUAUAAAUACAAGCUAAAAAGUCGCUCUAAGUUAUGAGACGAUUGAAGUUUAUCUGCAUACAAGUUUGAAGAAUUGUUAUUAAAAAAAAAAAAAAAAGACACAGAUCAGCAUUUAUUUAGCCAGAUGGUGACUCUUAAACUACUACAAACAAGAAAAUCAAGCUCUCAGUCAAGGUCCUACUAGAAGCAAAUACUCCAUUCAACAUAGAAAAAGGGGCAAGGAAACUAUACAGUCAAUAUUGCAGGUUGUCAAAAGGCUUUCGGUAAUAUGCUCAUGUUCCGAAUAAUCAAUCUUCAUUCGGAGGAAGCAAAGACAUUGCAUCACCAAAUCAUUAUGCAACUCUGAAUUUAAAAUGCAAUGGGAAAAAAUCAAAGACCAACAUAUGCUAGAUAAAAAUAAUAUUCCAUCAAUAGUUUAUUCAAACGAGCAGAGUAUAACUGAAGACUAGGCCAGAAUUCAAUUCUUACUGUGACUUGAAUAGCAGCAUAGGCAGUGGGUUCAUAUAAAAAAGACAAGAUAUCAACUACGAAGCGUCAUCAGCAAAAGUAACUUCCAUCUUCGACAAAUAACAGAACUUUGAUGAGCGAAUUUCAACCUGAAGCAAAUUGGCCACAGAGAAUUUUCAAAUUCAAAAAUAGCGUUAUGCAUAACAUGAAUUGGAAGCAUUUCAAAGCAAUUACAGACCAAAAUCCUUUCAAAUUUUUGCUUCUAUGGAAACAGGAGCAUAGAAAAAAAAAAUCAUCAGCAAUAAAACUAAGUAAAAACACAUCAAGUCGACAUGAUCAUAGCUGAAGAUACAGUGGAAGCAGAACUAUUUUGCACUUUUAACAAACUAGGAUGAAAAUAAUCCUUCCAAGCUAAAAGUUGUUGGGUAUGAGAAGAAUAACGAGAGGAACAGCAUCCAGGGAAUAUCAAUUCGGACAUACAUAUCUAAUGAGAGACUACCGCCUAAUGCUUUCCCCCUCAAUUCAGAAUUUUUACAAACGAUUUUUUCAGGUGUGGAACGGCAAAUACUAUUCAACAGUUAACACGCUAUUGACAGGUUAUCACUACUUACACAAGCAAGAAGGAGCCUUGCUAAAUAAUUUCAGCUUCUAGUAUGCAAGUUACAGCUUGGAAUUAAAUUCCAAUUAACCAUAAUACAAACUAAACAGUUUCAGAAAUGGGGAUAAUUUUUAGCACAAUAGUCAGUUCAUCCAAAAAAGCAACACGACUACAAGUUAUCAUAUCUAUCCCAACAUCAAAGGUAACAAUCUGCAGCAAUAUAACAAAAGUGUGGGCGAAUCAAGUUUGCAGGACAAGUGUUUAAGAAAACAAAGAGAAGAAAAAAGCUUCGUAUAAUGCUUUAAAGAAAAUUUGGAGAAUAACAUCAGCUGCUACAAAGUUUUGCAGAUAUCUCUAAAGUGUGAAUCCACUGCUAUGAAGUCACAGCUAGCAUGAAACAAAGAAUCAACACUUGCCAUUCUAUUUGUGCACAAAAAGAAAUCAGGUAAGUAAAUCUAUCAUAUGAAGAUUGUUAAUACAUUUCUUCCCAGACCAAAAUAUUUCAUUUUGCCAUACAUUUACGCAUCACAAAAGAAUUGCAGCUUAUCUUGAAAGAACAUAACUAUUCAGUCAAUCAAUGAAAAAUCUUCUGUGCCCGAUAUCCUAUACUAGGAGACACAUGAAAAAAAUGAUAUCAAUUUGAUUCAACAAUUGUAGUUUGAAUCAACUUAUAAAGCUCCAGCUCAACUCAAUUAAACAACAUUGAUCUAUGAUCAACUUGUGGCGUAGGCCCCGAAAUGCUAACAAUCUGGUUUCAAAUCAUAUUUUGAAUCAAAUUUCAUGGCUCCGAUCUCAAAUAAAAUUAAAGAUUGAUCUGCGACGAAUUCCUAAAAAUUGUGCCUAUUAUUAUUGGGCAAAAGGCUAUUAUAACCUGUUAUUGUUAGACAAAAAAUAUUUGCUUCCCGAAAUAGGAACGAAAGCUCUAUACGAGCAAAUCAAAUGAAUUCGCUCUCUAAAAGUUUCAAAUAAAAAUGAUGAAUGAAAUAAAAGUUGGGAAAGCUUCUUGAGCUACUAAAAUUCAUCGAUCAAUGCUCAAAAUUUUGGAACAAAGAUUGAUCAAUGAAUCAAAAUACAAAAUCAAAUUAGUUAUCCUCGUUAGAGGAUAGACUUUGAUAAUCUGAGUCUGCUUUAUAUUACAUUCUAAUGUUCUAUAUCUUAUCAGGCUCAGCUAAAGUAUUGCAUCAAAGAUCCAAUAACGGUAGCAUGGUCGCUCAUCAUACCUUAGUCCAAAAGCCAGGAAAAAGAAUAACGGAGAACAAGGCAUUGCUCGCUGUCGCACAGGCAGCACAGCCAUAUAGGCGGCAUGCAGAAUACCCAUGUUCGUAUUCAGUAACAACGGAGUAAGCUGCAAACAACAAUUGAGAGUCGCGACAAAAAAUGCCUACAUCAGAUUGAAAGAGGAAAGCAAAACCUAGAAGCCAAAAAAUAUCAUUUUCUUCCACAGAAGACCGAAAAAUCAGAGAACAGCGGCAUUAUUCUUUUUAGGAUAAAAGUCAUAAAACUAUGUUACAAAUUACAACAGUCGCCACAACAAAGCACUACUUUUGUCUUGCAACUGUUGCAACUUGCAACUGUUGCAACCUGCAACGUAGCUGGAUCCUUCUCUUUAUAUUCGGAAACAAAAUGUAAAAUAAUAAGGGGGGG